Molecule: non-coding RNA, 92466 nt
Organism: Callithrix jacchus (white-tufted-ear marmoset)
Lineage: Eukaryota; Metazoa; Chordata; Mammalia; Primates; Cebidae
Source: RefSeq, a predicted model, not a curated record
GGUUGCUCUUCAUGUGUUCUGAAGGCACUGCUCUCAGGCAUCAGCUAAGUCAACCGAGUGAUUCCCAGGAUGCCUGGCAUGGGCCACAGACUCGUAGAGCUGCCGUGAGGACAGAGGAAGCUGUGUGGCCCCUUCCUGACAAUUCUUUCAUCUGCACGCUGUACCAUCAACUCAUUUUCUGCACGGAAUGAAGAUAAAUCACUCUGCUCCGGAAAACUACAUUUAGCAUCGCCUUCUUUUUGUGGGGCAGGGAAGUUUUCAUCGACAAAGCGUUUCUAUUGCAGAUGGCUCGCCAUAUGCCACGUUCCUGCAUGUUAUCACCUUGUAAGCAGAUUCUGUCAGGUUUUUAGGAGUAAAAGCUUAAUUAACAAGUGGUGUGUACAAUUAUGUACUUAAUUAUCUGCUGCUUUUAUUUCUUUGUUGUUUCUUGUUUUUCAAAAGUUUGGUAACAAUUACAGGCAACUGUUUCCUAAUGCAAUUUCUCUCUGCAUCUCUUUUUUUUGUGUUUGAGUUUUUUUUUUUUUUUUGCCAUUUGUAUGCUGAGAGGGGGGCCUUAUCUUUUCUCCCCUCAUCCACCACUUAGAACAGAUAGAUGCAGCAUAGGCCCACUGAUCUGAAUCUCUGAGGGGUGGCGCGUGCGUGCGUGUAUUCAAAGAGUUUCCUGUGAGGUUGGUCUGCAGUCCUGGUUAGAAACACAGACCUGGGCCUCCAUGUUGCUGACGGGACUGUCAGGGACUCUCAUUCUUCCUCCAUCCCCCUCUGCUGGCCCGUCCUGGAGGCCAGUGGGGUUGGCUGGACUAGGCUGCUGAGGACGACAGGAGGUGCUGGGGGGGCCAAGGGAUAGCCCUACAGCACGAUGAGGGCAGAGGCAGCUUUGGGGAGCUGAGCACGGAAAGCAGGAAGAAUUGUAAUAGAAGCACAAGCAGCAGCAACUUGGAGUGAACUCGCUGGGCUGAAGCCAUACCUGGAAUUGGGGGCUUAGAACAAAGUGAGUGGAUUCACUUGGGAAGCACUUCUGCUCGCAUCCGUCUGAGCUGAGGAACUUCUGGAAGCCUAGGCCUCCAGCACAGUUAUCUUUCAUACACAUUCGUGCAAGAGGGUAUCCUGUUUUAGGGAACCUCCCACCGAGUUGAAAACUCAGUUAUCAGCACAUGCUGAGAGAAAUGGCCCCACAGCUGACAGUGGAGGAGUCUGAACCAUCAGAGAGGCAGCCCAUCUGGCUUUCCAGAGGGCUGAGGGUUAGUCCUGGGUUUCUCAGCUGGCAAGCUGGGUCCCAUGGGCCUUCAUUCUGAAGUGUCCUCCCCACCACACUCACUGGUGUCAGUCAAGGCUGGGUGCAAUCCAGGAGGGCUUGGGGGGAUGGGUUGGAGGAAUAAGAUGCAAGGGCAGAAGAAUUGCAGAAUCAAGACAUCAGGGCUUCCCUUUCUCCAACUAGAAGAAGAAGCUUGAGGGACACUUCCCUGAAAGUGUGCAGACAGACACAGGCUGGCCCCAGCAUCACAGACAUGAAGCCCCCGCUGCCUGCAUGCUGGCCUGGCUCUGCCACACCUCCUUUCUGUGCAUCUGUCUCCUUAUCUGGCAGCAGCUGGGUGAGUUCAUCCAGCUCUGCCAGGCUCACCCUCUCCCAUUUCCUAGCGCAGAGUCCAGUCCACUAGACUCUGAAGGACCGUGCUCUGGGGAAGGGACGGUGGAGGACCCUGUUGGGCCUGUCCUUGCCUCGGGCCUUGAACAGUGCCUGCCAUGUGAUGAGGGAGCUCAACAGGCAUCUGUCAAGUUCAUGAAAAUGUAAUAGACAUGCCAGUUGCUGCUUUGCCAGGCACAUGGCUCCUUCUAAAGACAGCCGCUCUGCCCCACAGGGAGACCCCCAGGUCUCUGUCUGUGGCUGGUCCCAGCUGACCUAAGGGUGGCCCAUCAAGGCACAUCAACCUGAGGUGUGAUCUGGGAUAAGAAAUGACAUAGGACAAAUGGGUUCUGCUUCUCAGAAGGUUGAUCUGGGAAGUAUUGACCAUGAGGUGAUUAACGUCCGGCGUUGAAGCUAAAAAGAUCAUCAGAAAGAAAAGGGAGAGGUGAGUAAUGAAGGGCUGAGGCAGGUGGAAAUGAGGACGGAGCAGGGAGCAGGCAGGAGCAGCAGUCCUGAGUGGAGAGGGAAUCCGGUGCGCUGGGCGGGGACGCCCUCUGCUUCAACGUCUGCCUGCCCUCAGCAUCCUGCAUUGCUUACUUUGGCAGCCCCUUCCCCAUGCAGAAAUCUUUCCCUACAGUCUCUGUUACCUUCGGGGCAAGCCCUGAAAAGACAAGCUUGAAAUGACCAAGGCAGGGUGUGGAUGUACCUUCCCGUAGCUGGGAAGCAGCAUCUGACCAACUUCAGAGACCAAACAAUAAUCUGGGGACAUGUGAGGGAACCAUUUAUCCAAGCUGGGAAUUAGGGAGAAGCUCCAAACAUUACUUGAAGGGCCCCAGUAGGAGAAUGGAAAGUUAAUUGCCAGGACAACUUCCCCACUGCAGGGUAGAGUUGAGGGGGUUGAGAAAAUAGGGGGAAGGUGGUAACAAGCAGGGAGUAGAGACUCAGCAAGCCUGAGGAAUGAAUGGGCACUCUUGUUCCUAUGCGCAGGAUGAAAUGGCAUCUUGACACUUUUGCUGAACAAGGCAACACUGGGUCUGUCUGACCUGAGAACACUACAUACAACCCAGCCGUACCCAAAUGGAGCAACCCACCUGGACUUUCACCUGUCAGAGAAAAGCACCUCCUUGAGCACAUGGCCAGGGAGGCUGAUGGGGAUGGAAGGCAGGAACCACACACCACCUGUGUCUGAACUAGGAAGGUGAGCUCCUCCACUGACCCCACACCCACUCCAGAGACCCAGACUGCAGGGCCCUCUCCUAAGUGACUUUCAGCCACAGACACAGUUUCCAUCAUCACGCACCACACCCUAAUCUAUUCUGCCUAGGGAGGGAGGAAUCCAGACUGCAAGGCUGAAGACCACCUUCAUGGAGCAGCACUGGUGCUCUAGGAUAGACCCCCUACCCAAACCCCGGCUGGCCACAGCUCAGGGACACAAUGAGUCACAUAGUACCUUUCCCUCUUCUGUCUGGAGUUAUUCCUCAGAACUGCCUUCAGGAGGCCCUGAUGGCUGCAUGCCCACACAGUGGAGGCUGUCAGUGGGGAAGAGGACAGCUAGGAAGGUCAGGAUGGGGCAUUGGUGAGAAGGGCAGUCAGCGAAAAUUUGGGGACUGCUGGAAAAGGUUUGGGACUGUGUCUUCCAUCAUGCAGAAGCAAAGGAGAGGGAGAUAUGCUCCCUUCCAGAGGUGAAGUCCAACCACCAGGACCAGGUUGGGGACCUGCCAUGGAGUCUCGGCUGCUGUCCACACCAGUGAUGGUAGUGUUCCCAGAAUGAUGUCAUAAAGUGCUGAAAGUGGGGAGUGGUGGGGAGGGGAGCUUCCUUGCUCUCCUGGGUGUUUCUCAGUACUCUCCCCUCCCCCACACCAGAGAUUCGCUCCUCCAGCCUCCACAGCCACCAGCCCCACCACCCCUGCAGAGCCAGCUUGCCCUCUCUAACUCUCCCUUUUCCUGCCUCUCCCCCAGGUCUGCUGCCACCACCUCUUGGGGUCACUGAGCCCCCAGCCCACACCACAGGCUAAGGGAGGCUUGCUUGUCAUGAAGAUAUCCAUAACAGGUAUCUGACAGAAAGAAGGGGUUGCAGGGGAGGGGGGCAGUCAUCUGCAAACCAAAAAAAAAGUUGCUGGUUCUGCUCCUUUCCAGCUCUGUGCUGACCUGUCUAUCCAGGCCUCACUUGGGCCACAGCCCAGCUCCAUGAAGCCUUGCCUGGCCUUCUCUGCUCCCUCAUCUGACCAGCCCUCACACCCAUCCUUGGCUGGCCGGCUGCUGCACUACGCUAGCUCGGGCUGUAUCUGCUCCCUGGCCAGGGCGGGGUGUUCCCCGGCAGUCUCCUCUAAGGAGCCGGCCCCCACCGCAGCUCUCUGGGAGGGCUCCUCGGCAGACCUGGCUGAGCCAGUGCAAGGACCCAGUGAGAGUGCUGUGGGAGACCUGCCCAGGGGGCUAGCCGAGCCUUCUGUGAUAAUUCUGACUGAUUGAUUCUUCAUGGAGUUGACUUGAAGUAUGAUGAGUGGGUGCUGAGUGCUCUUAAAACUCCGGAUGCCAGAGCCGCAGAAAAGACACCAAAGGUUGGAGGCAUUAAGUAACUGCUCAUCUACUCAGUGACGGCAGAGUUGAAACUAGGACCCAGGUGUUGCCGCCUCCUUCUCAUGCCACAAAAGUGAGAACAGGUGUUUCCUGACAUGCAAUUUGCUAACCUCUUCCCAGGUUAUGUGUGUGAAUGUACUGGGCUACCAGACAGCAGUGAGUAUGAAUGAAGGUGAUGUCCCAUUACAUCCCACGUCAUGACCAAGCAAUGUCUUACCACCCCACAAAAAGCCAACGGAGGCUUCCUUGCAUGGAAAGACCACAGUGAUGAGGGCAGGGGCUCUGUGAGCAGGUACCUAGAGCUAGAAGGCAAAACAAGGAAACGUUUCAAGGGAGUGAAGCAAGCUAAAGAUAAGGAAGCUGCCUGUUUUUGUGUGCCUCACCCUCCCCUCCCCUCCCCUCCCCUCCCCCCGAAUCUGCCUAUGGUUAAAUGCCUGUUGGGAUUUUGCAAAAAGAUUUCCCUGGAUCACUCCAAAUUCCACUGAGUGGAGAAUGGGCUGGAGCUCCAGCAGUAAGGAGAGAGUGGCUACAGAAGCGCUUUGUGACCUGUUGAGCUGAGACAGGCGAGUCUCUUCCGGACAGCAGAUGGGCCCUCUUUAUGAGCCUGUCCUGCCGACCUGUCUGGGUCCAACUGCUAAGUGGGGAAGGAUGCUCCCCAGAUCACAGGUGGUUAACCACCUCACAGGUCCUCGGGCAAUGGCAACAAGGCAUCCUAGCUCACAUUGACUCCUUUGGCAGUUUACAGGUUUUAAUACACAUUCCCAUUUAUUUCAAGUCUCUUAACCAUGGACAAAGAGUAAGGAGAAAAAAGCUUCCCGAUGCAGGUAGGAAGGCUGAUCCGUGUCCACUCAAAAGUGAAGUGGAGUAAAACAAUUCCAGGCCAAUCUGUCUCCACGUCCCACACGAGGCCCUGUGCCCCAGGUCAUCCGUGGGAGGCCACAGCUGUUGAUCAUAGUUCUCCCCUCUGCCCACUUUUGUCUUUACAAGGAAUCAUUCCUCUGCUUCCCAUCAACAUCUCCAUCCCAGGCACCUUUCCCCACCCUAAGCCAGACUUGAGGCUGCUGUCCCUGGCACCCCUGCAGAGCUUGCUCCUCUGCUCGACCCCCAACUGCGCAGUCAGCGUGUUCAGCAGAAAUGUUCCUCGGCUAGCAGAGAUCAAUACAUCAAUAGAUAUGUCAGCUCGAACAUAAACAGAGGGAGGUUGAGGGGAACAGGGGCAGGAGAUAAAUGGACUCUGCAGAGAAAAAUGCCAGACAGUCCCAUCAGGAUCCGCACUCCCGAGAACAUAUCACCUGAGCUGUUAAAGAAGGGGGACAGGCUCAUUACUUCAGGCCCUGCUAAUUAAGACUCACCAUCACGGGAGGCUGAGGCAGGAGAAUCGCUUGAACCCAGGAGGCAGAGGUUGCAGUGAGCCCAGAUCGCACCACUGCACUCCAGCUUGGGUGACUCUGUCUCAAAAACAAACAAACAAAACCCCUUCAGAUUGGCCUAGGCUCAGUUCUGCCUUCAUUCUAGGUCUGGCGGGCUGGCUCAUCUGAAGGCAGCCUUUUCUAUGCUGGCCUCACAGGAGCAUUGUAGGUGGGAUUCCUAGCUAUUCCUUUCUUGGGGCUCCAUAAGUGCUGGGAGUGGGAGCCCUCUGAGCCAAGCAUGGUACCUUGGAGCCACAAGUAGCUGGCAAGUGCCCAAAGAACUGUGGUGGCUGAGCUCCGAGCAGCUUAGACAUGCAGCAAGCAGCUGGUGAAGAAGCAGAAGGGCAAGCCCUUGGAUUUGGGUGUAGAACGAAAGGCCCUUAGCAAGGGCAGCAGUCCAGCUUUCCAUGUCGAGACAAGUGAUAGGAACUAACUCUGGUUUCAGUCAGCCUCAGGAAAUCUCUGAGGCAUCCGUUCUGGAAGGCCAUCAGCCUGGUGCCCACAGCCAGCGUGGUGAGCACCUGGAUGAGGUCUCCUCUGCAGAACUUUGGGGGAGGGGUGCAAAGGAAUGCUUAGCAGGAUGCCAACAGCCUACUGGCAGGGGAUCCAGGAUGCUCAGUUCUGGACUCUGGGCCACAGAAACUAGAGAAUUUGGGAGAAUAUGUCAGACCAAGAAGAAGCAGUUUUCAAGUUCUUUUUUUUUUUUUUUUUUUUUUUGAGAUGGAGUCUUAGACUCUGUAGCCCAGACUAGAGUGCAAUGGCCUGCAACCUCUGCCACCUGGGUUCUGGUGAUUCUCCUGCCUCAGCCUCCCAAGUAGCUGGGAUUACAGGCAUGUGCCACCACACCCAGCUAAUUUUUUUAUUUUCAGUAGAGACAGGGUUUUGCCAUAUUGGCCAGGCUGGUCUCACACUCCUGACCUCAGGUGAUUCGCCCACCUCAGCCUCCCAAAGUGCUGGGAUUACAGACCUGAGCCACUGCGCCUGACCAGCAGUUUGCAGGUUUCUAUAGCACAGCUCCUCUGAAGAGGUGAAGAUCAUCAGGUCUGGGUGGCUUCUCUGUCACACAUUCUUUGAUAGCGUUUUUAAAAAAGGAAUUGGAGGGAGCAGACAGACCUGCUUAGCAUUUUAGGGUUUGUUCAUUAUGGCAGGUCUUUUCCAAAGAGACCACCACAUUGCUGAUUUUAAUUCCUCUGGGAAAUUCUCUAGAGUCCAAAUUCUUAUGUCAAUUACUUCAAAACUCAAUUGUUUUAUACCCGUUAGUUACGUCAAACCACUCAAGAAGUAGAGGCAUUGUUGGGGCCAGGAGGUGUUGCAGAGUAAGAGAGAGGAAGGAGAAGACAUUUUUGGAGACUGGCUGGGUGGGGCUGGACACCCAAGAGUUCAGCAGGAGGAGAAUUGGGGUGUUUGGGGAGCAAGGGAAGCCCAUCCCCUAAGAUCCUGGUGGUGGCUUCCAUGCCCCUGAAAAAUCAUGUUUGAAAAUCUGUGCUCUAAGUUAACAAAGAAUUUUCCUCUUAAAUAUCAAGUGACCCAAGGGGUACUUUGGGUUAAAUAAAAAGGAACAGCCAGGAGAAUGCGCCCUAUGAAGAAUCUGAGAUUCCUGAGGCAGAUUAUGAAAUUAACACCAAAGAGAGGCUUAGGGCAGCUGCUGCCCAGCUUAGUAACUAGAAGGGGUCUUCUGGGUCUUGAGGUCUUCAGACCUCUAAGUCAGCAUCAGGGGAGCAGCCUCAAUUAGAGACCAUAGCCUGAGGGCCCUCUGCUGAGGAUGCCUGAGGUCUUUGCUGACACCUGUUCUUGAAAAGCAAUGGGGAUCCGGACAGUUUGAGGUUCAGGUAAACGAGCAGAGAGCAGUGCAGGGCUCUGAGCUGGAUGGCUUCCUCUUUCCUCUGUGGAAUCAUGGAGAGAGGAUGAAUAAAGGGAAAGGAUGUCUGUGGGUGUAAGGAGUGGGCUUGGGAAUAUUCGGGAUCAGUGGCCCUCAGGUCCUCCACCUUGGCCUGAUGUGGAGUUGCAUUUGCUUUCGCUGAGUUUCAGGCUUGCACGCAAGGAGGGGUAUUUGAACAUGCAGGCCCUGAUGUGGUGAGGCUAUGAUGGCAGUAGCAGGGAUGGGGACUCUCCAUAAAUAGCCCCAAGAUGGAUGGUGGCUGGAAUGAGCCUGUUGAUGACCUCCCUGCUCAGCCAAUGAUAAUUACAGCACCCUACAACUCAGGGCCACUUGCUUUAUUGACCAGGCCCUUUCACACCCGUUAUCUCACUGGAGCUUUCCGAGGGUACUAUGAAAUACACAAGCAGAGGUGAUUGGGUCCCAAGAGAGGUGACUUCUCUGGGGACACAUGAUGAGUCAGUGGUAGGACCAUCACUGGACCCCCCCUGCCCACCGCCCCCACCAGAGAUCUCAGCUCUGACCCUCUUCCUCCUCCUCCACCAAAUUACAAAGGCACAGUCCCAUAGGAAGACACCCAGGUCAACCCAAGAAAAAGCCACAUGAAUGUGAGGGUGUCCAGAGCCACUCUGCUUCCAGGAUUCCAGCCACUCCUCAUUCAGACACCUUCCAACCCCAGCUUGGAGGGAUGUGAGGGAGCCCUCUCACCAGCAGCUACAUGCCUUCACUUUUGAAUUUUGUUGAUUGGGAGCUUGAGGGGGUACAUCUCUCCCCCCAGCACAGGACAAGAGGUACAGGCCGCUAGGAGCAAUUCACAUCUGCCAGUAAGUGAGGAAGAGGCUGGCUUAGCCCUUUGGGACAUCUGGCCAGGCCUUGUGGAGACCCAGCUGGGCUCCUCAGAGCAGGGACAGCCUGUGGGCUCCACAAACUGCAGUGACUCAUGGGUGACCACGCUGAUGGGGCCAGGGAGAGUCAGAGAGGCCACCUGCCCUAAUCACUGCCUAAAGGCUGUGUCUGACAUCAGAAAGGUUUGGUGGCCUCCCUCUCAAGUUGGCCCACUCCACCUUGAGGCCCUUUAGGCUGUCUCUGGGGGCCCUUUGUCCUGGACUUGGUCUCCAGCCUCCAGGGCUUCCUGGAUGGGAGAAGUAUGAAAAUGGGAAACAGCCUUCACUUAAAUCUCUAAUUUCAAAGUCUUCUGCCCCUAACAAGGCUCCUGGGGUGGGUUUGAGAAAGACUUUGACCUUGAAAUAGGUUGUCCAGAGUCCAGGUCUGGGGUUGGUCAGGUCCUGGGUCUUUGAUUCGCUGUGCAUGACUUUCAUUACCCUUAUAUCUUCAUGAAAGGCCCUUCCCAAAAUUAGCCGGGCAUGGUGGCAUGUGCCUGCAGUACCAGCUACUCUGGAGGCUGAGGCAGGGGAAUGGCUUGAAUCCAGGAGGCGGAGGUUGCAGUGAGCCAAGAUCACACCACCACACUCCAGCCUGGCGACAGAGUAAGACUCUGUUUCAACAACAACAACAAAAGGCCCCUCCCAGAGUUUCCGUAAGGAUCAAACGAGACAGUGAAUGGGAAAGUGCCUCAUCAUAUAUACGGUGUGUACAAUGGAAAUGGAUUGUAUUGUAAGGGUUUUGGAGUCCAGUGGGCAGGUGCUUUUGCAGAAGAGAACCAGCAUAGCAAGGGCUGUCAAGACACCCUUACUUUCUCACCUUGAGGUGGGGAACGGGAGACUUUCCAAAUUUGGGGGGCUGCCAGCCUGGACAGGGAAAUGCUCAGCAUGGUUAAAGAUCCACUGGGUAGAGGGAAAUGAAACUUCGCUGGCUGCUCAGCUUCCCAGACCUUUUUACUGCUCAUCAUAAAUUACCAUCCUGUUUUAUUUUCGUUUUAUAGCCUCUUCCAGGCUCUUUCUGGCAAUUCACUCUCUACUCUGGGCCAACUAUGUUAGAAAUGGUUUCCUGGUCCUUCUCUUUCUCUGUCGACACCUCAGGUCUCUGGCAGCUGACCCAGCAGCUGGGAGACUUCCACAGUCACCUGUUGGCUGAGGAAACAUCGGAGCUGGCAGCUGAAGGGUGAGAGCAAAGAAUCUCGAUGCCAGUGUCUGCCCUCUAGCAGCUUCCCCCAGCGGAGGGAGGGAACCAGGCACCCUGUGUUUGCAUGGGCUUGCAGACCCAGCUUCUAAAGAGGAGUCAUCUCUUCCUGGGACCUGGGCCUCCAAUUCAAGCAGCUCUCAGGAGGUAAUGACAAGUUCUUCAGUGUAGUUAGCUCUCUCUCGAAGCAGUUGGUCCAAACUCCUUUCCACUGUCAACAUCUUGUGGUUCUGCCACUGUGAGAAGGAAGGACCCUAGCUGGGAGUAGGGAGGGUCUCCUUCUAGCCUCAGUUCUGCUACCAGUGAGUGGCCCUGGGCAGGUCCCUUCCUCUCACAGGCAUCAGUUUCUUCUUCUGUAGAGUCAAAGGCCAAAGCAGGUCACCCAAAUGCCUUCUGGUGUGGCCACUCUACAAGCGGUUUCCUCAUCUGCACAAAACGUGCAAGUACUUGUCCGCAAACUGACAGAUUCCCACAAAUUAACGUCCUGUCAAGCGUCGCACUCAACAGUCCUGCUGGUUCUUCAAGUGAAAGCAAUGGGUUAGGGAAGAUUGGAAUGAUGUUUGCGAGACUUUGAUAUAACGUUUUUAUUGAGUGUUUUGCGUCCCGAUUGAGGAGAGAGCAACAUAAUGGCAAAGUUUGUAUCUCCUGUCAUUAUUCAAAUAGAAGAGAGUUUUUUUUUCAAUACAAUUUUUAGUGUAAAUUGUUAAAUUACCAUUCUCACGGGUUGUGGACUGUUUUGUGGACAUGAGGAGGUAAAAGAUAAAGUAACACGUGCUGAGUUUGUGAUGAACAGACUGGACCCAGGUGGGGACUGGCCUUACAGCACCCACAGUGGCCGAGUUGGGGGUCUGGAGGGAGGAAAAGGGGUCUGCCUUUGCCAUGCCAAAUAUAAGACUGUGGCAGGCCACCUACUCAAAAAUAUUGUGAAAAGAGUAAUGCAGGACACGGGACUAGGAAAGAGACAAGGUGGGCAUCAUUCACACUGGAAGGUAUUGGAGUGAAGGCAGAAGAGGAGGAGGAGGGGAUGCAGGAGGAGGUAGGGUGGUCCCUCUCUGGGCCUCAGUUUCCUCAUCUGUAAAAUAAGGAGUCUGGACUAGACAGGUUCUCUGCUUCACCCAUCUAGCUGGCUCAGAGUGGAGAGCAGGGAAGAGGCAGGUAAGGGACGAAGAGAUCCAAGAUGCAUCAGAAUAGGAGAUCCUGGCUCAGUGGCACCCCAGAGAGCUCAGAGAGCACCCCAAUGAUAGAGACUGAGGCACAAUCUGCGUUCAAAGUUGCUGAGAAACUGAUUGAUACUGAAACAUUGCUCUCUGGGGUUUGCUUAUAAAAAGUAAUUCCCCCUUCCCCCCAAGAAAGGUGCAAUUUCCAGGGUGAGUCACAGAGCUGGUGAGGAUCCUCCACACUCCAGGGUGUGAAACCGCAGACCAGCCAGUGUCAUUCUUCUCAGGGCAGUGUUAAAAGUCUGUUCAACUACAUUCAAAUUCCCAUUUCAAGUGUAGGCUCCAAAAUCACAUGCCAAUGUGUAACCCCUUAUGGCUCCAUCCCCCAGAAGAAAUACACAAAAUACAUAAUUGUGUGUGCAUGUGUGUGUUUAACAUUGGGGGACACUAAGAAACAAUAGGCUUCUCAUUUUAUUCCUUUUUUUUUCUUUUUUAUUAUUUAAAAGGAUCAUGUGCCAGAGAGCACAAUGGUAGAAAGCAGGAGAGGAAAUACGGACCAAGAAGAUGGUGGGAGACAUUUUACAAUUUAUAAAGAUAUGAGUACAGGUCCCUCUUUUUAAACGCUCAAAGCAACCUACAUUGAGCUUCUUAAAUUCGGAAGUAAUGUUCUUAAUGGCUACCCUGGGCAAGGCUAUAUCUAGAAGAGCAAUUUUUAAUCAUUCAUGUAAAAUCAUCCUGCUCAGGUGCUUCCAGUGCUGCGAGCCAGGUGAACAACCCAGAUGUGCAGCUUCUAGACGGCACCUCUGGGGUGGGGUGGCUGGGCCGGGAGAACGAUGGGGCUAUGUUUCAGUGGAGGCCUACCUUGGCAAAGCCUUGCCUCAGGAGUAGGUCUUUACUCAGCCCCAACUUAGGAGGUGACUCCCUUGCUGCUGUGCUCAAGGCUGGUCUCCUGAGUGUUGUCCAUACCCCACUGUAACUUAUGGAAAGUUUGAUUCUGCUAUUGAGACUUCCUCCCCUUUCAGCAACCUGGCUUGACCUAGCCCCUCUGGGUUUUGGCAGAGGAUAAUCUAUUUGAAUCAAAAACACUGUAUGGUGAAUGACACCAUUUCGCAUUUGUGCAGCACCUCACCCGUUCCCAAAGUGUAUAUACAUUUUAUUAGACAAAGUCAAUUCUAGAUAAAACAAGCAGCUAAGGCACUAAGUCCCAUUUCCUGAAAAUUCUGGAAGAGAAGUUUGGUUCCCUCAGCCAGUGGAGGGGCUGAGAGAAUCCCUUUGAGAUGACUGGAUAAAAGAAUGAAUGGGGGUCUGGAAGAACAAACUUGCAAAUAUACAUUUAAUGUAAAUGCAACGUGUUCAAUAAAAUUCAACUUAGAGUGCCAGGUACUGAGCCUGCUACGAGGAAUAGAAAAAGAGUCCCAGCUCCCAAGGGGCUGGUUGGACUACACACAAAUUCACUAAACACACAUCAGAGAUUAGAUUAAACCAAUGCUCCAACGUGACUCACCUACCCACUGGUCCAGACCCACUAAUUCUUUCCCUGUACCUCACAGCACCCAGACUUCUGUGUGAACCCCCUGGUUCCUGAGUUUCUCUGUUGCGCAUGGCUCGCCCCCAUGAAAUCCCCAGGGCCUUGUACUUAAAGUCCCAGAUCACCCCGGUCUCUGCCUGCACUCCUCCAACCCACCGCUCCUUUGUACAGCAAGCCCUGAGGACUCAGCCUUUCUCGUUUUCUUUGGGAGAGACUUGGGCUUUCCUCCUGUCCCCUGAUAAGACCCUCUAUAUUGUGACUUACUUUCCAACCUGACUCUGGCAUAACAAGGAAGGAAAUCAAUUUUACAGAUUUUAACUGCAGAAAAAUAAAAAGAGUCAACCAAAGUAGAAACAUCUAGAAAUGACAAGAUGUGACUCUUCGAAGCUUCUGCAGGUUCUGGUCCCUGGUUUAGAGCUUCUGAUUUCCUUCUGGCAGCACCAGUGGAGUGGGGACCUUUGUUUCUCAUAAGAAGAGGCUGGCUGGCCAAAAAAGCAAGCAUGCCCCUAUAGGGACACCUUCCUGCCCUUCCCCGCAGGAAGCUGGCCCAAGGCUUUGAGGGGAAUCAUGGGGAGCUACAAGUGCCUCCUGCUUUCUGAUGUCCUCCUAGUGGGGCCAAGGCCAUCCCUGUUCUUGGGGCCCUUGACACCCCUACUCUCCCAAGCGUAGUUGGCAAUCCAGUAACUGGUGCUUGGUUAGCCUCCGACAGUGCUGCACCCCUUCCCUUGAGGACUUAGCUCUGAUUUUUAUCUUGCCCAGAUUCCUAUCUAAGGAGUCUGAGGAAUCAUGACCUACAAACCAUAAAUUCUCAUCAGAUGGGUUUUAUUUGACCCUCUAUAUCGUGACUUACUUUCCAACCUGACUCUGGCAUAACAAGGAAGGAAAUCAAAAUGUUUUACCCCAAAAUAUAUUUCCUUGCCAUACCUUGAAAUUGCCCUGCAAAUCCUCUUGUGAGAAAAACCCACAUUCUAUGGAGAAUCCUCUUUCCCCUUUGUUUUCCUUCCUUCCUUCCCAGAUCCAAGAAAUCAUCAACUAAAAGCCAGGCACCCUUUUAGGUCCGAUUCUCAGGCUUCAUAUUACUAUUCUCUUUUAUCAAAAUAAUGUGAGGGAGAACUGGAUUCUCCUACUCUUGAGAGCAUUGCAUGGGCCUGUAUCUCAUUAAAGUAAUAGUAACAUUGAAACUGCUCUCUGUAACCAAAAUGUGACAGGCAAGCAGUCCAAAUCCAUGCCAUCUUGGCCUCUUCGACUUGUAAUAAGUAAUUAAGGACUGUAAUUUCCACCCUACCCAGACAAUGUGUAAACAAAUGCCAAUCUUGACGUUUGUGAACCACUUAAGUAACAAUCAGAAUGUCAAAAGUCCCCUGGCCCUCGGAGUGUCUGGAGCCCCUCACCCUCAUCUUCACCCAGGAAUCCACUGGAAUGUCUGGAGCCCCUCACACUCCUCUCUGCCCAGGAGGUGAUUUACAGAAUCCACUAGCCCUCAGAACAUCUGAAGCCCCUCACUCCCUGCCCCUCACCCUCACUCCCAAGGUGGUUUUAUGGGUAUAAAAGGUCUUGACACCCUCCUUUCGGGGCGAUGGGUUGGAGAGACGAGAGUCCUCCGUGGCCACCGGCAAUAAAGACCCUGCAAUUUGGCAAAAAACAAAAAAAAGUAAUAGUAACAACAUAUUUGACCCAUUUGAAAAAAAUAAAAUUUUUUGUUUACAAAAAAAAAAAAAACAUUUUAUAACCCUCUCUCUGAAGCCUGCUACCUGAGAGAUUUCUCUGCACAAUAAAACUUGGUCCCCACAAUCUUUUACCAUAACCUGAACAUUCCUUUCCAUAAUCCCAGGUCUCUAGAUAAACUCAACCAAUUGUCAACCAGAAAAAAAAAAAGUAUCUAUAGCCUGAAGCCCCUGCUUUGAGUUCUCACCUUCCUGAAACAACCCAAUGCAUUUCUUAAAUGUCUUUGAUCUCUCAUGACUUCCUAAAAUACAUAAAACCGAGCUGUACCCCAACCACCUUGGGCACAUGUUCUCAGGACCUCCUGAGGGCUGUGUGGAUGAUCACUAGGCACAUGUGCAUUUUAAACCUAAGGUCUGCUAACUUUUGCUUCGUUUCCAACCGCUAACUAAAAGCGGACUCUCUUCUUCACUUUCUCAUAUUUGGCUCAGAAUAAAUCUCUAAAUAUUUUACAGAGUUUGACUCUUUUUGUCAACACCCUUUAAUCACCAAGGCUUCCAAGCACACCCCCAUUUGGAAACCAUGCCGUAAUGGGGCCGUGACCUUGUUUUCAGGUGAUCUGAAUUGGCACUCCUGAGAAAGCAGUCUGGUAGAGUGAAUUUCCCCCCUCAAACCCAAGCCUUCCUUCUCUGGCUCCCUGGCUGAGAGCAAAGUACAGCCCAGACCUGCUUCCAGAUCUGCCCUCCUCCGGCAGUCCCUCCAGCUGCUCUGCCACUCCAUCAGGGCCAAGCUGCCCUUCCUUCCAGCCUGAUACCCGUUUCCUGUGGGACUGUCCCUGUCUGGCUUCUGUGGUGAGCCACCUUCACCUGACUGUCACAGGCCCAGGGCAGAGUUCACCACCUUGGUUUCUCUGUCAACAGCUCCUCCUUCAGACCAUCACAACGCACAUCUGCGUUUUAAACGUAAGGCUCGCUAACUUUUGCUUCGUUUCCAACCACUGAUGAGAAACGGACUCCUCCUCUCUCCUUUCCUCUUACUCGGAAUAUUCCCUUAUAGUUUAUCAUGAUGAUCUGUGAGAACAAUUGUCACAGAUGGUUUUGGGGGGGACCAUUUCUGCAUGUAGACAGACGGACUGGGGCUGACAAUGAAACCUGGAUGGUGAUAAGCUCUGUUUUCGUGAAUGUAUACCAGUACAAAUGCUAUCGCUUCAGAACUACCUUUUGUUUGCCUCAAGAAAUAGCCAAUUCAUGUUACAUUUUUAAAAAGGUCUUUCGCUAUUUCAAAGGAAUGAUUUGGGGUAGGGGAGGGUAGUAGAGAUUGGUUGUGGCCACCUUCAGCCUAUCAACGUCCACUUCCUGCAAGUUCCUAGUGGGGCACCUGUUAAAAGACGGAAAGGACAUUGCUUUUCACCUCCUCUCUUUCACUUCUCUGCUCCUCUCCUCAGCUUGGGGCCUGAGCGGUCAAGGAGGGCAGAGUAGGAGAGGAGGUCCGGAGGGGUGGAGGACAGGCUGGUUGUCCAAGACAGUCUGGAAUGAAACAAUAUGAAGAGAAAUACAGCCCACCCACUCCGUGGGGGAGAGGAGGGUGCCGGUGGAGAAACUCGGGCCUGAAUUUUUCUUGAGGAAGCUGAGAAGACCCUUUGACUUCAAGGCAGAUGGAACCUGGAUGGUUUAUGGGAGGAAUGGGACUUGAAGGUGCUCAAAACUUCUAGGCAGGGCUUUGAUCUAAUUAAUAGAAGUGAAAAUAGUAGGCUUGGCUGCUCUCUGUCCCAUCUCUCUCCUGCUCAAAGUCCUGGGCCAGGCACUGUUCCUUCCUUCCAGCCCAAAGACUUGAGAAAGUAAUUUCUACAGCCCCCUCCAGAGCUGUUUUCCACCCCCACAGACAAUCUGGUGGGUCAAGACACCUGAAUUAGCUGAGACUUUCCACAGUAACCGUCACUCACUUCUCUUCAGUUCAGUCCCAGACCCUUUACAAAGCCUUGAAGGCACCAUUUUCCAACACAAACACAGAAGCAAGGCGCAGCCUGCCCGCAGAACAGGACCUGUGAAAUCAGGCACAUCUCGGGACACCCUCUAAGGUGGCCCUGCCCCUGGCAUAGAAGUCUAGGGAGGCGAGGUCCCCACACACCCACCCCAGCAGCACGGACCUCAGGAGCAGAUGAACCGCCCCGCGGGCCGGCUGGUGGAAUGGGGCCGUUCCUAACGGCUGCCUCGGCUGCCUCAUCCUGCCUCGCGGUCCAGACCAGGGGUUUCGGCUACUCCUCCCGCAGCUUCCCAAAUCAAGAUGGACUCGCAGGAGACUACACCCUGCGUCUGCAGAACCUCAGAAUGCAGAACCACCAGGGGGUCCUGGCCCAUGGCCCUGGGAGGAUUGCGGCUGGGGAGAUGGGAAGGAGUCUAGGAAGGCGGAGGCCCGCACCAUCCACCCCUCCCCACCCAGAGCAGCGUGGACCUCAGAGCAGCGUGGCCGCCCCGCGGGGUUAACAGGGGCAGCCUGGCGCCGGGCGGGAAGAGCUGGGGAGAGGGGCCGGGGCGGGGCACGGCGGGUCGCGGGGAUUGAAGACCACCAGGUCCCUUCCCACGUGCCCACUGUCCGCGCGCUGCAGCCUCAGCGUUAACUGCUGUUCUUAAAGGCUGCCUCCGUCCUGCUGCGUGCUUUGACGGUGGAGCUGGCAGAACCGCAACUCCCUCUCUGAGCGUGAAAACAGACCUUGAUCACCAGAUGGGUCUUCGGAUGGGGACGCGGGAUGAAGCUGGGCCCAGGGGUGUUUUUUUGGAGGCUGGGAAACCUGGAGGGAGGCCCCCAAAGCUUCUCAGUUCUGGACUCCUUGGUCCCAAAGGGAGAGGAAGUGGGCUGGGCCUCAGCAGGGUUGCAGGCAUUGCGGGAGCAUCACGUUCAUCAGAGCAUGUUGGCAUGGAGGCCGCUCAGCCCAGGGAGGCAGGAUUUACGCCCCAAAUGGAAAGCACGCAGUGGUGCCCACCUAGAGGUGUUAAUACUGGGCAACACUUUGGGGGUGAGGAUCUGACAAUUUCAUGCCUUUUGGGGUUGUCUUCUCAAGUCUGUAGGGUCAGCCCACAGCCUGGUUCCUGUGAAGUGAGCUUGCUGUCACUGCCUCUUCAGGGACAACUGUGAGCAUCUUGAGGAGAUGCUUUGGGAUCUGUGGCAGGAGGCAAAAAGGAGAAUGUGUGAUACCCAGAAUGCACUAAAGCAUGUUCUUACAGAGCAGAAGUCAGUGGCUGCUCACCAGAGAGGGGCCCCAGGGUAGAGAAAAGUGAAAAAUGGAUGGGCUUCUAUCAGCUUACAACACUGACAACUCCCGUGGGGGGCAGGUGCCAGCCAGGGCUAUUAAAUAAUAACAGGAGGGGCCACCAUAGAUGAAAGGAAGGAGGAGGGUGGGGAGGGGAAAAGGAAGGGGACGUGCUCCAAGAAGCCACCCAGCACAGCAGUCUCAUUAGCUUUUUGCUAUCAGUCCUCAACUACAUUUAGGGGAGAGUUCCUGACCAGGCCAUCUGUCUGUCAGCAAAGAAGCGAGGAGGAGAAGUAGUGAGGCGCAUCACCCUCCGUAACUUACCUCCUCCCACCCCACGCUGAACUGGCUCCCUACUAAGAUACCCAGAGAAAUGCCUUCAUUCACAGAAUAGAAUAAACCAGAGGAAAAUUGGAGUCUGAGCCUGUGUUCCAAAGGUUCUGGGUACGAGGGCUUGAAUCCAGCAGCAUGGCUGUUAGUGCUGCAGUUUUUCCAUCCUGAGCUGUGGAAAUGAGCUCUUUCCAUUGAGAUAUUCUCUAGCUGGAACCCAGAGGGGAUAAGAAAGUGUGUGAGGAUAGCUUCCCAGGGGAGAAAGAGCGAGUGGGAGUGGGCUCCAAGCAGGGACUGUCACGCCUCCCAUCCUCUGGUGGCCUGGGAGGAUCACAGGAUGUCAAGGCCUUACUCCUAUGGCCUUGAUUCAGAUUAGCUGUGGUUCAAGACUGCCUGCAUGGCACAUGUGCAAGGUCGCCAAGGCAGUGCUGUGCCCUUAACAUUCAUCUGCUUUCCCAACCUCGAGGGCAGACUCCCUAUAGGGCAGGGAAUGCCUCAUUCCCCACUGGGCCCCCCUGUGGCUCCUGGCAUGGAACUGACACAUAGUUGGCAUUGGCAAUGCACACACUUACUAGAUCUUAAAGAAGGCCAGAACCAGAACCAGAGGCGCAUAAAUAAGAUCUGUAUCAGCAGUGGGGUAGAGAAAGGGUGGGAAACUAAGUGACAUCUUAGAAUGCAUCCAAGGAAGUAGAUGGAUUUGAGCUUUAACUACUGCAGAAUGGCACCUGAGCAGGCCCCAUUUGUUCAUACUUACCGCUAAUUGAAUAUACCUUCCAGGAAUGUAAGAGCCAGUGGGAAAUUCCCCUCCUCCUGAAACACAAAGGGUUUCUGGAUGGGCACUGAUUGUCUAUAGGCCAUGGCUUAAGACCAAAAUAUCUUCCUGCUCCCCGCAAAAAUAUAUGGUGACUAUAUAUUCUUGCCUGCCUAGUCAGCUUUGGUUAAUUCAUAAAGUAAAGGGGCCCUGAGCCUGCCUGCCCGGCCCAGAGUUUAGAGUUGAAAGGGAAACAUCUCUGAGUGGAAACCAAGCACAUGGAUCGAAUGGUCCUGAUGGUGCAUAGGGCCUUAGGUUUGGAAAGAAGGGAAGGGCCUGCCGCCUUGCUGGGGACUUGAGCCUCUCAGCUAUUGGAGCUCUCUGGAGCUGCCCUGUCCCCAGGGGCAAUGGGCCCUUGCUGGCCUCCAGGCCCCCUCCUUCCCUGGAUUCUGUGCUGUUCUCUGCUUGGUCUUGUUUCAUUAGCUGUGGCAGAAACUUUGGUUCUGACAAGGCCCAGGAAACAGAGCCUAGCAAGGACCUGAGACAACUAGGUGCCCCAGGACCACAGGAACUCACGUGCGCUAUGAGGGCUUUAAGAAUUUUGAAGUGGGGCGUCUCCCACAGGGAUCAGGGAUGUGGGUGCUGAUGCUGUUGAUAAGCCACAUGCAAAGGUUGGGGUCACUAUGACUGCUUCUCAGACCCUCUCCGGAGGCAGACUUUCCCUCUCCUGCCCGGCCAAGUUCCCUUUGGGCAGAAGGACCUAGGGAGCUUUCCCUGGCCCAGGUGGCACAGGCCCUGGCCCCCACUCGGACAACGGUCCCUUGCUGUGCCCACUGAAAGAGAUCCCCGAAAGAUAAGCUCUGUUCCAAGCAGGGCAGACAAGGAACAAUGGGAUUAGGGCUCCAAAACCCUCCAGUACUGUCAGAGAAUUCUGGACAGGGGCUGGGAACAGGAGCCCUUCUCACAGGCACCUCUGCAGGUGGGAUUGACGACUGUCAAAUACUGGCCGAGGCCAAGGGAGACUCUGUCACAUCUGAGGACACAGGCAUGGUUUCCUCUGGACUUCAGUGAGAGGCAGAGGCCUCAGCCCCAGAGAGUUAUCUCGGCUCUGCCUGGGAAGAAGUGAGGGAAGCACAUUCCUCCCCGAGAGUUGGCCUCUGAGGAGGCAAAGUCAAGUAUGUGAUAGAGGGUUCCCUAUCUGUGCAGCGGGGAAAAUGGAGCUUGGGGGUCAGCUGUCUGAAGGCAUGAUUCCUGGUAUGACUCCUACGAGCCCAAGCUACCUAUUCCUGCACAGAAAUGCUCCCUGGCCUCAUCCUGUGGGUGGCAAAACCACAUAUCCAGUUAUUGAUCUUUUCGUCCUCCUUUAGAUACUUGUCUGUAAUAAAUAUUUACAGUGGGACCCACAGACGAACCUUAGUCCCAAAGGUUAAGAAAGUGAAAAAUUCAUCUGAAAAGGGGUCCUAGGCAGGGAUACCGUAGCGGGGACAGGCAGAAAACAAAAGCGAGCCUCUGGGCCACCUUCUCCCUCAGCAUUCCGUGUAAAGAUGGGCUUGCAGGAGGAGACCACACCCUGCAACUGUAAAACCUCAUGAUAUGGAACCACCAGGGGCUCUUGGCCCAUGGCCCUGGGUGGAGUUGAUGUUGGAGAGAUGAGAUUAGUAGUGGGGCGCAUCCCCCUGCCAUGACUUCCUUCUCCUGCCACAUGCCUGUCCUUCAGACCCUCUCCCUGCUGUGCCAGAGCCCCUGAGUUCAGGGAGCAACUGCGGGCAGAUGAAAUUGGGCGAUGGUUAAGUGUGGGAAGUCCCUGUGGACUUCUAAAAGCCCUUCGGUUUCUGCCCUGCUUGGCAUGCUUCCAGAACCCAGGGUGGCGGUGAGGUGGGAGCCAGCAGAGGGCAGGGAAGAAGUUCCAGGAUCAAAGCUCACCUUUCCUUUCUUUGCCCUAAUCAGGCGGAAAACCAUGGGGGUGAGGGCUUGGCCAUCGCCCAGACCCCAUUCUCGUGGACAGCGAGGUCUUUGCCUGUUUGGAUCAUUUGCUGCCCAUGUGUUUCAAGCUGCCCUGCACUUCACAGGCUGCUUGGAACCCCUCCCUGCCCAUCCAGUAAGAAGCACCCCCUGGCAAGAGGCAGAGGACGGGGGGCUUUUAGUCUUGCAGCCCUUGUUUGUUUUAAAUGUCAGGCUGACUUCUCAAUGACAGAAAUAUUUUAAUGGCAUGGCUUUAGCAAACGAGACUCAAGGCCUGGAAGGACAUGGCCAGGUCUUACUCACUGAUCAGUUUAGUUCAUCCUGAGGAGUGACGUUAGAAGGAAAGAUUCUUUCGCCAGAUCAGAUUGGACUUAGGCAGAAUAAACCAAAACACCAAGAGAAGCAGGCACUCUGGCCAGAAUGGGGAGGGGCUAAAGAGCAGGCAACAAGCUGGGACGAGCUGGGAAUCUGGGCAACACAGGCUUGUAAGGGCACAGGCUUCCAGUGGCAGAGAAAUUGGGUUUGUAGUAAAGACUUAAACCUGUUAAAAUAAAUUGGUUAGCAAAGGAUCUCUGCUCUUUAAACUCAAAACAGCUGUUCUUAGUCAAUAGUCACAUAGCAGAUAUUAAGUAGGAAGCUUAAAAGGAGGAGAUGGCAGCUUAAAACAUGCACUAAGAUGCCUUAUUGGCUAAGAAAUGCACAUGCAAACCCACACCCAGGUGUUAAGGAAAAAGUACUCAUAGUGCUGCUUGCUUCUUCUGCCCCUUGUCCCAAGCUGCACACCUGAUCCUACCCCUGUCCCCAGUAGGCUGGCAUCUUCACAGUCACUUCCUCCCACCCAGGACAACAGCGCCCCUGGAAACACCGGCCUGCAGCCACAAUAAGGGUGUCCAUGGAUUCCUAGAACUACAAGUGGUGGAAGGCAGCCUGCUCUCCAGCCCUCCCUGUCACACACACACCCUCCCCUGCAGCAGGUGGAUGGCUCUGUUGGCUGAGGCUCUGCUGGAGUCCUUACCUGCCCCUCACCAAGGGACAUAUGCACCUCUGAUAAUGGGCAUAAGUUGGAUGUCAGUGACAGGAAGAGCCUAGACCACACCCUAGGAGACAGUGCCUUCUUUUCCUUUAAGCAUCCUCUUCCCUACUUGGUUUUCUGGAUAUUCCAAGAAUCUCCUUUUCCUUGCCUCCUUUUCUCAGCAGUUUCCUGUGGAGUGUCUUCAGCAGAUCACCAUUGCUUUCAACUUUGGAAGGAGCAGGGCUUCUGGGGACACCCAAGACUUUCCUGGGCAGAAUGGGUGGCUAGCUUCUCCAGGUAGGGCAGCCCAGCUCCUGUCUGCAUGGAGUUGGAGCUGCCAGCGCCAGGCUGGUCAGGGGCCAGGGUAAAGCUAGUUCAUACUGCCUUCCUGGGUGAAUAGCUGGAGCUCAGUGAGGCUACCUGGGAACUGAGAAGCAGCACAGGAAAAGUACCUCAUCCACUCGAUGCCUCCUCGCUAUCAAAUCUUGUAAGAGUUUUGUAAGGACAGGGUGCUUCGUAAGGACCAAGCAUUUUAGCAGAAGGUAAAUUUUGGAGAUUUAAGUAUUGUAAGAACCUCUCAGGGCAGGGUGGGUGGUUCUUGGCUGGAAGGCUGGCUCCCACACUCACUGGCAGGUGCUGACCUCGAGGGGCUGCUCCCUCUUUGUGGCACCAGAGGUUUUGCCAAGUUCUGCUGGUGAACCAAGGUCGCUGAGUACCAUCUUCAUUGGGACUGUAGCCUAUUUGACCCGGGGCUAGAACCCAGCCUGGGCUCAGACAAUGCCUCUGGUUAGAAUCAGAAGCAACAGGUGGGAGAGCGCUGGGGGAGUCACGUGUCUGCCCAGGUGAAAAGAUUCCUGAAAUUACCCACAUGUCAUUUUCUCCAUGAAUUAACCUGAGUGUUCAAUUUCUGAAGGCUUUGAUCUCCUAAAGGGCCUGUCUUAAUUCUCUCUGAAUCUCUCAGUGCUGUGUUAUUGCAACAGUCAUUUUCCUCCUGAUCGAGGUCUUUGGAAUGAAAUGGAACUAUAUGGAGGCUUCUCAGUUUGAGAAGUUAUCAUCUCUGGGCUCUCUCGAAUUCCACACUUUCAGAGCCAAAAUCCAGAAAGAAGGGGCAGUAACCCAAAUAGGUACUUCACUCCCAAAGAACCCCCUCUUCACUCUAGCUUGAGUCAGAGACCUAGUGAGUGCCUCGGAUUCCCGCAGGCAAGGCUUAGUGGUUGAUGAUCAGUGUGGAUGGGCAGGAGGGUAGACUCAGCAGAGUCACAGUGGGCUCACUAAUGUGUGCAGGGUGCUGUGGCAUGGGGGUGGAAGCUAGCUGGCUUCAAUGUUUAAGAACUUUUAAGUCCAUGAGCCUCUGGCUUUCAACAAGGGUAUGAGAUGGCCAGGGAGGUAUGUGGGUCUUUACAUUUCAAGAUAAGCUGAGUAAGGCUUGAGUAUCUAAACACAAGACUUGGGCAGGUGCUGGGAAGAGGAGAAGGACCACCUAACGCAGUAGGAACUUCAGUGGAGGUGGUGAGGGAUAUAUAGUCUCCUUGGGGAUAGAGGACAGAACUUCUUUCCUAGGGAGGAAAGAAAGGGGUUUCUUGGCUGGAGGGCAAUUUGGUCUCUCUGGGAAGAGUGAGUGGUUCUUGGCUGAAAGGCUGAAGCGUAGCUGGGAUGGGGCUCCAGACUCUGUCGCAUGUCCUGCCACUUAGAAUGACGGCUAUGGAAACCUCCGGGCAGCCAGGGGAGGUUUCUUUCCAGCAUUUGGAGAGACUUAAGUUGUAUGAUAGGACCAGUGGCUGAUGGCCAAGUUAAGUGGCUCUCUUUUAUCCACAGGGAUCAACAUUCCUUAACCUCUAUUGAGAAGUAUCCACACUCCAAGAAUGGAGCACACUAAGUGAAUGAAAAAUCGAAUCCUUCCCUACACAUCCAGCAAGAAAGCUGGCACACAUUCCCAGAAAGGGAGGGCAUGCCUCUGGAAGCCAGGGGCAGGCUUGGUGACGCAAGAGUGGAUUGGUCAAAAGCCAAAUGGUCCUGACCCUCGCCUGUCCUGCUUGCUGUGGCCCAGAGGGUGACUUUCACUCUCCAGUGACUGGUAGGAGGCUUUUGAUCAUCCAGCCGAGGGGAAGCAUGGCAUCUGCAAGACAGAGUGUAGGGAUUUAACCACGGUUAUCAGCAAGAGGCAGGGUGAAGGCCUCUGCAUCCUGCUUCUUCCCCAUCAGUGAAUGCCGAACCCAAGGUCUCCUGGUCUCAGAAGGGCCAGCGUGGGGAGCAAGUGAUUUCCUGUUUUAUUUCUAGAUUGGCUAGAAAUGCAGGCAGGGCCAAGAGCAGCCGUCUCACAAACCCACGUUCCUCUCCCCCACUGCCUGCCAUCCUCCCCCAGGCUUCCCAGGCCUCUGUGAAGUGCCUCACUGCCCUGAGGCCCAGGCCUGCGGCAGCACAUGGAGAGCUCCUCCUCCCUGCUUCAUCUGGUCAAACCCCGCCUUCUGUUCAGAUCGCAGUUCCAAUGCCAGUCCCUGGAUAACAUAUUCCCUGCCCCUUCAGGCAAGGCCACUGCCAGGGACGUGUCUGUGAAUCACUCCCUCAUAGCACCCAGCACGACUUGAAACCCAACAUUGAUUUGGGUGAUUGUUUGAUUAAUCUCUCUCUCGCCUCCAAGACAGACCUCACGCAAUUCAGCUGAACAUCUUUCCCUGCCUUUGGCACUUAAUAGAUACUCAAUAAAUAUUUGUAGAAUGCAUGAAUGCCAGGGACAAUGUGAGUUCCCUCCUCUUACACACAUUCACCUAUGUAGCCCUUGUUCAUUGGGCAAUUUGCUUGAAUUACUUGGCUGUCCUAUUACUUGACCACAUUCAGGGUGGCCCAGGGAGACAAGACAGGUGAGGAGAAGGGAGGAGGAGAUCCAUCUGACAGCCAGGGGCAUAAAGAGGACGGUGGAGGUGGAGAACAACAGUGAAGGGCGGGCAGAGGAAGACCGCCUAGUGUCAGGGGGAGCGGGAGUGAGAGGAGGCUGGAGAAGAAAACCAAAGGAGUCACUUAAUGAGAAAUGUCUGUGCCAUGGGGGGCCGGGGGCAGAUUUGGAAGGGGCAGGCAGGGCUGUGGCUGCAGAUGCCACAAGGGAACUGUUAUUGGGUGCCAGCCCAGGAGUGGGCAGAGGCACCCUCGAGGGCUGAGAUAACGUGCACACCCAGCACAGCACAAAGAAAGGGAACUGAGGGUUUCAACCGGUGCAGCCUUUCUGUAGGGCCAUCUAACAAAAUCAAAUAGAAAUAAAAAGGAGAGCCGCUUUCGAGAUUCUCCCCAACAGAAAUAAUACAGAACUCCGUGAGGAUAAGCAUGCAGGGACAGUUGUGGCAGCCUGGCAGCGUUUCUUAAAAAAAUGGGAAGCAACCUGAGUGACUGCGAAUUGGGGAAUCUUUCAACUCAUGGCACAUCAACAGAAUGGGGUGCAGUGCAGCCUCACAGAGUGUGGCCAGGCGUGCGUACUGAUCUGAUGUGGAACCAGGUUAGUGCAUGGCUUAAAAUCAUGAUGCGAGCUGCAGAAUAAUACGUGUACUGGGAUCUCAUUUAUGUUUUUGAGACCCACUUCUGCGUGUGCGCAUAAAACUACAUUAUGUUUGUGUGUCGUAAAGUCUGGGAGAACACUGGCUCCACCCUGAACACUGUUCGGGGCAGGGUGAGAGGGAUUCAUGCUUUCGACUGUCUCUUUAGUGUUGCUGAGAUAAGAAUGUAUUUCCUCUGUAAUAAAAAGAAAAAGGAAAGGUUGUAGGAUGUGGCAACAAAGAGGGGGCUGAGUCUCUAGGGGGAUGAGACCCAUGAGCUGGGGCGAAAAGAGACCAAUGACACCAGAUGAAAUGAACAGGAAGGGUGACAGGCCUUCCACAGGCUGCGAACAUCCUUCAGAGGUUUCUGGCAGUUUUGAAAGAGGAUGCGAGCUUAAGCAAGCGGGGUACUGGAGGGAGGGUUUAAAUCUAAUGAGAGGCAGGCUAAGGGGAGGGAGGUGAAGGCAGAGGGAACUUAACAGAAAUCUGGGGAGAGGGAUACUUGGCUGGAGGGCCAGCCUGGGUGAGCAGAAAGGCUGGCACGUCCAAAGCCCAGGCAGAGGCAUAACCCUACAGAAGGGCGAGGAGUACAUUGGAGGUAACAGGAGACGUGAGGUAGGAGGGCCAGUGGCAGGAUGGGGACGGGGGGAGUUCACAACUGAUGGCCGAGGGGUUUAUCAGUGAACUAAGAGUGGAUGUUGUCAACUGAGAGGGACAAGGGUUUGAGGGCAAUGAUAAACUCCGGGAACUCGGGGGAGAAGGGCCAGCAGGAGUUAGCAAAACUGACUGCUAGGCAGCAGCAGAGAGGGCCCCGCCCAGCUGAGCUGAGAAUCAUACAUUUGUGAUGGAAGACUGGUGGUUAUCCAUUUUUCUCUUAGCAGAGCUAAAGUGCAAGUCUUGAGAAAAUGAAAGGUCCCAUGGUUCUGAGGUUGGAGAGCACCAAGGCAAGCCCAGCAUAAAGAAAAGGAAACCAAGGGUUUUAAACAGGUUGACUAGAGAAAGAAGGUGAUGUGGAACUGAAGAGCUUCACGUUGGCUGGAGAAGGGAGUGGCAGGAAGCCGAGGUGCUGCGUAGGUGACACUGGGAUCAGGGUUUGGCUGUGGGGGCGGGCUGCAGAAGUGGAGAUGAGUGACAAGCCUCCUUGGGGGUUGUCAAUGUCAUUUAGGCUGAGCAGCACUGGGGCAGAGACGAAAUUAGUGAGUCUGAGACUGGAGAUCUCCAUUCAUUCAUUCAACAAAUAUUUAUUGAGCAUCUACUGUGUGCAGGCAUGCUUCUAAUAAGCUCUUGUGGGGACAUGAAUGUGGAAGUACAGCAGGUUUUGAUAGACAGAUGGGAAGACAGUCACGUGGCAUGAGAGGGCUCCAAGGGAAGAGGAGGCACCAUUAGGACGGGGUAGAUGCCAGUAGAUGCCAGUGAACCACAGGCCUGGAGGCCUUACCUGAGGGAGAUGCUAAAGAAAGGAGCCUUGCUGUUUUAGAAGAUUUGGAAGAGGAGCCACCCUAAGGGAAGGGUGGAUUUUGGAUGAGGGGAAGAGACACCAGGAAGCCAGUGUCCUCCGCUUCCUCCUGCAAUGUGGGCUGCCUUCCCAAGCCCCCUGGGGCUCAUAGGCUGCUACCAGGCCAAAAGGAAGGGCAGGGCAAGGAGCAGGGCACCUCUGUCAUCAGAUAGCACGAGGCUCCUUCCCCAGGGCUGUGGCACUCUCUGUGACUAGCUCUGGAUUUUGGUCCUCGCCCACUGAAUGAAAGUGCCGAGAAACAAGAAGGCUAAAGAGGAAUGGACUGAGGAGAUACAGUGCUAAGAUACAGGGCUCCAUGAGGAGCGAGGCGUGGCCAGCACAGGAGCAGAAGCCCCAGGACAUUCCUGAGGGAAGGGGUAGAUGCACACAGUGGCAGGGCUGGAGGACAGUCAUACACAGCGGGAAAUGUGAUCCCAUGGAAGUCACGGCUACUGCAAGGCAACCACAGACACAUCUGGUUCCACCAAGUCUCAGGGAUCCCAUUAGACGGCAGCUGUCCCUCUGAUGGCUUCUUCCUGCCGUUGGGCCACUCUGAAGCAUGGGAAGGAAGAGGUCCAGGGGCCAGUGGUGGCGCCAGUGGUGGGGUCAGUGGUGCAGAAGAGCCUGGGUGGAGGUGUGUGGUGAUGACAUGAUGGCCUUGGCUCAUACUGUGGCUCUCAGGGAGGCUGCCUUUCCUUCCACCUGGACACACUGGCCCUCUCCCACAUUGACUUUUCAGAUUGAGCUCCUUUUUCUGGCAUUACCUGCUUUUUUACCAGUCCCGUUCCCUCUACCACCAACCUCGUCAUUUGACUUGAGUGUCCUGGUCUCCGUCACUUGGCUUGGCUAUUCUGGUCUUCAUUCCCUGUCCCUUGAGGAGUGGGUGGGGCAGAUCCCCCAAGUACUCAUGCCCAUCAGUGUGAUAGCUGCUAUCAAGUUCUGCUUUUUAGAUUCCAAAUGGAGCUGUGGAUGAUGUGGAGCCUUUGGCUUCCCUGCCAGUUGAGAAGAUUUCUGCUUGCAAGGGCAGGCAGGCUGCUCUGAGUCUGGAAUGUUCUUUCUGGAAUGGCUGGAGGCAGGAGCCAUUUGUGUAGAAAGUCAUUGAUGGAAACAUUUUCCUCGAGAUGGCCUCAAGGCUUGGUGAUGUCCCGUCAGCCAGCCAGAAGGUGAUGGAGUGUUGCCCUUUCUUCUCCCAGAACGGAAGGGGAGAGAAGGCGAGCAGGAAGUGAGGUGCGGGAGAGAAAGAGAGAGCGAUGGGAAAAGAGGACACUGGAAGGAACGGGGAUACUGGAAGGAAGAUCUACUCUUCCAGUCUGCAGGUGGCCCCGAGGAGCAGCUGUAGUAGGUCAUUGUAGGGGAUAAUUACAGGCUUACAGGGGGGAAAGGGCAAAGCUGCUUAGAAGAGGGUCCAGGGUGGAAGAGCAGAAAGCAGAAAGUCCUGGCAGUGCCUUCGCUUCCAGGGUUGGAGCGGGGAUGUGGAUGUGUGCUCACCUCACCUUCAGUUAAACUCCGAGGGCCUCCUUUGGGGAGAAGGAAGGGACACCGUUGUGGAGAGUGGGCUUCCUUCCUUUCUCCUCCCCACCUCCCCACUGUGCAGAUGCUGGGGGUCUGAGCAGUUAGGGUUCUCAGAAGGGCCUCACAGACAGUGGUUUCUCCAGGGUUGUGUGGGGGGGGGGGAGGGGCGUUUUGCCUGGAGCCUGGGCCAUGAACUGGAAGUGUGGAGUGACUUCUUGCCUGGCCACGCCUCCCCGCCACCCCAUCCUGGGCUGGAGCCUUGGGCUCAGCUCACGAGUGCACACUGCUUUCUGUGGGAACCAGUAGGCUCAUGGUUGCUUGGAAACCAUUCUGGUGUCUUACAAACCAAGCCUCUUCACCUGGCUUUCAUUCACUGCACACAGGAAGAGCCCGCAGCUAGCAAUGCUGUGCACACUGUGUGGCCUGGAACGUGAGAAAGGCCACAGCUAGAGCUUCUGCCAGGGCAGCGCCACUGAGGACAGUCACAGGUCAGCUGCAGGACGAUGCCCCUCUGCUGCUGAGUCCCCAGCGGGGUCCCAUUGCUCCCUCCAUUACCCUUAUAGGGCUCUCUCUGAGUGGAUCUAUGCCCUACUUCAAAUUUAUUUUUAGCAUAGAAAACUCUCCAGAGCGAAGAGCUUACCUGCUUUAUUCAAUGGGUUCUUGCAGCCCAGUAUCAGCCUUAGCCAUGAUACUGUAGGAUUCGUAGGCUGAUUCAUAAUCCCUGCUGACAUAUCCUUAAAAGACAGGGUAGAGGCUACACACCACUCAGCCCAGCCCUCUUCUUUCUGGAACACCCCCAUUCUCCACACCCCCAGCUCCCGGCACCUUCUCUGGACUAGAAAAAGCCCCAUAGCAUCUUGCUUCACCGACGACACAGUGAGCAGAUGUCCUGUGCAGAAGCGCCUUGCUUGUGUGAAGUAUGAGAUGAGGCUCUAUUUUGCUUUCAGUUGGUGGCCCCACCCUUCUGUUGUGUUCUCCUGUUCUCACAAGCGUCCAGAUCCUCCUCUUCAUCUCAAGGCCACACCUUAUGCUUGUCCACUCUGUCCACUUCCCUGAACCCUGGGCUGGGCCUCCUGCAGCCUCCUUCCCUGUGGCUGGAAAUCUAACCACCCACAGUUGCCAUUUGUCUUUGGUGCAGCCCAUUUCCCCACUAGAAAUAGCGUUCAAUAAGACAGGUUCCAGCAGUCCUCCCGUGACCAACCCGCUGGUAACGGUUCUGCACUCGGAAUCACACAUGCUCAGCCCUGCUUCAGGGUUUUGCUUUCGAUAAACCAUUUCUCUUAUCCUUAGUUUUUGAAACUGCAUCUUUCUGUGUCAGAUUUCUUCCUCCUUAAAAACCCAGCCCCCAGGGACUUGCCUGUUUCAUCUUUACCCCAGCCCCCUACUGGCUUUCCCAUUUAGCUAGGAGAUACUUUUCUGACACUUUAGGGAUGGCAUCGAGGGGGAGGAAGCUGGGCUCGCUGCACCCUGCCCACGCCUGCCUUGCCUUAGCCUUCCCUAGGUUGGUACAAACACAUAGACCCUCUCAAGUGAGGGCUUCAUUGGCAAUUUGUCCAGACAAUACCAAAGGAGGGUCCACAGGGGAGGGGACGAAGACUCCAGGAGUGUCACUGGUUCCUUUCAGUUUACUCUCUGGUCUCUAGUGCAAUGUCCAUGAAGAUCCUCAGUCUGUCUCGGAUGUCUUGAAUGGUGCUGAUAUAGUCCCACUGUCUCUGCUCUUUCUCACGUUCUUCUCCAGGGUCUGUUCCCAGUGAGAUCCUCGUGCCCGAUGUCUUGCAUUUGCAUGUGCAUUGCAGAGGCACUGGCUGCACCAGGAAAAUGAAGUCGAGGGACAUCUCUCCAGGUCUCUCCCACUGGGGGGCAUGGCCCAGCUGCCCUUUCUGAGUCUGAUCGUUGGAUAUGAAGCCUUCUUUACCCACCUUGCGCACCCUUUGCUCUUUUAGGCUGUCUUCUAUUCACUGCCGCAGGCCCAAAUUUUGUCAUGAUAGAUCACUGAGCUCCAUCCAAAAUACCUGGCUUGGUAGGGUCUUGGCUCCUGCUGGCUCCCUGACAGAGAAGCACACACCCUACCUAGGAUGAUUGGCAGCCUGGAGGCUCAGGAAGGACAGACUGUUUGCUCUGCAGCCCACCUGCCAAGGUUUUGCUGCGCUCUACACAAUGUGUGUGGCUUGUAUUGCGAAAAACACUUGUUGGCUUAUUUCCUAAAUGCAAAAACUCUAAUAUGCUUUGAUUCAAAAGGAAACUUGCUGAGAUUCUGAGGCUCUUCUGGGACCUCCAGGUAGAGUGGUUAGAUAGGAGGCCUGAAUUCUGGCAGAAGGGUGGGACCAGGGAUGGGACAGGUGUGAGUUUUCCACAUUCUGUCUUGACAGAGAAGCCCCAGAAAGAAAGAGAUUAACCCAGAACGUUGGAGAAAGUUGUCAUUAAGAGGCAGGUGAAGGAACUGGGAACUGGUUAAAGAAAAAAAAAAGCGGGGGAAAGAGGGUGGGGUCCGGUGUACAGAGAGCAAUUAGGAAAAACUGCACUCCAGGAAGUCAAGGGACGCGUCUCAACAGAGAGCCUGGGUGACAAUGUCAAACGCCACCUAGAGAUUAUGUGCUGGAGGCCUGAGCAGUGUCCUGUGGAUUUAGUAAGGCUGUUGGGGAGCUCAGCUCCAACUGCUGCUGUGGGGUGAGGGGAGGGCGCACUGGUGGCCCCAGGAGGGAAGGAAGGAGUGGGCCACUGGCAGCCUGAGGAGAAGAUGCCCUAGAGACGGGAGGGGCUGGGAUUUCUGGAUAGAGGGAGAAGACUGCAGGGGUCAAGUCUUGGAGAGGUUGGGGAGAAGGGUCCUGAGUCAGACCUUGGGAAAGAAGAGGUCCUGUCAAUGGGCAUGUGGGAGGGUUGGGAGGCAGACGAAGGCCGCUAGGCUCUGAGCCCUCCUUUCCUCAGUGAAAUAGCUGCUGAGAAUAUUUUCUGAGUUUCUGGCUAACAGUUGCAAAAAGCCCAGAGGAGAUUGCAAGAGGUGAGGCAGCUGAUCAAAGCCAAGUGGAAGGGCAGGCCCUGAGGCCCAGCUGAGGAGGGAGGGAGGCAGAGGUUCCCGGCACAGUGGCUGUGCGGGAUCAGCUUUCCUGCAGCCUGAGCGCCUGUGGAGCUGGGGUGGAAAGGCAGAGCAGACACUGCCCUGGUUCGGGGCUGAUAAGGAGGCUGAGCUGAGCUGUACGGACAAAGGCCCAAUGAGGUGGAUGCUGGUGAGAGGAGCUCAGCGGUGAAGGAAGGAAGGGAAGCCUGGAUGUCGAGAACCCAGAGGGACCCUGGAACCUUUCCAUGAGAUUGGAAAAUGGGAAGUUCUGUUUUUUUGCAAUGACUAUAUGAUUAUCUUUGUAAUCAGAAAAAAAAAGUCCAUUGAAAAGUCAAACUACCCGAAUGCCAGUUAACAGUGUAAUGGAUAAAUAAAUUGUGUAUUUCUAUAAUGGAAUACAACAGCAAGAUGCAGCUUCCAAACAUAACUGUCACACAUAAAAUGGCUAAAUAUUAUUAGCAAUCAUUUGUGUAAGGUUCAAAACACAGGCAAACGUAAGCCGUGGGGUUAGAAUUCAGGACAGGGAUUACAUUUGUCGAGGGAGGUCACAGGAAGGUCCAGGGAGGGGGGCUGGUUGCUGACCUCGAUGCUGGUCACAUGGGUCCAUGCAGUCAUUGGAAUGCACUGGCCUGGAAAUAUGACACGUGUGUGUAUUUUUCCCUGUGUUUAUUCAAUUUCCGUCAAAAGUUGACUUAAAACCAAAAAGACUAACGUGAAGCAAUUCCACUGGGCUUUAAGGCCAGUUGCUUCUGCAGUCACCUCUAGUAGAUGUUGGUCCAGCCAGAAAUGGCAACUGUCAAAGUAGUGGUAAGCCUUCUUGUCCCCUGCUCAGGGGAAGGGACCUUUGUCCUGGUCCCCUGUCCUCCAUUCAGAUGAUCAACCACACCAUAAACACAAGAGGCCAUUUCCCUUCUUGAAGCCUCUGCUCUCCACCUGCAGCUCUGCAAGUUGUACCCUGCACUCGGGGGCUCAUCUGAGGGGCAGAGACCCAGCCCCAGGCAGCAGGCUGAGCAGGGUCCAGCUGCCCUAGGUUCCGCCCAGAGGGGUUACCUUUUUAUAAUAUGUCCAAUGAUAUACAGCAGAUUCAAAACAGCCCUACUGGGGGAUUGGGGGCAAACGCUGCUGAUACAUUGCACGUCUGGACUGGAAAAAGGAAUUUGAGUGUUCCGUGAUAUUGUCACACUAACAAUAAUCACAGUACGUAUGGUGGGCAAAGAAGUUUCUUGUGCUCGAAGCACUUGGGUGUACAUCAUCUGUGACCAGGGCUUUGCCCAAGUUCUGGUGAGAAGGGUAGAGGCAUCACUCCUGGCUAGAGUGUCUACUCGGGGUGGCCAGGCUCUGGAUGUGAGAGGGCUGGUUUGGACAGGGUGGUCAACAGUCCUUCUCCCCCACCUCUGUGCGUCAUCGGCAGACUGGAUGGAUGUCUGCCAUUCGUUUGCAAAAUAUGUGUUUCUGGGGUUCUGCGCACCCACCCUCAUUCUGGGCCGAUGGAACCCUUCUGUAGCCCUGAACAUUCUCUAGUGCCUGCUUCUGAGUCUGUGAGAAGCCCCUCAGGUACAGGUGGGGAGCUGAGGCCCCCUCUCCGGCCCUCCCUCCCAGCAGGCUCCUGCUCACAACGGCCCCUAAGGCUCUACAUUUAGCUGCCUGUGACAGCCGGUCAUGGGCCUCGUCUUUUUGUUAUACAGGACACAGCUUUCUUCUUUUUUUCUUUUCAAAUAUUCUCCAAGCCUUCCUGUGGAGGUUUUGCUCUUUAAACAGCUCCUUUUGAUUUUUCCCCUUACCAGUGACCAUAUUUCAUCAUCGUUCCUCCUCCUGAAAUUAGGUGCUUUAGGGGGGUAUAUUUGGGGCCCCCUCUGCCACCAGAGCAUUCAAUAUCAUCACAUGGGCAUCGGGAGCCUCCAUGCCCCACCACGGAGCCCUCCUACUCCAGGGCCUGUCACUUUGGAGAAUGAGCCCACUUCCUCUCCCCUCUCUGUGGAUUUGGAAACUCUGUAUUUGAGGGAGCUGCCAGGUGUCUUAAAGAAGAGCCGUGCCUAGGUGUCUCGUCCAGAUAAGAGAGUUGGUAGUCGGAGCCAAGAGAAGGGCGUUUCCUCCCGAGGGCGGGAGUGGCCUCACUCAGGGAGGAGUCACUGCUCUCGUCAUCAUCCACACAAGUGGUGUGUCUGCAGGGACAGCCCUCUAAGAAGCUUUGGGGAUAUUUCAGGGCAGUUAGGAAGAUGGGAAGUUGGGAUUAAGGAAGACACAGCUUUGCCUUAGCGGUUUGCUUUCUGUGUACAGUAGAACUGUGUGCUUAACCAGACCCUGGCAGCCUCCUAUUCUCUGUCUUACUGCAGAGUUUCUGCUAGGUCGUGGCCACUCACCACUGAGCAGGGCUAUCGCCCAACCUCUCCUGCCCGCCUCCGUGGAGAUGCCGCACCAAUCACUCCACGCCAGCCCUUGUUUUUCCAGUUCGAGGGUGCUUGCGGAGAAACUGUUCUACACUUUGCUUUUCUACCCCUCCCCAGGCCUGUCAGUUGUCAGAUUCGGCGGGUCACUUUUGUCGUUGUUCCACUUUCUUCAAAUCCCUUUCCACGGCUUCCUGAUCACUGACUAUCACAGGGUUGGUGCCCAUCAGAAUCUUGUGCAGCUUGAUGCUGAUUUGUUUUUGUUUUUUUUUCCUAUUUUGGUUGAAAAACUGCCCUGAUUUGCGCUUUACUCCCAGCAGCUUAGAGCUGUUCAUCCAGCCUUUGCGUUUGGUCUCAGAGUCCUGCUGCGUCUUGCAGUCUGCACUGGAACUGGGGAUGCGCAGGAGCCUGGGAUGAAAGCACUGGUGCUGAAAUGCACACCUCCAGGCCUGGAGUGGGAGGGAUAGAAUGGAGCCGUGGUUUAGCCUGAAACAGCCUCGGGCCUAUGGAGAGGGUGGCAGCGACGGCUGCUCAGUACGGAUUGAUUUGGAGCUGGAGAUCAUGGAAUUCAAGAGCAAGUGAAUAAAGGGGCUGAGAAGAGGGCUAGGGGGAGGCUGAGAGGAGCCGCCUGGGAAGACUCCCAUGAUGUGAAGAGAGGGAGAGAUGUGAGGUCGUGCAGACCUCCAUGGUGGUGCAGGCCAGUUCAGGGAGGCUGUGGGUGGGCAUUGGGCCUGGGGAACAGCAGGGAAAGGUGCCUGGGAGAUUAUGCCACACUUCUGGGCCACUGGUGAGCAAAGGCUCAGCAAUGCAGUCGGGACCUCUCUUCUGCAGCCAUUCUUUGUAGCUCUGCAGGCUGCCUCGGGCCUACUCUGGGGGGCUUGUCUCUGGCUGUGGCUCCAGCUGCUGCCCUCCCCUCCCCUGCCUACCUGCUGUCUGUCCUGCCUGCCUCAACCACACAGUCCAUGGCAGCCCAUUCCCAGGCAGGUGGUAAAGCCACUUAUCUGGAAAUUAGCCUCCCUCCCUCCCUCUGCCUGCCCCCAAAUCCAGUGACCUGAGCUCCUGCAGCCAGAGCCUUUCCCCACCUGCUUCCUUAGUCCCAGCAGCUCUCAGCUGGUGUGAACGGUCCAAGGAGAGGUGAAGGCUGUUCGGGCAGGACUGCAGGAGGGGAGCCCUGCUUGUCUUGUGACUGUUCCCUCUCCAGGUGCUAUGGAUCUGAGGCAUCGGCAUCGUUAAAGAGUGCUGUGACAUUUUUUGUUUUUGGAAUCUAGGACUCUGUGACUUCCCAUUCUUCCUUCUCAUUCUCUGUCUGCUCUUUAAGGCCUGGAUGAAGCCCUCACCCUCCACGAAGCCCCCUUCGUUCACUCCAGCCCUCUGUCACCCCAGUCCUCUGGCAACAUAGAGCAUUUUCCGCAGCCCGUAUUCAUUUAGCUUUUAUCAUGCUCUAUUUAGGCGUCACUCUGUUUUACUUUCAAAGAGUUCCUUCGGCAUCUUUUUCUGUCUAGCAAGAUGAUAAACUCCUUCUGCCCUGCCCUUCCUGACUUGAGGGAUAAAUGAAGGCUUGUGGGGGCACUCGGGGAAGCUGGCCUACAUGCUACCUGCCUGCGUAUGUAAUGGUGGCUGACGGUUCAAUAUUAACGGGUACUGAAUAAGCCUGGUACCUGCUGGAGACAGCAAUGACAUUUGCUCUCACAGCAGAUGACAGGGUGAUGGCAGGCAUCUCUGGAUGUAAGCGAUGAGACCCCCAGGUGAUGAAGGGGUUAGACUGGGCACUUAGAGCCCUCAAGGGACCAAGGGAAUGUAGAGAAGGCUCAGGCACCCCAGGGUGGGGGUUGAGGGAACCAAGAAGAGGAAAGUCUGCUCAGGAAGGGUGUAGGCUUGGACACUGUAGGGGACAGAUCCAAGAGGCUUCCUAAGUCAGACCUCUCAUCUACAUUGGACAGGAUGAGAGCUUUGGAGUCACUGCUUUGCAUAUGAGACCAUGGAGACAUGGAAUCCAUCAUCAUCCCUGCCAGCUCAGCUCAGGGGACAGAACUGAGGAGGGAAGGUAGGAUACUCCCUCCAGGGCCUGGAGCUGGGGUCCAUGGCCAGGCUCUGGCAUGCCUGGAAAUGGCACAUUCCAGGUGGUCGAUAAAGACCUGUGGGAUUGAACUAAACAACGAGGGAUUCCUAGAUUAUCCUUAGCAUUGUCUUACAGUUUAGGAGGGGACAGAACAGAGUGGGAAGUGGGGGAGAGGAACUCAGAUGUGAUUUUAGCCAGGGCUUGGUUUAUACUGUUAUGCUUCUCUUGUGAUACUAGUUUGAUGGAAAGGCAGCAGGGGCGGUUCCGGGUGAGAGGAUGAGGGCAGGAACCCUAUCAGAGACAGGCCAGGCAGACACUGCCCAGAGAGGCAUCUCAGGAGGCCAGGACAGCCAGCUGCUUCUCCCUUGGGAGGAGGCCUCUGCUCCACCCUCCAUUCCUCCUCCCCUGGGCCUCUCUCCCUUUCUCCCUGUGUGAUCUUACGCUCCUGCAACGGCAGGAGGUAUAGACUUACUCCCAGAAUAGAAACCAUCUGGCUGCUCCUGAAACACUUUUUCUUCUGUGCACUACUGGCUCGUCUUCGUGCCUCCGCUCCGCUUAGACGUCCCCCUUGAAAAGGUCGUCUCUGAGUGCCUGUGGCUCCUGGGCCCACCCCCAAGUCUGCUCUGUCACAGUGGUACCCGUGUUUUCUUCACAGCACUUAUCAUUGCCGGGAUUUAUCUCAUCCAUUUCUUCUCUUUGUUGGUAUCUCUCUUGCUUCCUUCGAAGGGAAGCUUCAGCAGGCAGAUUCGUGGUCAUUCUCAACUGUGCUGUGCCCCGCAGCUUCCAGAACAGGGCUCACAUCAACAGUGCCUAAGGAGUAUGUGUUGAAUGGAUGAGUGGCUGGAUGACAGCACAUGGAAAGGCACCAAGUCUCAUGUGGGGUGGGGUCCUAGCAAACCUCCUUGUCUCUCAUCCUAGGAUUCCCUGUAGGGGAGCUGCUCGGUGAGGAGAGGGCCUGCUGGGCCCUGGUAGAUAAUCUGUCCUGGGCCUGGGCCUGCCGCUGCUUGCCCCUAACAGAUGGUAUGCUAAGCAGUCUGUGAAGUGGGAUGCAACUCCAGUUUCAUUUGAGCCUGAACCCCACAGGCAGGGAGAAGAAGGACCAAGAAUGUGUAGUCCUGCUCCCCUACCCAGGUACAGGCAUGCUCUUGAGGGCCAGACAGUGCCGAGGGGCUCUGAGGGCUGGGGAGGGAGAGGCGUGGUCCCAGGCCUCCGGCUGGCGUGGAAAGUGUGGUGCUGUGCCUAGGCAGGGCUGUUUCACCUGUUUGCCCGUGCCCCCGAGCAUUUUGGGGAUUUUGGAUGGAGGCUUACCCUGACCCCUUUCCAGCUUUAGCACGAGAGUCCCAGCCCCAUCGUCUCUCCUAACUGCAUCAUCACUGCCACAGCAGAGCUCCCAACACAAUGAGGAGUUAAAGGAAAAGAGGCCACCUUGAGAUCCCCCUCUACCGGCCAGGCCACAGGUUUCCCCCACCUCAGAGUUCAGGAAAUAAUGGAAAAUGGAGCCAGGACUGGGGAGGGAUCUUCGGGGAAGAUCUUCAGAAUUUCACCAUGGAAUGAGCUGAUAAUACCCGUAUCUUUCUUCUAAGACAUCUAAGUGCCUACCCCUUUUCUAUACUUGCUAGAGAGUUUGAAUCGUUUCUCUUUAAGAGAGAAAAUUUAUGGGCUUGGGAAAGAGGAACCCCAAACUGACACUGGUCUGAGAGGGCAUAUUUGGGGCUGGAGUCCUUCCCGUGCAAAUGUAUCUGCUGGGCAAUGCUGAGCAGAAUUUCACAAAGGAGAGAAAGAGCAGAGGAUAGCAGGUUGCCCUUCAUGCACCUCUGUGUCUUCUUUGCCUGCCCAGCCUUAGCUGGGGCCCACAUCACUAAUGGAAGUUCCAUCCUUUUCCCAUAGCAUCCCCAAAGAACAUUCAAAUUUGAGGCUCAAGGAACCUCUUGGACUCGGUGUCUAGAUCCAGGAAAUGGAGAAUGAGCCAUGACUUUGGACGCUUCACCCUUGCCCAUCAGGCUCGGAAUUGGUAAGCAUCUCUAGUUCUGAGCAAGGUGCCCUAUUGGGGUUUCCUCUGCAUGGACCAGCCAUCCUCCAAACCUGCCCCCAUGUCACCCCAGAUCCCUAUCCCACUCACUUCUCACUCUUUGUCCCCUGUCUCCCUGAGUGACAGGGCUCCUGCCAGGUAGGCCCUGUCCUCCUUUCUGAUGUUGGGUCCAUUCCCCAUGAUCCCUUUCUUGCUUGUGCCUUGGGAUCCCGGGCCAGCUCAGGUAGGAGGCAGGACUCAACUCCAGACCAGACUGAAGACUGGCUGACACAGAAGAGGCACCGAAAGCACCUCUCCCUCCAUCAGACAUGCCCACCAACACCAUGACAGUUUACCACUGCCAUGGCAAUGCCCAGAAGUUAUCGCCCCUUUUCCAGAAAUUUCUGCAUAAUCUACCUGCUCCUUGAAUGUGAUUAAAAGUGGGGUCAAGAUGACUGCAGAAGUGUCCCUGAGCUUCUACUCUUGACAUGCUGCCUACAGGGUAGCCCUGAUCUGCAGGGACGGGACAGUCAUUGAACUGAAACUGCCUAAUGAAGCUCUCUUCUUCUACCACUGGCUCACCCUCGAAUUCUUUCCUGGGUGAACUCAAGAAACUUCCUGGGAUAAGCCCCAAUUUUGGGGGCUUGUCUACCCUGGCAUCACAGCUUCCUCUUCUGUUCACAGCUGCCGCCACCUACCCACCCUUCUGAGGUUCCUCUCCCUGCCCCUCGACAGCGGCUGCGGAUGGGAGCUCUGGCUCCUGCUUUUUUGCUAUCUCCCUGUGCCACUUAAAUGCAUCUCAGCUAAGAACAGAGAAAGGGAUCGCAUAAGGAUAUUCCAGAGAUUCGAGAAAUCUCAAAAGUGAUCACAAAACAUUUGCCUCUGACCAACCAGAAACGCCGAUGGGUGGGAAGGGCCUCUCCUCUAGGUGAGUUCGUGGGUCUUCAGGCUCUUCUUCACUUUGGAUUUUCUGGAGUCUCCUGAAGGUUACCUGAAAUCUUGUUUGUCCUAAAUAUUGUAUGUGGAUUCACAAGCUGCAAGAAGUCAGAGGGGCUGGAUGGGGGCCAAAACCAGAGGAGUCAAGCAGCACAGCUGGGCCCCAUUGAAAGUGAGGCCCCUAUCCUAGUUGGAAGCUGGGGUGGAGAGCUGCAGAUGGGUGGAGGCAGUGACAGGGUUCGGUCCACGUACUGGUCAUUCAGACUCCCCAGAGCCACAGGACUCCCAUAGGUCAGAGAAGACCUGGUGGAGGGCCUUAUGUAAACCUCAGUGUGUGAUGCAGGAAGGAGUUUUCCCAGCAGAAAUGCCUACACAAAGGCUUUCAAAGGAGGGACCCGUGGGGACCCAUCUUACCUCCUUAUGGUCUGGUUCACAGGUUCCCCUGGGUGGGGCUAAUGGAAUCCAAGCUAAGGUGUCUGACUGCGAAAGUCUUCAGAAAUGCUGUGUUUGUAAGGAUCAGGAAUUACGUUUUCUGAGAUGCAAAAUAUCCUAGUUAAUGCGUUAACAGCUAAGGCUGUUCAGGUUUCUGGGGAUACACAGGCUUAGGAAAUUAGAGCCGGUGAAGUUGUGGGGGAUGGAAACUAAGAAUUAGCUCAAAACAGUCACCAAUGCAGAAACCUGCCUGUGGCACUUUGGCCCCUGACAGUGGGGAAGGCAGAGGAAUGACAGUGGGGACUUGGGUACCCUACUAGCAGAAUGGAGUAACAGAGAGGGCAAGAAUUGCUUCCCAGGAGACUGGGCUGGGAACAGGAAGGGGACUAAAAUGCUGCCCCUGGCUGAAGAGUUUGGCAGUACAGAGGAACUGGUGGCAGGGCUCUGAAUCCAUACGUAAGAGCAAGGAACAGGUGGUUUCGGUGUGGGAGAGGGCUUUGAUGUCUUCAUGGACUUUGGGUAACAUUCACCAUAUGGUGGACCAGCCAGCUUCCAUGUGAAGAAGCCAUCUGGGAGCAAGAGAACAAACCCAGGAAUACAGCCGGAGAGAGAGGUGGCCUGACAUUAUGGCUAGGUUGAUAUGGAAGCUUCUGGUUUGUUCUAGAAAGAGUGAAAAAGGCGGUGCAGAUAAUCAUCAGCUUCUGGUUCUGUGUGUAGCAAGGCAUUUGCUGCAAUUCCAGGAGGUAGCAACCUAGGCUUUGAUUCUGAAAGAAGAGGAUUGACCUUUCUGAAAUAUCUCUAGGAGUCUGCUGAGGGCCAGGCUUGGUGAGUGCUGGGAAAAGCAGCAAAAGAGAAAGGACUUACAGAGUGCCUACAUAAAAUGGUUACGAGUAACACAUAAACAAGGAACAACAAACUGCAGGAGGCCUCUGAGGAGGAAGGCCUCUCCAUACCUCACGUUCUGGUGCAGGGUAACCUAGGCUGCGUUAACAUAAACAUUGUGCUCAAGGAUGUAAAACCCCUUCGUAGCACUAUGACGUAGCCAGACUUGUAGGCUCCUUGUAAGGCCGGAGUUCCAUCAGCUGUACAUAGAUAAUAAGCCAAAUAAAACCACAUGUUCUUGUUUUGUGAAACUUACAAACCACCACUGUUAUCAAUCCUUGGGAACUUCCAUGUGAAGAAGCCAUCUGGGAGCAAGGGAACAAACCCAGGAAUACUCCGGUUCACUGAUUCACUUCUGGCUCACUGAUUCACUCCACCUGUACCCUGUAGAUCAAUGUGAUUGUAAUCACAAAAUAGUGUGGAUGAUCAGAGCUCGGGGCCUUCACUGUCUCUUCCAGAGUAAUAAAAUGAUGGUCCCCUGGUCCCACUUUCUCUCUUAAUCUGUCUUUUUCUCAUUCCUUUGUCCCACAAACUCGGGGUACCCACAGGUGACAUAGGGCUAGUUCCCUACAGGUGAGUUGGAUUCCGUAUGGAAUUUUUACUAAGUGAGGUCUGGGUAGGAAAAGGGAAGGGAAAAGCUGGCCCUGCCUGCAUCAAGGGGUUCUGGGAAGGAGAAUAAAGAGAAAACUCCUUCUUAAGUCUUCCACUUCAGAGUGGAAGAACCAUCACAAGCUAAGUAAAGUCAAAUGAAGGGCAAGUGCCCUAUGGCCACCUGGACACGCACCUGCCCCUUGGCCAGCUUGCAUGGGCAGGCUGAGGAGGUCACUGAGGCUUAGUUUUCCUGACCUACCCUGAUUCCACGUGCUGUAAGCAGCACCCAGAAGGCUGUGUGGCUACAGAGGUGCCCACCAAGGUCACUUCAGUGUGGACACUAGACUGGACCACGGAGACCCACAGCCAGCUUUAGAGUGCCAGCCAGAGUGUUAUUCCAGCCAGAAACAGGAGCCACAACCCCGCACCCAGGAGGACAACGAGUCCCACUCUGCAGACAGGAGCCAGCCACACCUGGGGCCUGGGGAGAUGCUUCCUGAUUCCAAAUGGGAUUGAACUUCAAACCAGACUAUACAUUUGGGCAAUUUUUUUAAAAGCUGUCAAUCAAAUAAAGGCAUGCCAUUUUCUUUACCCAGUCAUUGUGUUGGUUAAAGGUUGCAGAACUGCCUGCCCCAGUGUCCGCCAUCAUUAUCAGGGGAUGUAGCUCUUCCAGCUCCAAGAGGCUUACUUGGCUGCCAGCAUCCCCUGCUCUUUUCCAAGGUGCUGACAGGGUCUUUAGUGUUGAGAAACAGGGAGCAAAGUGCUGACAUUGACCCACCCCACAAACAUGGCCCAGCCCCAACCAGGCCUUGGGCUGUAAGUCCUGUGUCCUGCCAGAUGGGCUAGGACCCAACUGUCUGGUGGAUCAGCCAAACAUGCACCUCUGAGCUUGGACUCUAGAGGCUGAGCCUGGCUCACGCCCCCCAGCUCAUGCCCCCCAGCUCAGGGUCCAGGUGAUCCCAGGAGGCUGGGUCAGGUGACUGCCUCCUCAGGGUCAGGGGACGAGCCUUGUGGGCAAUGGGUUUCCAUGGCAGCCCUCAACCAAGGGCAGUAGGGCCAGACAGGAGAGAGUCAGAGAUCACACUCUAACCCCUUCCUCCAGGGCUGGGGAGAACUAAGGGAGUCUCAAUCCAGACUGGGGGUUACAAUAUCAAAUAACAGAGCUCAUAGAGCUUGGGAACCUCCUGACUGGGCUCCUGGCCUAGGACUGUGCCUGGAGUGGGGUCUCCAGCACAGGUGUGGGGGUGGUGGGGAGGAGAUGCCUCAGGUCUACAGUGGGGAGCCAAGACAUUCCAGGAGGGUGGAAAAUCUCUCCCAGGGCUUGCCCCAUUAGCCGGCACAGCAGCCAUGCCCAUUGCUAUAUGAAGGUAGACAGUCCAGGGCUAGGGCCCAGGCCAUUGGGACCCCCUCCAUCUUUCUGCUCUCCUUAGGGUAUCACCUCCAUCUUUGUGGUCAUAAGUGUUGACGUUCUGCAAUGCCCAUGCCCAGAGGUAAAAGAUAGAGGCCAACAGGCAGACUGGGCCCUUUUAGACCUGGCACCUUCUGCUCACAUCUCCUCUGCCAGCACCACCUUGGGCAUUCCCUGUGUACAAUCACUACAGAUGGCCAGGGAGGAGGGGUCCUGGGCACAGCACCCUGGCCACAUCUUGACUUAGCUGCCUCCCCAAUCAGCUUUUCCCCAGGCCUCCUUGGCCCCUCCUCCUUCGCUGAAAGGCCCCUCACUUUGGGAGCAGAGUUGUGGCUUCACCAACCUUCCUGCCAAUUGGGCUGUUACUGUGGAUUCAGAAGGAUAAUCCCUGCCAUUAAGAGUGGGCCAUGCUGUGCUGUGUUUCAGGCUGGGACUGCACAGGGCAGUGGAAAGCACAGAGAAGAGGAGCAAAUCCCAGCCUAGAGAGGGCAAUGGGGGGAGGAAGAGACAUCUAAACUAAGACCUCCAGGGUGGACAGGAGCAAGCCAAGUGAACGGACUCGGGAGGGCAGUGGACAAUACUAGGAGCUGGGAAGAACCAGCUGGGGUGUUGCCUGGAGAACUGGGGGCCAGGCAGGCCUGUGUACACAGGGCUCUGUGGGCCCAGCAAAGAGGAGUGAGCAGAGGCAGAAUCUGGUGUGGGCUGGAGAAAGGCCUUGGCCUGCGGGUGGCACAGGCCAGGUUGGAGGUAGAGGGCCGAUUCAGAGACUAUUUCAGUUAUAAGGCAGGGAUGACAGAAGCUGAGCUCAGAAAACUGUGAUGGAGACAGACUUGGAAAACAGAUCCCACAAGGCUUAAAAAUUGAUGAGGGGUAAGAGGUUGCCAGUGAGAGACAGAGACAGACAUGGGGAGAGAGAUGGACAGAGACAGAGAGAGAAGGCUAGCCGGGAAACCGGUGCACAGGGGUAGCUUGCGCGGAGGGAGAGGAUGGAAGAAGGGGAAAAUUCACGCAGAAGAGGCCGUGUCCAUUUGCAGAAGUUGCGUAUAAGACCCUGGAGGUCCCUGAGGAAGAGAUGGAAGAUGUGGGUAUCCGGCACAAAAGCCUGGAAGGGUCCCUGAAGAUCCAGCCACCACCUAGUUAUGCAGUUUGAACAGGGGCUGUUGCCAGGGGGGAAACGUCCUGCCACUGAGAACCAGGAAGUCAGGUGAAGGGCAAGAAAUAUGCAAAAUGAGUCUCAGCUCUCCUUUGAGCCACCUUCCGGCCCGGCAGAGUCCAUUGGCAGGUGGAUGUCUGGAGCCCCGCCCUAGGGACCUCCUCCCUGGCCCCAUCCCAUCUCCUUGACCCACUGCACCUUCCUGGCUUCAUUGUGAGCAGGCUCUGAUUGGAAGGUCUUGAGGCUAGCAGGGAAGAAGGUGGUGGAAUCCUGGAGUCUUUCAGACUCUCCUCAUAGUGGGCUUGGGGCAGUUUACACCACCCAGUGCUCUGGCCCAUCACAGACAUGUGCCCCUCUAAGGAUCACUUCCCACGUGAGUUCAGCCACCCCCAGGGCUAACCCAGAAAACUCUCGCCGGGCUCCUGCAGAACUGGGUGGAGGCAGUGACUUGGGUUUUCUUCAUCAGCUGUGCUCCUGUGAGACUGCCCAGGGCAUUAUGUUUUCUAGAAAACAAAGGACCUUGGAAUCAAGUAGAGGGGCAAUUAGAGUUUUAGGGGUUCAGCCUGGAGUGUCCCAGGGGCCAAGAGGGGAGAGGGGUGGGGUGAAGCCUUGCUUCUGGGCGGCUGCAGCACACGGCCUGUCCUGAAACAGCUCAGAAGCCCAUCUGAGACACCCUGGCCAGUCCUGAAAGCAGGUGAGCUACUGGGGUUUGUUCUAAUAAAUCCCCUUUUUUCUUUCACCAACUCAAGGAGCUUUGGUAGGAACCGUAACCAGUAAUGGAAUGCACAGAGGAAGAAUCCCAGCUGGCUAUGGAUGAAAAGCUCAGUGAAAGGAGAUAAGCCCAGCAUGGGCAGGCCUCCUGGAGCUGGUGUGCAAACAGAGGCGGAAGAGCAGCCCAAUAAUCAGAAUCAUGGUCAUUCAUUUAUUCAUGCAUUCAUUCAUUGAAUACGUCCUUUGUGACACCCAGUCAUGCACCCAAGGCCUUGGGAACACAUCUGUAAACAAGACAGACAAGUGCUCACCCUCCUGGGCGCUCUGCUGAGACGGUGGGGUACAAAACAAACACACGACAAAUUAAUAUCAUGUCCAGGAGCUGCGGGUGUGGCAAAGGAAAUAAAACCAGAGGAUGCAGGAGGAGGCAGAGCUGAGCUGGACCACGAGGAAGAGGGAGCCAUGUGGGUACGAGGGGGACAUCCCAGCAGAGCAGAGCCACAGCCAGCUGAGGCCUCACUGCCUCCGUCGUGUGGGCCCUGCAGAGGCGGGGGAGAUGGCAGCGUUAGACCUCAGUAUAGCCUCGAUGCCUAGGCCCUGUGAGGGCUGGGAGAAACGCUCCCGUUCAGAAGGGUGGCCUCACAUGUUUAAAUGCUGGUGGGAAUGGCAGGUGUCGGGGAGAGGAAGAGGGGCAAUAAUGGGAGGGAGGCCAGAGUUCCUCUCCAGUACCUUCCCUUUCUCUGUGAAGUAGGGGGUAUGGUUUCUGCCAAAAAGGCAGAGGGCUCUGGGGAUAAGAAGGGGCUAUAACUAGAGGCCGGCUAGGUGACCACAGUCCUGCUCCAGGCAGGACGCGUUAUGUACCCAGCAGCUCUGGGACUGGGCCACGGAGGCAGCUCAAUGGGUAGCUGGACUGUUGAUGUGAUGGGUGUAUGGCUAUGGCCAAGAGGGUGGUGGUAAGGUGGACCCAGCAGUCCGAGGCACAGAGGACCAGAGUGAGGUCAGGAGCCCCAAUCAAGAGAAAGAGGAAGGACCCAGGAGGAGGGGUGGAUGUGGGUCGCUUUCUGGUGGGACAAGAUCAGGGAGCGGAGGAGCCUCAGGGGGUGGCCUCAGCAGUGGGAGUCAACAUGGAGGCCAGCCCGAAAAGAGAUGAAGCCCACCCUUGCACCCAGCUGCCCUUCCUUCUGUGGUGGGAAUGUCGAUCGCCUCCCAAACUCCUGUUGAUACCUAAUCCCCAAUGCCGCAGUAUUGGGAGGCGGGCCUUUAAGAGGUGAUUGGGUCAUGAGGUCUCUGCCCUCAUGAAUGGAUUGAUCCACUCAUGGAUUAACAGAUUACUGGCUUAGUAGAUGAAUGGGUUUUCGCUGGAGUGGGAUUGGUGGCUUUAUAAUAAAAGUAAGGGAGACCUGAGUCGGCCUGCCUGGGAACUGGGCAGAGGCCCUGCCCCAGGAAGGCCCUCAGCAGAUGCGGCCCCUGGACCUGGGAAUUCUCAGCUGCCAUGACAGUAAGAAGACAUUCCUUUUCUUUAUAAAUUACCCAGUUUCAGGUAUCACAUUAUAAGCAACACAAAACACAUUACGACAAUUGCCAAAACCCCAGGCAUCCGGCUUUGUGGCAUCGUGGCUACCAGGAGUCUCUUUCAGCAGCAUAACCGUGUAUAUAAACACAGUCCCAACUAACAUGGAAAGGAAACUGGGGGGGAGGGGGAGUUACAUUUUUAAGUUGUUUAAACGCUCAUAAGUGAGGGGUAUUUAAGGUUUUUAUGAGUAGCCAGAAAUUUUCACGAAGCACUUCAUGUUAUGCAGGAGAAGAGAAAGCUGAGAAAAAUAACUAGCCACUGGGGAUGCUCUCUGCCCAGGGACACAACCUGUCCCCUGCUGGGCCCAGGGUGGAGGGGCAGUCCUGGUGGCUGGUGCCAUCCCUCUUUAAACUGCCUACUGAGCCCCAGUAGAGCUGAGCCCGGGGAGCAGAGGUGGAGGAGGAGGCAAAAAAGCCGUGGGAGGCCAGGGAGCCUGUGUGAGCCCCUGUGAGCCCACCUGGGGGACCCAGAGUCACACCCCACUGCUGCCCUCAUUCCUAAUCCACAGAGGCCUGACACCAGCCCUGCUGGCUGGCAAGGGCUGCUUGGGAGGGGAGAGAAAGGGUGCCUGAGGGAGGUAGAAAUGGGGCCUGAAGAAGAGUCACCCCCGGAGAGGAGAGGCCAAGCCCCUGGAAGGGCUGAGCCCAGUGAGGCCGGCUGCUGAGUGGAUGGCCAUGGGCUCUGCAGAGCUUCGGAGAAACAUGCUGAGUCCCAGCCCUGGAAGGUUGGGGAGAGUCUCUCAGUAGCCACAUAAGGAGGUCACUCUCUGCCCUGCCUCCCUGGGUGCCUGGCUCCUAAAACUCUUCUGAUCACCUCCCCAGAUUCUCAAGUUUUAGCCCAGCAAACAUUCAGAGUUUCCUGGAGGAAACUGGAAAGAGGAAAGCAAAGUAGAGAUGGUUUACCAGGCACAGUCUGGCUGGCCACUAAGGGCACAAGACCCAGCCCACAGGAUGGUAGGCACUGUGUCCUGCUCCCUCCACACCAGCAGCCCUGGCCAGGCUGCACGUGUGAAAGUCCUCCCGUGGAGGGAUGGGCUCCAUGGCAAUCCCAGCAUCUGCUGUGCGCCUCAGGGCCUGGCAUCCUGCUGGAGAGGCUGCGAUCACGUGGGAGUGCUUCCUGGGCCACAGGCAGGAAAGCCAGCCCACAGCCAUGCACCCCUGGCACCAGGACCGGGCUUGCUGGGGUCCCCUGCCAGUGGAGUGCUGCCUUUUUGGGACAACGGCUGGACCUGGAGGCAAAAAAAGUUCCUCUCUGAGCUCAGGGAGGCCAUAGCUCAGGAAGAAGAAGAGAGCCAGAAUAAUUGCCACCUGUGGAUUUCAGGAAGUGCCUCAAAGGGACCAGCAUGCUCCUCUUCCGGCCCUUUCCUCCUUUGCUGGCUGGGGGCAGACAAGAGUGACGGCUGCCACCUUGCACCAUAAGGUGGGAGUCACGUUGGGAGAAUGGCAGAGCAACCAGAUAGCCGUGGUGGCCCCAAUCUCCAGCCCUGGACGUCCCACGGUAAGGAGAGAGGGAAACGUCUUACUGGAGCCACUGUCAUUCUCGAGCAGCAAACCUGAUCCUAACACUCCGCACCACAACCCCGCCUCCUGUACCCUGUGCCCCAUAGGUUCUUAGCCUUGGGCCCUGGGUUUGGCUUUCCCUUCCCUCCCAGUGCCAACGAAGACCUACCAUGCAGAGAGGGUAGAGAAGGGACAUAGAGGUCACUGGAGGUGAUCUGGAAAGGAUGAGGGCAUCCGAGAACAAGGCAAUGAAGGUAACUAGGACAGAGGAGGGAGGACAGAGCCUGGAGAGGACUCAUUAGUGCAGGGUUGAUAGGCAGAGCCUUCCCAGGAGCGGGGCCAACAGAACCUGACAGCCAUGAUUGGGCCUCCCCACGACCCCAGGGCCCCCCCAGCCCAGUCCUCCCUGCCUAUACUCAGCCCAGACCCCACUUCCCUAUGGAGGCCCAACCCCCUUCCUGGACAAGGCAGCUGGUGUUGUGUGGGUGUUGCUCUGUGAGAGAGGGAUUCCUUGGAGACUGAGGCCACAGGGGAGGGAGUGUCUAUCCAGACCUAUAGGUUUGUCCCAAAUUAAGACCCCAGGUGUAGAGGUGAACACAGCCCUGCCUGAUUUCUGAGAAGCCAUGCUAUUUCACAUCUUAGAAGUGGGCUUCCUCUCCAUCCCCAUAGAACUCAGUCAAUGCCUACUGAGCUCCUACAGUGUACACUACAGGCAAGUGGGUUCAGGCGCUAAGGAAAUAAACAAGGCCCCACACUGCAGUCCCCAGGGCAGAGUGCCCCGACAGGCUUCCCCAAACGGUGGUGUGCUGGGGAGUGUUGGACACCCAGCUCUCUGAAGGGGAAACCUGGUUUGUGGCAUCUGUGGGUUGCAGUGAUUUGUGGUCUAAAUUAUCCACCCUGGCCAAUUCCAAGCUGCAAACACAUAGUCCCUGAAGUCAGGAAGGCCCCAGCCUGGAUCCCAGGCCCACCACUGCCAGGGGCUGCUCACCUCCUGUCCCCGGUCCUCACCUCACCACCAGCAGGUAUUGGCCCUGUCCUCGCUAGGUUCCUGGCCUUCCCCUGCUUGGGUCCUGGGUUUGGCCCCUGAGCCGACAGCCCAUGCCUUGAUGGUGCCGGGUAGGCUGUAGCUGCCAGGUCAGGAAGAAUCAGUGGACAGUCGGUCACAAGCACCUUGGCCCUGAAUGUUGAAAUGCCCACUUUCUCCGGCUUCUCCAACCACUACCCCACCCCUCCAGCCUUUUCCUCCUCUCUGACAGCUUCUCUUCACCCCAAGGUCUCCUCCUCCUCCUCCUCAGCAGUGGCCAUUCCCUAGCAUUUGCAGCCCAGGACCCCUCCCAGUCAUGAAGCAUUUGCAUCUCAGGCUCCCCCGAACCUGGCUCCCUUACUGUCACCCCCUGCCUGUCGCGGAGGGGCCUCAUAGACACUUGCUGUGUGCCACUCCAGGGAGGCCGUGUGAUCCUGCCAGCUCUCCAGUGGCUGCCACAACUGCUGUUUUCAGGAAGAGGAGGAAUGGCCCCUCAGCCUCCCUGCCUCUGCUGUCUCAGCCCCAGUGUCCUGGCAUCAUCUGCUCCACCUCCAGGCAAGUCAGAGCCAGGCUUGCCAUCUGCCUGGCAGCCUGGGGCACUGCGCCUUUAUGGCCCCGGGUAGGACGGGGAUCUGGGCCCCCAGCCCCUGGGCACCAAGGUGCCAACCCUGCAGGGGAGUUGCUUAAUGACCUUUGUGAGCAGUAAUUACACCCCAGGGCCAGCUCUUAAUAACCACGUAUUCUCCCUGUCAAUGUGCCUUAAUUGAAAAUGAGUAGGCGAUACAAGUUGCUGUGAAGUUGGCUGGCAAGCCCUUAACGUGAUAUUAAUUGUAGUAAUUAGUAGUCACUUUGUGUUGGAGUCAUCUAUAAAUAGGGGGUCCAUUAGUUUAGCAAAAGAGCAUGAUUUAAAAUGCAAAUAAAAGCCCAAUUAGACAGAUAAAUCGCUUGUCUUUUCCAGCAAAUUAUCAUCUUCCAGAAGGACAGCAGCCACUUUGGGGCUGCAUCAGUCAGUUCAGGGACUCUGAACGCUUUAUACCAACCUGAGUGGUCUGAGCGGCCUGUCUGAUACACCGUCCCUUUAAACAGGUUUGCUCCAGGCUUCCUCAGGGAGCUGUCACUCUUAGGGCAGUCCCUAUAGACUCUUACUUCAUUGGCACAACUGGUGGUCAGGGCCCAAGCAGCUCCUCCCCCUGUAUGCUGAUUGGUCCCCUCUUGUGACAUAGGAGCACAUUUUAAAGGAAUAGUGGUGGGAUCGAUCCAAGAUGGCCGACCACUAACAGCUCAGGAUUGUAGCUCCCAGUGAAAGCCCAGAGAACGAGAUGACGCCACACUUUUAGAUGAAUUUUCGUCACUCACCAAUCAGCCGAUUCCCAGUAGAGGAGCCCCACGGGUCACCAGCGUGACUCUUGUGGCCGCCACAGCGGUUUUGCCAGCCUCUCGGCGCAGCAGCUCUUCAUGCAGAGCCAACGGGACUGCUUCCCCUACUGACCGGAGUUUGGAGCUCCAGGAAGUCAGAGCCGCUUGUUGUGGACUCAAGAGGGAAGCCAGACCAGAGAUUCCCGGGCAGAAGAGAACCAUCAGUCUUAUCGCUGCUAUUUAGGCCGCCACAGUGGGUUGCUCGGAUCCCAGCACUGGGAAUCAAUAAGUCGGACGUCGACUCAGAAACCUAAUUAGAAAGGCGGUUCAUCUACAAUGAAGGGGAAAAAACAGCCUAAGAAGGCUGAGUAUACUCAAGGUCAGAACCCAUCAGCAACAGAACAAGCCCUGAUGGAAAAGGACUCAUCAGCAACGGAACAAGCCCUGAUGGAAAAGGACUGUGUUCCAUUAUCUGAAGUAGGCUUUAAAAGGUGGAUGAUAAGAAACUUCUGGGAGUUAAAGGAACUUGUUCUAACCCAAUGUAAAGAAACUAAGAACUUGGAAAAAAGGUUAGAUGAAAUGUUGAAAAGAAUAGACAAUAUAGAGAGGAAUACAAAUGAACUUAUGGAGUUGAAAAAUACAACACGAGAACUUAGUGAAAUAUGUACAAGAUUAAACAGCCGAAUGGAUCAAGCAGAAGAAAGGGUAUCAGAGGUCGAAGAUCAACUUAAUGAAACAAAACAACAAGACAAGAAUAGAGAAAAAAGGAUAAAAAGGAAUGAGCAAAGUCUCCAAGCAAUAUGGGACUAUGUGAAAAGACCUAAUAUACGCUUGAUUGGUGUACCUGAAUGUGACGGAGAGAAUGAAUUCAAGCUGGAAAAUACUCUCCAGAACAUUAUUCAGGAAAAUUUUCCUAAUUUAGCAAAGCAGGACACUAUUCAACCCCAGGCAAUACAGAGAACACCGCAAAGAUAUUCCUCAAGAAGAACAACCCCAAGACACAUAAUCGUUAGAUUCACCAAGAUCGAAACGAAGGAGAAAAUAUUAAGGGCAGCCAGAGAGAAAGAUCAAGUUACCCAUAAAGGUAAGCCUAUUAGGCUUACAGCAGAUCUCUCAACGGAAACCCUACAAGCUAGAAGAGAGUGGGGGCCAAUAUUCAAUGUACCUUAAUCAACAGAACUUUCAGCCCAGAAUUUCAUAUCCUGCCAAUUUAAGCUUUAAAUUUGAAGGAAAAAUAAAAUCUUUUAGGAACAAGCAAGUACUCAGAGAUUUUAUUACCACCAGGCCUGCUUUACAAGAACUUCUAAAAGAAGCAUUAUACACAGAAAGGAACAACCAGUAUGACCCUUUCUAAAAAUACACCAAAAAGUAAAGAGCAUUAACAUAAAGAAGAAUUUUUAUCAACGAAAGGACAAAAUAGCCAGUUAAUAUCAAACGGCAGCAACCCUAAAUUUAAAUCGACCAAAUCUCCCAAUCAAAAGAUACAGACAAAAUCUAACGGUAUAUCCAAAGAUAUACAUAGACUCAAAAUAAAGGGUUGGAAAAAAAAAACCGUACCAACUAAAUGGAGAGCAAAAAUAAAUAAAUAAAAAGCAGGAGUUGCAAUUUUCACAUUUGACAAAAUAGAUUUCAAAGCUACAAGGAUACAAGGGUAAAAGGAUUAAUGUAAUAAUAAGAGAUCUUAACACCCAGAUACAUAAGACCCAUAAUGAGAUUUAGAUUCAACGAGACAGAAAAUUGAUAACGAUAUCCGGGACUGGAACUAAGAUCCAGAACAAAUAAACUCAAUAGAACUCUCCAUUUUAAACACACAAAAUAUACGUUAUCCACAAAAUCUAACGAUAUAUCUAAAGAUAUACAAAGACUCAAAACAAGGGGAUGGAAAAAAGCUCACCAACCAAAUGGAGAGCAAAAUAAAUAAAUAAAAAGCAGGAGUUGCAAUUUUCACAUUUAAUAAAAUAGAUUUCAAAGCUACAAGGAUACAAGGGUAAAAGGAUUAAUGCAACAAUAAGAGAUCUUAACACCCAGAUACAUAAGACACAUAAUGAGAUUUAGAUUCAACGAGACAACAAAUUGAUAAUGAUAUCCAGGACUUGAACUCAGAGCCAGAACAAAUAAACACAAUAGAGGUCUCCAUUUUAAACACAUAAAAUAUGCAUUAACCACUUUAAACACUCAAAAUAUUGAUCGGCCAUUAUUGAAACCCAUUUUAGGAAUGAAGUAAUAUUCCUUUUUCCCUCUUUUUCUUUUUUUCCCCUUCUUUUUCUCUUUAAAAAAAAAAAAAAAAAGGAAUAGUGGCACAGUGCAUAUCUAGGCACUGGGAGAAUAGGUAGGAAGUAGGAGGGGUUUCCUCUUCGAAUUUGGCUCUGCACAGUCCAGACAGAGUGAACCACCAAUGUUCUGUGUUGUCCGGUGACUCAAAAGAGUCAAAAAUAGACUCACACCAUUGUUGUGGGGUCGGACAACUUACUUCCCGCUAAUUUUUCUCUUCUGCCAUAACUACUUAUGGUGGUUGCAAAGGGUGCAGCUUCAAGGCCAGAGGUGAGAGUUCUAGCUCAGCCUUCCGUUAACUAGAGCUUCACUAGUUACCCAACACUUUCUCCGAGGCCUGUGUUUCGAACCUCACAAUUAACGAGGCUGUCGAGAUAUGCCUGGGGACACGGGUGCGAGCUCUUCCCUCUCUGGCUUGUUCAGCUGCUGGAGACCUGGUAUCCACAGCUCAGCUUGGUGGGACCCUUCCUGUCCCCUCCUUCAGCCUGCCACACCAGCUCCCCACAAGCCCUUCACUCCUUUGUGGCCAACUGAGGCUGGCCCUCAGACAGCAUUUGCGUUUUAAUAAGAGCCAAGGUCAAAAGAUAAAACAGCCAUUCCUAAACACAGGAAACAUAGCAACUGUCUGUUCCAGCAGGAGUUUCACCCUUGUCCAAGAAAUGAAGAGAACACAGGAAAUUUUGAAAGUAUUAUCCUUUUAUGAUUCAAUGUUUGCAGCAGGUGGUAGUACUUGCUAUUUUUAAUGUCCUAUUUGACAAAAUAAAACAUUGGCAACCCUGUGUUGGUCCCAAAAAUAUUUUUUGGAAAUUUUGCCAGCGUAUGAAAUUCAAAUGUCUGGAGCUGCUGAGCUAGAAGACUGAAUCAGAGACUUGAGGCUGGGUGAGUCACAGUUGCCUGUGCGUGGAGGAGUGUGUGUGAGCACACACACGUGGUAUUGGCCGGUGAAAUAGGGACACUCAACAUGGGAGAUUUCCCUGUCUCUGAAAUAGCACAAGAAGACAGGUAGAUCAUGGAGGAAGAACUGGAAGGAGCCUGGGGUGCUGAUCCCUCUAAUCUCUCUAUAUUACAGAUGAGGAAACAGGCCCAGGCCACACAGUGAGCUAGUGGUCUAGGCACAGGCCAUCACACACUGAGGGCACCUCCUGCUAUCCCCAGCUAACCCUAGCCAAUGUGUUAGUCCCUAAAGCAAGCAUUGGAUCAGAUGUCAUAGGAUGGAUGGGGGCUGUCUUGGCCUACUGAAUCUCUAGUUGUUCCACAGCAGAGACCAUCUGUUUACUCGUAGAAUGUGGGAAACAGCCUUGCUGACAAUCAGACCAAGGAGUUCCCAAAGAAACAGAGUGCUCAGGACAGCAUAUUAGACAAGACUGCUCCACAGGUCACAAAAUGACUGACCAACCUCUUUGAGUGACAAAUGCUUCUCCACUAUGACAACUCUGGCCCUAUUUUAAUCCUCCUACCUCCUAGGUAAAAAUUAAUUUCCCUAUCACCAAAUUGCCUCACUUCUUGGAAGCACCCAACCCCAGACUGGCCUCUGUCUCCCUAAAAUCACUCAGCACCAGCCCCAACCCAGGAAGAGGUACCUUUCAUAACUCCCCUUUUGAGAUGCUUGGGAGUCCCCCAGGGUGCAUUUCCCCUUGCUGCAGCAAGCUAAAUAAAUGCCAGCAGUGUUUUCUUGGUGGUUUUUGGUUGUUGGGCUUUGAACAGUCAACAAAUAUUUGAACCACAGUGUUCCAUGAAAUAUGGUGAUGAUGAAGAAAAGCAACAGUGAUUAAAAAAAAUGUGGUUUGGAUCAAUGCAUAGACACAGAGAUCAACAAACUAGAACUGAGAGUCUAGAAAUAAAACCAUGUAUCUGCCGUCAACUGAUUUUCAACAAGGGUGCUAAGACCAUUCCAUGGAGAAUAGUAUUUAACAAAUAGUGCUGGGACAACUGGUUAGCUACAUGCAAAAGAAUGAAGUUGGACCCUUACCUCACACCAUAUACAAAAGUUAACUCAAAAUGAAUCAAAGCCCUAAAUAUAAGAACUAAGACUAUAAAACUCUUAAAACAUAGGGAGAAUCUUCAUGACCUCAGAUUUGUCAAUGAAUCCAUAGAUAUGACACCAGAAUCAUGAACGACAAAAAAAUUAAUUGAACCUUAUGAAAAUUAAAAACUUGUAUGUUUCAAAGGACAUUAUCAAGAAAGUAAAAGUACAAUCCACAGAAUGGGAUAGGCCAGGUGUGGUGGCACACACCUGUAAUCUCAGCACUUUGGGAGGCCGAGGUGGGUGGAUCAGUUGAAGUCAGGAGUCUGAGACCAGCCUGGCCAAACAUGAUGAAAUCCUUACUUUACUAAAAAUACAAAAAUUGGUCGGGCAUGAUGGUGCACACCUGUAAUCCCAGCUACUCAGGAGGCUGAGGCAGGAGAAUUGUUUGUACCCUGGAGGUGGUUCAAACAAUUGCAGUGAGUUGUGAUCAUGCAACUCUGGCCUGGGAGACAGAGUAAGACUCGCUAAAAAAAAAAAGAAAAAAUAUUUGCAAAUUAUAUAUCUGUUAAGGGACUUGUAUCUAAAGAACUCUCACAACUCAAUAAUAAAAAGGCAAAAACCCAAAAAUGGGCAAAAGAUCUGAUUAAACAUUUCUCUGAGGAAGAUAUACAAAUGGCCAAUCAGCACAUGAAAAGGUGCUUGAGGUCACUAGUCAUCAGGGAAAUGCAAAUCCAAACAAGGAGACACCACUUCACACCUGCUAGGAUGGCGGGAAUAAAAAAGUCAUAUAACAAGUAUUGGUGAGGAUGUGGAAGGGUCUGAAUCUCCCUGUAUUGCCUCCUUGGAAAGUAGUCAUAAUUCCUCAAAUGAUUAAAGAUUAGUGUUACCAUAUGACCAAGCAAUUCCACUCAUAGGUAUAUACCCAGGAGAAAUGAAAUGUGUCUACGCAGAAACUUAUACAUGAAUGUUUAUAGCAGCAUUGGUCGUAAUAGCCAAAAGGUGGAAACAACCCCAAUGUCUGAUGAAUGGUUAAAGAAAACAUGGUCAUCCACACAAUGGAACAUGCACAUGCAAGUCUUGUGUGGACGUGUGAUUUCAUUUCCCUUCGAUAAAUUGCUAGGAGUGGAAUUGCUGGGUCAUAUGGUGAAUUUAUGCUUAACUUUGUAAAAAAUGACUGUGCCUCUCUCCAAAGUCUCACUGUUUUACUUUCUCUGGGGAAUUGACAUUUAAGCUGAGACCUAACAGAUGAGAAGGAGCCAGUCAUAAGAUGAAUGGGGAAGAGUUUCCUGGGGCAGACAGGGAGCAACAGCUCGUGUAAAGCCCUCAGGCCCAGAAAGGGAGAAAGCUUUGUUAGCUAGAGGAGCUGGCACUCUUAAAAGAAAUUGGUGAGGUUUUUGUUUGUUUUUGUUUUUUUGAGAUGGAGUUUUGCUCUUGUUGCCCAGGCUGGAGUGCAGUGGCACGAUCUCAGCUCAGUGCAACCUCUGCCUCCCAGAUUCAAGUGAUUCUCCUGCCUCAGCCUCCGGAGCAGCUGGGAUUAUAGGUGCCCUCCACCACACCUGGCUAAUUUUUUGUAUUUUUAGUAGAGGUGGGGUUUCACCAUGUUGGCCAGGCUGGUCUUGACCUCCUGACCUCAGGUGAUCCACCCACCUUGGCCUCCCAAAGUGCUGGGAUUACAGACAUGAGCCACUGUGCUCUGUCUGGUAAGAUUUCUUAUAUUGAGCCACCUGAAAGAAUAUGAAAACGAGUCUGUAGAACAGACUUCAGGGAAGGGCAGUCUGAGCACUGGGCUGUAUGCUGAUGAACAUGAGACAGUAGGAAUGUGCGUGACCUGAGGGAGGUUGACCACGCUGGGCACAGCUGGAGAAGACAGUACCGACUUCCCAGUGAGGCUGCGCUAGGCUUGAAUUCCAGCUCAGCCUCUGGGAUGUUGGGUGAGAUUUUUUUUUUUUUUUGAGCUGGAGUCUCACUCUGACACCCAGGCUGAAGUGCAGUGGCACCAUCUCAGCUCACUGCAACCUCCACCUCCUGGGUUCAAGCAAUUCUCCUGCUUCAGCCUCUUGAGCAGCUGGGAUUAUAGGUGCACACCACCACACCUGGAUAAUUUUUUUCUAUUUUUAGUAGAGACACGGUUUCAUCAUGUUGGUCAGGCUGGUCUCGAACUCCUUACCUCAUGAUCCGCCCACCUCAGCCUCCCAAAGUGCACAGUUGUGAGCCACUAUGCCCGGCCAAUUGGGUGAGAUUCUUAACCUCCUUGAGCUUCAGUCUACUCAGCUGUAAAAUGGGAACCGACUUUACCCUGUCAUAAGAGGGUGAAGAACUGAGGACUUGCAAUAUGCAUGUCAUAUCAAGACUUUCGCCCGAAGGGGCCAGACGCCACAGUCCAGGGCAGCUGGUGUGAGGAGUGAAGGGCAGGUAUGAGCUGGUCUGAGGAGGGCAGUAGGCAGCUCACGGGGACUGCAACUUUACACUGGAGGCAGUGAGAAGCAAGUGGCUGGAGGACUCUUGAGCUAGCCAAGGAGUUAGCCAAGGUCAAGGAGGGAAGUUAGAACUGGGGGUCAGGUCGCUGAUCACACAGCAUUCUCCAAGUGGGUAGAGCGGGAGAUUGAGUUAUCGUCCCUGAUUACAGUAAUCCAGGCCAGGUUACAGCAGCUGCGGAGGCAGAGGGGAGCAAGUGAGAGAUGGAGUGUAGUGUGUCUCCAGAUGUCUGUCUGGGGCUCUGCAAGAGUGGCUGGCCACACCAGAGAGGUUGAGGACUGGGGGCGGCAGGCUUGGAGGAGGGAGAAGCAGGGAAGGAGGUGAAUGCUCUAUUUGGCCAUGCUGGGUUUGAGGCGUCUGUGGAGAAACCCCAUUGGCCCCAUGGCAGAUCAUGAAAAGAGAGGUUCGUCUCUGGGAGGCCCCAGGAUGCCAGACUCAGCUGUCCUCAGGAGCAGCUCCCUGGGGCUUCUUGCCACCACUGACUUUAGGAGGGUCCCCUCUCUUUUCUCAUCUGUCUCGUCCUGAGCAUGGGACAGAUCCUUCCCUGAUUCCCCACCUCCCUGUAUGGUCUUAGCUGUGACUUUAAAAAGGCCUUGAAGGUUUAGGAGUGAUACUAUUGGAAGUAAUGCUUGGUGCCACAAAUAAAAAUCAGCACUGAGACAAAGGAUGUUUUAGCAAUGCAAUUUUUACUUCCUGGACUGCAGGAAAGGUUCCCUUGCUAGCCAUCUUGCCACAAGAGUACAAUGAACAAAGGAAAACACACACAUUUACUUCUUAUGCUUUUGGGGUUGUCCUUACUGCUGUGUCUUAUUUCCAUUGGCUGGAGUCAGACCUCACAAUCUAAACUAAAACCUGAUUGGCUAACCUCAAACCCAGCAUGGCCAAAUAGAACACUCACCUCCUUCCCUGCUUCUCCCUCCUCCAAGCCUGCCGCCCCCAGUCCUCAACCUCUCUGGUGUGGCCAGCCACUCUUGCAGAGCCCCAGACAGACACCUGGAGCACACUACACUCUAUCUCUCACUUGCUCCCCUCCAGCCCUUAAGCUGGCCCCUCUGCCCUUUAGCACUCCUCCCUGUGCUCUGCCCUCUCCCUCUUUUUUAAAUAGGUAAAAGCAAUGGAGAGCUGGGACAUGCCUGUGAGCAGGUCCAGCAUAGAUGUCUUGGUUAAAGUACAAGGACAUAGAAUGUACUACAUGCCUGUAAGCACAGCAUAUCUAACGCUACAUAGAAUAGGGCUUAACACAGUUAUUAGCACACUCAUAAUUUAAUAAGAAAAGAAACUUUAAAAAAGAACUUUUCUACUUCACACAAUACUAUACUGUGAUCAUCCCAAAGGGUCUCUUCUGAGACCAGCUCCCCAUAUCGCUCCCAGCCUCAUCCCCCAAGUCUUUCCACAUAGCUGUGGGUCUCCUACCCUGCCUCUCCAUACUCUGGUGUCUGAGGCUGAUCCCUGAACCUGGAAAGCGAGGGUUCCUCUUCCCAUAGACUCUUCUGGUUGCCCCCAGUAUCCACUCUCCUUUAUGAGCUCCUGAUAUGAAGCUGGGUAGGCACCCGUUCCCAUUCAGAACACCCUAUUCCCCACCCUUGCUUGCAGUCAGAUGUGGUCAUGCGCCCAAGUCUGACUAGUAAGGUAUAAAUGGAUGUGUCAUUUCCAGCAAUUGUCUUUAAAAAAAUGAGGUGUGGCCUUCAUCGUUCCUCCCUCUCGACAGAAAACAGAUGGAAUGGCUGGAGCUCUGACAGUCACCUUGGUUCAUGGAGUAGGGCUGUGCCUUUGGAAUGGAAGCCAUGCACAAUGGAGCAACAAGAUAGAAGCCUGGCGGUGCCCUUCACUCCAGGGGACACCCUUCACUUGGCAUUCUGUGGUGCGUUCCAGAAGGUGCCAGUCACAGAAUACCAUGUGAAGGGCACCCCUGUAGCUUGCAAGGCAUCAGCCUCAGCUGCCUGCCUCUGAACAUCCUGCAGCCUGAGCGAGUAUCCGACUUUGCUGUGAGCAACUGCCCUUUGAGGAUUUUCUGUUAUUUGCAGGUCUGAUCUAACACCUGGUCCCGGGCCUCCUUUCCUUUGCCCAGAUCCAUCUGUACCCAGGGUGAGUGACUGUUGACUAACUUCAGGAGAAACCCCACCCUGUCCCUGGCAGUGGCCGCACAGGGCAACCCACAGAAGUCACAGCCAGGAUUCUCCAAAGUCUGAGCUCUUCUUAAGUCUCACCUGGGCUCUCCUUGCAGUUGAUGAUCUGCCAGCCACCCCAAAACUGAGUGGCUUCACACAGUUCCUCAUGGAUUUCCUGGGCUUGCCCAGCUGUUUCUAAGCUAGGGUCUCCUAUGCAGUUGCAGUCAGGUGGUGGCCUCCCAUAUGAAGGCCCUGCUGGGCUGGACUCCAGGGCAGCACCAUCUCACAGCUGCAAGUGGGACUGGCUGGGAGCUUGGCUAGGGCUGUGGACAGAAGCCCCUACCUGAGCCUCUCACAGCAUGAGGGUCAGAUUCCAACAAAGAGUAGCCCAGGUGUGAGCAUUCCAGGAGAUACAGCUGGGAGUUGACAGGCUUCUCAUGCCCCAGCCUCCAAAGUCACACAGCAUCACUUCUGCCACGGUUCAAAAGUAGGAAACCACACAGGGCAUGGGUAUCAGGAGGCGUGGCUCACUGGGGACCCUGCCGUCACAGAGAUAGGAGGCCACUGGAGCUUGGAGGGCAGCUGGACAAGAGACAAAUUUUGAGUUUUGACUGUUUUUACUCACAAUACUACUGACAUCGAAAAUGUGGGUUUUUCUUCCACUCAACAGCCAGUUCUCUGAUUCUGCAGCCGCUCAACCAGAUGUUUGUAGACUAAAAUUCCUAAGCUCCACACCAACUGAAUGGACCCCCUCUUGGCCAAGGGGACCCCAGGGAAACCUUAAAAAAUGGAGUUCCUGGUCAUGAUGGGAAGGGCAGUUGGACAUGCCUCAUUAUGCCCACUCCCUUUCCAAAUUUAGGCCGAACUGAGCAGCACUGAUGUUCAAAUAGAGAUCACAACACUGACAAAACAUUCUCUGUGGCAAUGAGAUACAAGAUUAUAAAUGGGAUCUAAGGCCAUGCCAGGCAAGGGUUACGUCACACCCACAGGCCAUCAAUCUCACUAUGUGGCAUCCUUAACUGAAAACCUUCCUUUCUGGCCAAGUACUUGGGGAGGCUGAGGCAGGCAGAUUGUGUGAGCUCAGGAGUUUGAGACCAGCCUGGACAACACAGGGAGACCCUGUCUCUACAAAAGAUAAAAAAUUAGCCAGGCGUGCUGGUGCACACCUGUGGUCCCAGCUACUCUGGAGGCUGAGGUGGGAGGAUCACUUGAGCCUGGGAGGUGGAGGCUUCAGUGAACUGAGAUCGCACCACUGCACUCCAGCCUGGGUGACAGAGGGUGACCCAGUCGCAAGCAAACAAACAGAACAUUCCUUUCUGCUUACUCCAAGUUUAGAUAGACAGAGCCUUACCCCUUCAACCAAUUGUAUGUUAAGGAAUCUCCGAAUCUCCCUGUAACCUAUCAGCCCCCGUCAAGAUAUCCAGCCUUUUCAGGCUGAACUAACGUGUGCCUCCCAUGUCUUUUUGUCUUUGCCUGUAACUCCUGCGUCCCUAACAGGUAUGAAAGGAAACUGUGCCCUGACCUCCCAGUGCACGUUUUCAGGACUCCUUGAGACUGCAUCCUCUGGACUUCCGUCACUCACAGAGGCUCAGAAUAAAUCUCUUUAAAAUAUUUAGAGCUUGGUUUUUCAGGUAACUCAUUCUUCAACUCAAUUCAAUUCUUACACUAACUCCAUGGAGUUCAUGCAGACCCCACAGUCCCACAAGACUCCUCCCACUUCUGACAUCAGAGCCAGGGGCCCUCAUCUGCAAGUCCCAGGUUCCCACCUGUAUUUCCUACCCACUGGCUCUACAUCGGGGGUUCUCACAGCCUCUUCGUCCCUUGGAUAAUUUGCUGUAAUGGCUCACAGAACGCAGGAAAGCACUUUUACUUCCAAUACUGGUUUAUUAUACAGGAUAUAACACAGGAACAGCUAUAUGGAAGAGAUGCAUAAGGCAAGGUAAGAGAGAUGCAAAUGUCCAUGCCCUCUCUGGCUGUGUCCCCUCCCAGUACCUGCCUUUGUGUGGCAGCCCAGAAGCUCCCCAAGUCCCAUCACUUAGGAGUCUUUCCAGAGGCUUCAUCCUGGAGGCAUGAUUGAUUAAAUCAUUGGCCACUGGUGACUGAACUCAACCUCCAGCCCUCUCCCCUCCCCAGAGGUUGGUGAGUGGGGCUGAAAGUCCCAAUCCUCUAGUCGUGCCUUGGUCUUUGGUGACUGGCUCCAUCCUGAAGCUACCUAGGGCCACCGCUCAUCUCAUUAGCAUAAAAAGACACCUUCCACUUUGGAGAUUCCAAGCGUUUUAGGAUCUGUGUGCCAAGACAAAGGGACAAAGACCAAAUAUUCAGUUUUUAUUAUUACAAGUAAGUGUUAAAAUUCCAAGAAUAGAGGAGUUCUGUGCACACUUGUUUGCACUUGGGAGUGUGUGGUGUGUGCAGGUGUGUGUAUACGUGUGUGGCAUGUGUGUGGUACAUGCAGUGUGCCUGGGGUGGUAAGGUGCCUGCACACGGGAGGGAGCUGGAGCUUGUCAGAGAAGUGGGAUUCCAGGGCAGGCAUGUCUUUAAAUUAGUUCUUGAGACCUAGAUUCCUUUCUUUGCUGCCUCCCGCUUUUCCUCCUUCAGCGCCUUUGCCACCUUCAGAUCCCAGCCAGACACUGUCAAGCAGGAAAAUUGCUACCAGAGACCACCUCUGAGGAGGAGUCAGGCUCAGCAUCCGGGGGAUGUCCCACCCUGCUCCCGGCUCCCUGACGCCAGCAGGUGCACGGGGAGGCCCCCACCUCAGCAGUGAAGCGGGCAGGGCUUGCUGAGGCCCCUGCCUCACCCGUAGCUCCCUAACAAGAUCAUCUGCCAUUCCUGUUGCACCUGUGCCCCACGCCGUGGCCUCUGUAGAAGGUGUGUGGACACUGUCUGCCUUUUUAGAACUUGGAUCUGAGUGGACCUGGGUUCCACUCUUACUGUCACCAUGUGACAGUAGGUAGGUCACUCGUAUUCUCUGAGCCAAAUGAAAGUACUGAGUUAGAUCCCUCAAGAUGCCAUCCCAGGGUCCAUCCGCCUGCCCAGCUCUCCACCGAACUCUCUGGCAGGCUCUCCCUCUCAUUCCUGCUUUGCUACUUUCACUGGUGAAACCCAAGAGGGCCAGGUGGAGGCUGGAAUGUGCCUAACCUCCAGAGGUCAUCUCAGGCAGCCCCCUGUCUUAAGUUCCAGGAUCUCUAUCUGAGCCCUGGACCCUCAUCUGUCAGGCAGGGCCCAGUGGCUUCAGGGGCAGGAGCAGGGGUGGAGUUAAUCUUCCCUGGAAUGUUAAUGGCCCCAUCAGGAGUGCUGGGGACGAGCCUAGCAGUAAUCUGCCUUUAUUAAUGAGGCGGGCACCAGCUGGAGCACGGGGCUCAGGAGAGAGAAGCUGCUGCAGCGGAGGCAGCUUGGGGGAAACCGCCCUCCUGGCCAGAGCAGCAGGUAGACAACAGAGAGGGUGCCUGGGCCUCAGAAUCGCCCACCUCAGCCACUGCACCACCGGCCCCCUAGCUUGAUCCCCCCACCUCUUCCUCCUCUUCCGCGCUGGGGUGGGAGGGGCUCCUCCUCGUCUGGAUGCAAGUGUGUGGGUGUGCAGAGGUGUGUGCAGGGUGUGUGGGGGGGUGUGCACAUGUGAGCAGGCAUAUGUGUGUGCAGAGCUGUAGGCCUAGGACAAGUGCAUGCCUGCCUGAGCCCACCUGGGUGCCCAGCCACAUACCACCCCAGGUCCCUGAGGGCACCCACGUGCUUGGGAAACAGUGGGCCGACUACACAGGCCACUGGUCCUCUAAGAGGGCAGGGGAGAAGGCAUAGUGUAGGGUGAAUCAGCCUUCACCCUGCUUAAUUAUUUAAGCCACCACCAGCACAGGGUUAUGAAGCUGAGAUUAACCACUGGCCCUAUAGCUGGGAGCAAUACAUAUUUCCCCCUCAUUUUGCCUUUCUGUUCACCAAAUUGAAUCAACAUAUUAGGGUUGCUCCCAAUCGAUUUGUUCUGAUUCCCCAACAGUAUGGAAGAGAAACGUGGCACCAGCCUUCAGGGCCAAACUUGACUCAUUAAAUGAUCCCUCUCCAGGCAGUGUGGACAAGUGCGACCCCCUGUUCACCCAGACUGAGCUGCCCUGCCCCAGAAGAUCAGGACAUACCCACAUCCACUACACCCCUGAAUCCUGGGGCCCCUCUCUCUGACCCCAAAUAUUUCAAAUUGGGAAACUAAAUUCUCACCCACCUGCCUCCCCAUAGCAAGACACUCAUGCUCUGUGAACUGUGCUUUCCAAGGCCAAUGCCAGCAGGAAAGGGGGCAAAGCAGAUGCCUCACUCCCACACCUGCCAUUUUGCCGGUGAUGCCCCUAUUGGAAUCAUUGAUUGCCAGAGUAACAACAAUAAUAGCUAAUGUCGAUUGAGUUUCUGAUAUAUCAGGCAGGGUAUGAACACACCAGGAUUAUCUUAAUUGUCAUUGGAGACACAAGCUGGAGAGGUUACGUGACUUGCCCAAGGUCACACAGGCAGUAAGUGGUUGUGGUACAUAUAGUGGAUGGACUACCCAAAAGCCAUUGUCAAGCCCCCUUUUUCUUUCCUUCCUUUAGUCAGUGGCUAAAAAGCUGAAAUGCUCAUCUUUCCAGCUUCCCUUGCUGCUGCUAGGAAUAGCCCUGUGACACAAUUCACUUCUUGGCCAAGGGGCAAGAAGUGAAAGUUCUUGGAACAGGCAUUCUUUUCCAAAUAAAAAGACAAAGCCUAGCUAGGGGAGGACGCUUUGCCCUUCCUGAUUCUCCCUUCUUCUCCCUUCUGCUUGUUUAAGGGAAACAGAUGUGAGGACCAGAGGUGCAGCAGCCACCAUGUGAGCAUGAGGUGGAUAUGUAUAGUUAUGACGGAGCAGGAAAACAAAGAUCCCAGGUGUCCAGGGACAUCUUUGAGCUACUGUAGCAGCUUAGGACUGCCUUCUCCCAGACUUCUUAUUGGACAAGCCAAAUAAACUCCUCCUUUGUUUAAGUCCCUGCAAGCAUUUCCUGUUACUUACGGCCUAAUGCACUCCUAGCUGAUAAGAUUCAACCACAAGCAGUUUGGCUCCAGAGCCCCUGAUCUUAGCACUCUUGUCCUGCCUGUCACUGAGUUUGUAGAAGACAUAUAUGAAGGUUCUUCAUGACAUAACUUAUUUUUAAGACAUUUUAAAGAGUAGUUUUAGGAGCACAUCAAAAGAAGAAGAUACAGAGACUUCCUACAUACUCCUGCCCGCUACAUGCACAGCCCCCCCUUAUCAACUCCCUGCACCAGAGUGCCACAUGUGCUACAACUGAUGAAUCUACACAGACACAUAAUUAUCACCCAGAGUCAUAGGUUACACGAGGGUCCACUCUUGGUAGUAUACAUUUUAUGGGUUUGGAUGAUUCUACAAUGACAUGUAUCCACCACUGUAGUAUCUAUUUUAGAGUAUUUUUGCUACCCUAAAAAUCUGCUGUGCUCUGCCUAUUCAUCCCUCCCUUUCAUCCCCCAAACCUUUGGCAACCACUGAUCUUUUUAUCGUCGCCAUAGUUUUGCCUCUUCAGGAAUGUCAUUUAGUUGGAGUCAUGCAGUAUGUGGCCCUUUCAGAUUGGCUUACUUCACUUAGUAAUAUGCAUUUAAGGUCCCUCCGUGUCUUUUUAUGGCUUCAUAGCUUUUUUUUUUUUUAGCACAGAACAAUAUUCCACUGUCUGGAUGUACCACAACUAUUUAGCCUUCAUUUACUGAAGGAUAUGUUGGUUGCUUCCAAGUUUUGCAAUUAUGAAUAAUGCUGCACAGGUUUUUGUGUGGACAUAAGUUUUCUACUCCUUUGGGUAAAUACCAUGGUGCACCAUUGCUAGAUUGUGGUAAGAGCAUGUUUAGUUUUGUAAGAAACUGCCAGGCUGUCUUCCCAAGUGGCCAUACCAUUUUGCAUUCCCACUAGCAAGAAUGAGAGUUCCUCUCGCUCUGCAUCCUCGCCACCUUUGAAUAUCCCGUUUUUGGUCCCCUCCCACCCCUAACUGAAGAGCUGUCUGUCUCACAUAACUUGACAGCUGUUUGAGUGCAGCUCAUUGGCUUUAGAGUGGACACUUGAACAAUAGCGGAGCAAAUCAGAUUCUUCCUCAAGAAGAGGAAGCAAGCCUGGGACUUAGUCUCAUGUGGAGGAUGUUUGAUGCACUGCCAAAAUCUCCCUGAGAAAUGCAGGGCAUCUUCCCCCAGCUGCUGAAAGUGCGGGGAGACAAGACACUCCUCAGCUGGAUUAGUCCAUUCUCAUAUUGCUAUAAAGAACUACCCGAGACUGGGUAAUUUAUAAAGAAAAGAGAUUUCAUUGGCUCACAAUUCUGCAUGCUAUACAGGAAGCAUGGCUGAGGAGGCCUCAGGAAACUUAUAAUCAUGGCAGAGAGCAAAGGGAAGGCAGGCACAUCUUACAUGUCUGGGAAAGGAGUAAGAGAGUGAAGGGGGAGGUGCCACACACUUUUAAAUAACCAGAUCUCACAAGAGCUCACUCACUUUGACCCCCAGAAUUCAAUCACCUCCCACCAGACCUCUCCUCCGAUUACAACUGGACGUGAGAUUUUGAUGGGGAUGCAAAUCCAAAGCAUAUCACCAGCUGUCAGGGCUUCAAGGAUGGCCUCAGCUGAAGAAAGCUGCUUUGGCCAUGGCUGUGCUCUCCUUGCUGGGCAGCCCACAUUUGAUGACUAAUUUGAUGACUAAUGUGGAGGGGUGGUUAAAGGCUCAGUUCCCUCACUAUCCCAGGUCCAGGGCUUUCCAUGAGAUGAGAGGACAUCUUGGGGAUGUCAUCACACCUCAAUUUCCCCCUCUGUCCACUCCUGCACCUUCCCUUUCCUCCCACAGGGGUUAAGCCUGAGAACAUUCCCUAGUAAACAUCCUCCACAACAAGCUCCACGUCAGCAUCUGCCCCUCAGCAAACCCAACCCGGGACACACCAGCUGGAAGGACCUGAGACAAGUGGGCUGAAGCGGCCACUGCAUCCAUAAACAGAGAACAGACAGAGACCUGGAGUGCUGCAAGAGGAGCGAGAGGCAGGACCACAUGGCUCCAAAAGAAGGAGCAGGAUGAACAAGGGUCCACACUGAUUCUAGAACGUUUUCCAGCUCCUGUGUCAGCUCUUGCACAGCCCUCAGGUUCCAUGAGACACCCCUGAUUCCUCACAGUACCCUUCCUAUUUUGUUGAGCAAGUAUAGGUGGAUUUCUCUUUCCUGACAUCAAACUAUCCUCAAAUAAUAAAUACUGCUUCCCUGCAUUUUACGAAUAAGAAAACUAAAGCCCAGAGGGGAAGGGCCUUCUCUAAAUUCACAUCAGGUUAGUGAGAGAGCUGGAUUUUUAUCUUUAUUCAUGUAACAAAUAGCUCCUAAGGAUCCACUAUGUGCCAUGCAUGGUGUCACUUGGGGCUGAUAACUGUGAGCAAGGUAGACGUGAUCCUUACAAUUACGGAGCUCCCCAUCUAACAAGAGAGAAGACAACUCAAUAGACAACCACAGCACAGUGAGACAAGCGCUAUGGCAUUACCUAGGAGGGCACCCAUCCCUGGCUUGGAUGCUCACGGAAACCUCCCAGAGGAAGUGACACCUGAGCCAAGGCCUGCAGGGGAACAGAGCUGUCCAGGUAGAGGAAAGAGAAUGUGGAAAGGCUCACCGUUGAAAAGAAAUAGUGUAUGGAAUUCACACACUCGUUUUGUCUGGUCACCAUCUUUUCCUUGGGGGGAACCACAGUUUCCCUGGCCCUGUGUUGGUUCCAUGAGGUGGCGAAUCUCUGGGCCUAUGUCCUUCUCAUAGUAGGGUCAGGUCCAUGGCCCAGUCUAACCCAAUCAGAACCUCCCUCCAGAACCUGAAUUUCUGCUGGAGACACACAGGAUGGAAGGUGGUAAGCACGGAGGCCUCUGGUGGCUGCGCCCUAAAGAGACUGCACAUGCUACUCAAGACUCCAGAGCUGCCCUGGUUCCUGUCGGUCCUGAGAUCUGUUGUCUAGCUCCUCCUUCUAAUCUGUGAGCUGCUUCACUAACUCCUCAACAAAUCCCCUGUUCUUCUUUAACUUUUUCAGAGUCGACUUUUAGUGCUUGCAACCAAAUAACCCUGAUUCAGAAAUGAGUGCCAGGAGUGGGAUUCACGCAAAACCCUUAGGGAUAUGUGAGCUACUUAGAACUGGCUUUCAUAAAUCCAUGGGGGAAAAUCAGGAGGACUCUGGUUCAUAUUACUGGAUAGGAAAGUGGCUGCCAAUGGUACAGAGUGGUGAACAACUAAUCAUGUUAUACCCUCUGGUCACCUGGGACCACACGCCAACCAAAAGCGAAAGACUAUAGCAGCUGCCAUGGACCAAUUUAUAAAGGAUGAGGAGAGCUGGGACCAUAGGCUGGAUGCUUGUUCCCAAUACUGGAUAAUUUAAAGCAAGAAAAUGACAGGCUCAACUCAAAAUGCUUGCCUGGAGGCACUGAAUAAAAUUCAGAGCCAUUAUAUGACCAUGCUGAAAUAAUCUUUUAUUGCAUGUAGCCUUAGAGUUGAAAUUGCUGAAGACUGAACUUGGAUAUUGAUUCUGAAGUUACUGAACUACAGUGUCAGUGAAUUCACAACCUCACCAGGUCACUUCUGCAAAAUGGAGGGAAUUGGCUAGGAAAUAUUAAUUUCCUAUUGGAACAGUGAUAUCUGGGAGGAUUAUAAGGACUCAGAGCACCCUAAGCCUCCAAGUACCUCAGUUCACCACCCUCGGGCUCCCUCAUGACUCACCCCUCACUGUUUCUCCCAAAAUAUUGAGGACCCAGAUUAAACGUGGUCCAGAUGAUAAAAUUCAGAAUCAGGGUGGGAAAGAGUUAUUCUCAGAAAGAACUGCAGAAACUCACUAAUUUACAUUCCUAAGGUAUGAGAAAUAUGUGUGGAAAUGGAUUUCGAGGGGGCAUUUAUCAAGGCGAGAGGGAUAGAAGUGCAGUUUUAGUGCAUUUCUUGGUAUGGGUGCAGUCACCAGAAAUUUUGCAUUCAGGGUAUUCUCUCUGGCAGUUGGUAGAAAUUCUGACACUUUGCAGAAGUCACUAAUGCAAACCUGGACAGUAUGAUGAUCCACACUAAUUGGCAAAAAGGGACCGGAAAAUCCUUGGCAUAAUUAGAGGAACAGAAAUCAAAAUAGCUAGAGAGGAAUGCUGAACUGAUCUCUCAAUUCACAUCAAUUCCAGGAGCCUCUCCCUUCCUCCUUCCCUUAAGGAUGCUCUCAGUGAAAAAUGAAAAUAAUCUUGUCUUUUUAAUAUCAAAAAAAUUAAUAGCAUGUUUCAGAUUUACAAAAGGUUUAAAGAAUAAUGUAACAAACAUCGAUGAACCUCUUAUCCAACUUACAGUAUGAAAUGUGUUAGCUUAGAUCCUCCAGGAUGCAGACACCAAGAUGGGAUUAGAAAACUCCUGCAGAGGAACACAGGGAGAAAGGCAGAGGCGGUAGGCAGUGCCCUCAUGGCACUGCAGGCCUGACCACUGGGAAAGACCAAGGGAAGGAAGGAAGGCCAUGUCAGGAGAGUUUCAGGUGGCUGGGCAGCUCUGAGAAUGUUUCAGCAAGGCUGAUGGGAAGUCCUUGAGCCACAGUCACCUGUAAGAGGAGCCCUGCAUCUCACAGGGUUGGGCAUGCCUGUCAUCCCUGUGGGGCACAGGCAGGCCUGGUGCAGGUUGGGAAAGUGUGGUGCUGGUACAAACACAGUGGAGGACUCAGAGUGCAGCUGCUGGGGCCAGCAGUCAAUUACAGGGACUGCAGAAGGUGAUGUGAGAGGCACACUGUCAUGGCCAUGCAUGAACCAUGGUCAGGACCAAUAAAAGUGCAUAUCAACCCUUCCCAAAUCUGCAAAAUGGGCUCAGCUACCCAUUCUCGAUAGAAAUUAUAGCAGAAGUGCUGCUGUUAAAUGGGAUUUCUAAUCUUAGAGUGGGUGGAAAGAGCUUUAGCGGCCUAGCCCAGAUUAAGUAACUAUGUGAAAAUAGUGGUCAUGGCCAUCCCCUAAAGGAGGCAGGGAGUGGGUGCUAAGGGAAUCACUGGGAAAGCAGUGAUCCCUGGGUAUGGGUAAUUGAUCAAGCCAUCCCUUGAUCAGUGAAGAGAUGAAAUGAGCAAGCAGCCCACUGAGGUCUUACUUGAUUCUAUAACCAAAAUCCUCCAGGUUUGGUAAAUGAAGAGCUUGUUGAGUACCUGUAACUGAGAGGGAGUUCCCAGUCCAGGGUUGGUUCAGACCCAGAGCUUCUCAAAUGCAGGGGCCAACAGGGCCUUUGAGCUAGGAUCUGUUAAAACAGCACACAUGGGACAUGAUAAAUCUGUGAGUUUCCUCCAAAGACAGCUGCCGCCCUUUACCUAGGUUACUGAGCUGAUAUGGUUUGGAUAUUUGUCCCCUCCAAAUCUCAUGUUGAAAUUUCAUCCCCAAUGUUGGAAAUAGGACCUGGUGAGAGGUACUUGGGUCAUGGGAGUGGACCCCUCAUGAGUGUCUUGGCGCCACGUUCACAGUAAUGAGUGCAUUCUUACUCUAUUAGUUCCCAAGAGAACUGAUUAUUGAAAGAGCCUGGCACCUUCCUUCUGUCUCUCUGGCUUCCUGACAUGUGAUCUCUGCAGCCAGCUCCCCUUUGCCUUCUGUCAUAAGCAGAAGCUUCCAGAAGCCCUCACCAGGAGCAGAUGCUGGCGUCAUGCUUCUUCUACAGCCUGUAGAACCAUGAGACAAAUAAAUCUCUUUUCUUUAUAAAUUACCCAGCCUCGGGUACUCCUUUAUAGCAACACAAAUGAACUAAGACAUAAUCACAGGAGGAAUAGGUGAUUAGAGGAUUAUCUGAGCCAGCUCUAAUUCCUGGGGACAGUAACACUGUGGUCUCUAUGGCAGAUGGGCACUUGGGGAACUCAGGGAUAACUGUGUUCCCACCUGAAUCCUCCCUACAGUAGGUCAGUGGGACUUCAGUCCCCUCCAGCAGUUACUUCCCCAGUUCCUGAAAGGAAAUAGAGGUCUUCAUAGGUGAGAAAACCCGCAUCAGCUUCCUGAUCAGAAGACUUAGUGAUAGGAAGGGCCAGGAGGAAGUCACUUGCGUUCCUUCUACCCAUGAAUACAGUAACCAAAAGCAACACUGCAACCCCAGGGGGCUGCGAGGCUGAGUGUCACCACCCGACACCAGAAAGAUGUAAUUGGGACAAUACUGACCACAUCUCCCUGCUAUCCCAGAUUGGCCAGUGUGAAAAAUAGCCAGGUUUAGAAAACGACAGUGGCAUGUUAUACACUUAAUUGGGUGGCCACUUUAUUUGCAGUUGCUGUUCCAGAUGUGGGCUCCUUGGCAGAGCAAAUUAAUUCAGCCCUGUGCUUGGCAUUCAGUUGCUGAUCUGGAAAAUAGAAUGUACUCCUCCUGACAAGCAGAAAACACUUGAAGUGGUUUGCUUGCCCCUGGCAGGGAGAGGAACAGAAUGGUACAGCUCUGCCUCGGGGAACGCUGGCUUUCUAGCUCGUCCCACAGCCUGGACCAGCUCCCCAUCCUGAGGAGCAUCAUCCUGCCAAUGGGCUCGUGCUCUGUAUUGAUCACACAAGACUAAUCGGGUCCGACAGGUUUCCUCGAUGUCUUGGUAAGAUGCACAUGUGACAGAGACUGGGCCGUGAUUCAGGCCCUGGCACCUCAGAGAGGCUCCUGCAGGUCCAGUGGUCUCAGACAUGUUGGAGAGUUCAUUUCAAAUGAAGAACUUAAAAGGAGGCACAAUGCCUCAUGACUUCUUUGGAUUUUUAAGGCAGUCUUAAGAUUAAUUCUUUUGUCCGGGUGUGGUGGCUCACGCCUGUAAUGCCAGCACUUUGGGAGGCCAAGGCGGGUGGAUCACAAGGUCAGGAGAUCAAGACCAUCCUGUCUAGCACGGUGAAACCCCGCCUCUACUAAAAGUACAAAAAAUUAGCUGGGCGUGGUGGCAUGCACCUGUAGUCCCAGCUACUCCCGAAGCUGAGGCAAGAGAAUCGCUUGAACCAGGGAGUCAGAAGUUGCAGUGAGCCAAGAUCACACCACUGCACUUCAACCUGGAAAACAAAGUGAGACUGUCUCAAAAAAAAAAAACAAAAACACAGAUCAAUUCUUUUUACCAACGUAAAAGGGGUUUCUAAACAAUCUGAAAACAUCCAGCUUUGAGUGGGGCCCCAUGCAAAGGCAGGCUCUGCAGGGGGUCUCAGCUGGGGUCCAGGCCUCUUUGUCCUCAGCCCUUGCUAGUGGUGUUUAGUGUGCAGGGCAGGGCACAAUGCUGUGUGGAGUUCACCUGAAACAAGCCUCCAGUCCCAAAUUCCCAGUGUAGUCUCUGGAGCUUCUGAAUAAGUAACUCUUCUUUGAGGAAAUGUGUGCCACCAUGGGCUGUGGGGAGACUGAAUGCCUGACCCUGAGUCACGAAGCAGCCGAUAGCCUGAGAUGUCCAUCAUGAAUCAGAUGCCGUCAUCGAUCAGAAUCCUGUGGGGUGUGGCCACCAGCCCUGUGCCGUCAGUAACCUUGCCUGUUGCCUCUUCUUUAUGAUCCACAUAGGUGUGACAAUACUGGAGCAGAGCAGAGACCAGCAUUGUCAGGAAGGAAUAUUUCAAUUGCAAGUAACAGAAAAUACUGACUUAAACAGAGAGGAUGUAUUGGCUCUCAUGAUUUAGAAAAAAAAAAUGCAAAGUUAAACUGCUCCAGGUGAGGCUCGCUCCAGCAACCCAGUGGUGUCACUGGAGACCCUGCUCCUCUCUCUCUUCUGUCUUCCAUGGCAUCAGCAUUAUCCUAACACUGCCCCCUCCGCCCCUCCGAUGGCUGUCAGCAGUCGUGGAGCUACUGGCACAUGCUCCCUCCUUCCAGUCCAGCAGCAGUGAGCACAACUCUGCCGGUAACUCUCGGAAAAGCAAAGGGGCUCCUUUCCCCGAGUGCCCCAGUACCAAUUUCCUGUGUCUCAUUGGCUUGAAUGGGUCAUGUGCCCAACUCGAAUCUAGUCCUGUGGCAGGGAAGCUUCCUUGAUUGGCUGCAAAUACCCAGGCCCCGCCCCCCGGGCUGAGGGCAGCCAAUCCUAUGCAGACAGCGUGACCAAGUAUGGAAGAGGAGCUUCAUUGCCAUAAAGUGGGGGCCAGGACGCAGGGCCCCCAGAACCGCAGGCUUCCCCUCAGCGCCCUUUCUCCCUGGCUCCAGGUUUGCCCCUCCCCAUGAAAUUACAGCAUCACAGUCCCAUAUCUCAGCUUGAAUCUUAUAAACUCUCAGAGUCCAACCACAUUCAUGGGAUGUCCCCUCUUGAGGGCCUCUGCUAGGGUUGAGGAGACGAAGCAGCCAGGGCUGCUCGGUGCAGGGCAGAGGGGAAACCCAAGUACCUCACCCCCAGCUCUGUUUCUCCUGGAUUCCCAGGGCAAAAACCCUACAAGGCCGUAAGGAUUGACUUACCCACACCCAGGUCUGGUGGGCACCAGGGUGGAUGUCUGUUCCUCCUCCUCAUAGGGCUGGGAAGGAGGUCCUCCAGUCCUGGAAAAACACAGCCCCUCCUUCAGAUUCCCCAGUUGAGGAGUUUUCACCCUAUUGUCUUUCGAAAAGUUAUACCACUUUUCUGACAAUUCCCCCACCCCCGCACCUUCUUUUGUAUUAUAAAAAAAUUUUCAUCCCCAAACCCACUAAUUAAAUAAAUGUAUCUCUUGGAACCCGCAGGGGAUUGGUUCCAAGACACCAGAGGAUUCCAAACUCCAAGGAUACCUAUGUUCCUGAUAAAAAAUGGCAUACAGCAGGGUGCGGUGGCUCAUGCCUGUAAUCCCAGCACUUUUGGAGGCCGAGUUGGUUGGAUCACAUGAGGUUAAGAGUUCGAGACCAGCCUGGCCAACAUGGUGAAACCAUAUCUCUAAUAAAAAUACAAAAAUUAGCUGGAUGUGGUGGUGGGCACCUAUAAUCCCCAGCUACUCAAGAGGCUGAGGCAUGAGAAUCACUUGAACCCAGGAGGCAAAGGUUGCAGUGAGCCAAGAUCAUGCCAUUGUACUCCAGCCUGGGUGACAGAGCAAGACUCGGUCUCAAAAAAAUAAAAAGUAAAAAUAAAAUGGCCUAGUUUUUGCACAUAACCUAUGCACAUCCUCCCAUAUACUUUAAAUCAUCUCUAGAUUACUUAUAAUACCUAAAGCAAUUGUUGUUAUACAUGUUAUGUAGGAAAUAAUGGCAGGGAAACAAAGGCUGCACAUGGUCAGUCCAGACACAAGCAUCCAAGCCUCACUGCACCUUCAGUGGGCAAUCAGCAAACCACAGAUGGAUGCAGGGCCUGCGGGUGAGGAACCUGCAGGUGCAUAUUUCAAUUGCAGGUAACAGAAAACACCACCUUAAACAGUAGAGAGGAUUUAUUGGCCCACAUCAUUUUUAAAAAUACAAAGUAAAACUGCUCCCGGUGAGGCCGCUUCACCUGGAGGCUGGCAUGACUUCCACACAGAGUCAUCAUUGCCACUUGUUUAGUGUGCUCUACAGUGUCGAGGCAGAGAUUAGCACAUGGAAGGCAUCGAAUUGUGUUCCAAGUUGGAUGGGCCAAACUGCUUUGCUUUAUCAGUCACCCAGUGGGAGAGGGAGCAGCGACUUUCAGGACUCCGAAAGCUGCUGCCUGCAUGGCCAUUUCCACCUGUGUGGUGGAAGUGCUCUCUGUUAAGCCUUGAUUUUGCCCUGCAGUGAUGCUUCUCUGUUCUAACUCUGUUUCUCAAUGCAAGAUAACCAUGACCCCCAACAGCUGCUGCCUGGAAGCAGAUCCUGAGACACCGAACCCUUCCCUCCUAUCCCGACAUCAGGCACCUCCCACUCCUUUCCGAGAAAGAGAAACCCUCAUCCCUUUACAUUUUAGUUACAAACCAUGGUGCUUAAUCUCAUAUUGCUAUUUAUUACUUACAUAAACUUGUUUUCCAUGUUCAAUUGCUAUUUUUCUAUCUGUGAGAAAUUAGAUGCUUUGACAUUAGUUAGAAACCACAGUAAUUUUUUCUCUAAAAUCAAUGAAAAUAUUUCUUCAUUUAAUGGCUUUUCAUUUAGAGUCAGGUUUUUAGAAAUCAGUAGAAGUCCUUGAAUGAGGGAUGGGUGUCCUCAUCCUGGACUUACUGAGCUUUACCUCUGCCUGCACCUGAGGCUUGUGACUGAGGGCUCUGAGUUUGCUGAGGCCCCUUGGGAAGGCAGGAGCUGUUCUCAGCAGGGCCCUUGAGGCCGACUUUCCCCUGACGUUGGGCCUCCAGGGUGGACAGGUAAGUGGGGCCCAACGAGGCUCUGUCCAACCUAUUCUACAGCGGGCAGGGUGGGACGAGCUGUCUGGACCCUCUACUCUCAGGGGGUUCCCAAGAUGGAAGCUGGAUUGGCAUCGCUCUCUGCAGGAGACAAGACUGGCGGCCUCUCCUGCUCAGAGGCGGCCACGUGCCAGGCUUUUCCCGUGUUCUCCACCCCCCUAUUUGGGCGUUCUGAGUAUUUUCUCCAGAUCACAGCACCUGCCUGCCUCGGGAUGAGAGAGUCCGUCCCAAACCAGCAUGCAUUUAGGAUGAGGCCCUGGCAGCUGGGCUGUGAGUGGACGGGGAGAGGGCAGGCCUGCAGGUUGGGAGAGACUGUGAGCGCGCUCACACUGAAUGACAGCAGCUCAAGGUGGCGGGAAGUGAAGAACGCAGGACUGCAAGGGGUGCCCCUGAGGGGGCUGGGCUGGGAGGAGGGGGCAGCGGGUUGCAGGGGUGGGGCAGAACGGUUUGGUUUUGGAUGUGGCAGUGGGCUCUGUGUGGGCUCUCCCAGCAGACACGUCCAGCCAGCAGCUGAGCGCAGCAUGUAGCUGCAGGGUCCAGAGGGAGAUAUGGGCAGAGACAGAGGAGGCCAGGAGCCAGGGGAACCAGCUAGGGGAAUGGAGCCGACCGCUCAGGGCUCGCUGGAGGGGCAGGCCUGUUCUCCAUGUUUCCACGCACUCCUCUGACUAGCUUAUUCCCUUGGGGUUUCAGUGUGUCUCCAUCUCAGAGUUCCUUUUAUUUAAAUCCAAUUAUCCACAGAUGGGUGACAUUUUAAGCUCUUGUGUUUAUCAAAUUUUAUAGAAACUAUACUCAAAUUAAAUAAAGAAAAAUAAAAAGGUGGGGGUGGAUGUAUUGACUCAAGUCAAUACAAAGUUGGGAUCUCCAGAUGAGACUGGGUCCCGGUGCUCAAGCCUUGUAAACAGGACCGUCCCAACUCCUCUGUGGGCUGGCUCCACAUACGGGGCAGGGAUGGCCCCUAGCAGCCCCACGUGCUCACUCUACUAGCUAGAAAACUCCCACAAAAAGAGGGCACCUCUUCAAAAUCCUGGCAUUGAUAAACUGUGAGGCUGAGGCCAGGAGUGAGGUCAGCCCCGCUCAAUCCACGUGGAUUCAGAAGAAUAGGGAGAUCCCCCCGUCAAAAGCAGGGAGCUGUGCCCUGAGGUGAGGCCUGGGAUGGAGGCCAUGCAUGGGGCCACUAAGAAAAAAGAGCCUGGCUUGCUGAGGGCUGCCGAGGGCAGAGCUGUGGUGCCAACCCUGGGAGACUUUAUUUGGACUUUUACAGGAGAGAGAAGUCCGCUUUCAUCUUGUUUAACUCAUUGAUAGUUUGCCCUCUGCUACUCCCAGUCCAGCCUAACCCUGUUGAACUCAAGCUCCAUGGGGGCACCAUAAGAAGGCCCUGGGGAAAAUGGGGCACUGGGGCUUUUCUGAGAAGAGGGUAUUGGAGUUCCAAAGCCUGAGGCCAGCCCUAGGGGACACAGCUUCCCCACCUCCCCACCUGCUCCUCACACCUACAUGCAGACCACACCAUCAGGAUCGUGUAACUGGAGGGGACCCAGAGAACAUCACUCAUUUUCUUGGCAAACAGGUACUGUGCACCUGCUCCACACAGGCCUUGGGGACAUGAAGCUAAUGAGACAUGGCCCCUCAGAUGUUCCAUGUAGAGGGGACAAUGAGAGGCAGGGAGAGCUGGAGUGUGCAAGGUGCAAAGGAAAGUCGGAGAGCUGGGUCCUGGAGGCCAAGCGGGAUUUGCCGGAAGAGAGAGAGUGUUCUAGAUGAGGGAAGGGCAACGAUGAGUGUGGGAGAGCAGCUCGUUCAGGGAACAGCAAGGAAUUCCCAUGGCUGGAGUGUGGGGGGCCUGGUGCAGGAAGACAGGGAGCAGGGCCAGGCCCCCAGGGUCUUGCAUCCCUACAGAGGAUGAGCAGCUUCCAGUGGAGGCCACUGGGGGUUCUCCAGGUGGGAGGCUACGAGGUCAGAUUUAGAAUCCCAGUUUGACAGACGAGGAAACUGGAGUCUAAAGGCAGGAAGCCUCAGGUCUGGCCCCUCAUUUAUUGGAGGUUCUCAGUACAUGUGAGCCGGGACGGGCAGGGCGCCCAGCCAGCUGGUCCACGAUGCUCUCCGAGCAGAUGUCUCCCAGGGAGAUGUCCCUCAGCCUCGCCUCUGUCCUACCCACGUGCCUGCCUCAGCCAGCACACAAGUGUGCAGUCAUGUUCCCACUUUGCUGGGGCCACAGGAGGUCACCAGAGGAGCUGGAGCUGAGGAGGGAGAUGGUGGCCUCCAGGAGGCAGGCAGUCUCAUUUGGGGGAAGUGUUGGUUCCCAACCUGCCUGGGCACCAGGUGACAUGGGCGAGCUGUGGAACCUGCUCUGUCAGCUCCUCUUCAGUGCUAGACCCUGGCCCAGGACUUUGGCCCUGGACAUGGGAAUAAACAAAGCUCAGUCCCUGCCCCCAGGAAGCUCACCACCAGGAGGACAAGGCAGGUCUGUUCCGAUGCAGAAGGAGCUCGGCGGCCAUAGCAGUUUCUUGAUACAAAUAUAUAGUCUCAUCGACAGGUGAACCCUCCUGUGGGUACCUGAAAGCCCUCAUCUUCUCAGAGUCCUUCAGCUUCUUACACUCCCUUCACCGCCUGGCCCUAACCUCUCAUCAAGUCCAAACCCAAUCUAAGGCUGAACAGGGAACAGCUCCAUCCUGUAUCCACUGCUGUCCCACCCACCGUCUUUACUGACCCCUCCACACAAAGAAAAACCAACUCAGGCCUUGCAGAAUGAAUGGGAGGCAUCUGGGCCAGUGGAAGCAGCACAGGAGCAGCUGGGGGUGGGGUGGCAAAGGCCCAGCAAGGCUGGCGCUCAGGUGUGUGUUACAGGAGGUGAUGGGAUCACUGGGGACAGUGGAGAGUGGGUGGAGAGGCAGAGCCCACUCGGCUGUGGCAGGGACUUCAGUGAAGACAGGCACUAGUGAUGGGAAGCCACUGGCUCUUGUUCAGGACCCGGGGGCCAGGCCCUCAUACCAGCACCCGGCGGGCCAGCACUUCCCACCACAGCCCCUGCACCUCAGGCUGCACCAGAAGCUCCAACCCUGCCUGUUGCAAGCUCUCCUGGCUGCCCUGACUCCAAGCCCAGCAAUAGCUCCUCUGGUAACUGCCAGAGUGUGGGUGUGUCAGAGCCUCGUGGGGUUGGCGCUUCACCUACAGACAGAGCCAGGGAGCUUCGGGCGCCUUAGCAGAUGGAAUGGGCACUGUGCAGUGUGUUAGGGCUCUUCUCAGGGGUGUAGGUUGCAUAAACAACAGAUCCUCCUCUCAUUCCGCUCCCUGCAUCCUGAAGAGAGUCCUUGCCCCUCUGACCCCACAGCACACUGUAGGCUGCUCUCUCAUUAUCCUCUAGGGUCUGGGUCUCCUGAUGAACUGCAGCUUCCUCGAGGAUCAUUGUCAUAUCCCCAGGGAGCACAGCACCAGGCAUAUAGUGGGUGCUCAAGAAAUGCCUGUUGAGUGAGUGAGUGUGCUCAGGACAGCACAGGAGGUGAGUCUGUGGGUCCAUUUACGUGUGUGUGCGCGCGCGCGCGCAUGCCUGCAAUGCCUGUCAUAGCCUGGCCUUCAUCUUACCUCACCCAGAGAAGUUCCUGGCUGGGCCAGGAGGAGGGGCUGGGUUUUCUUUCCUGCUCAUUUGCAUGACAGGUGUUGGCAGUUUAUCUAACUGUGAUAAUGAAGAGGAUGGGGGGUGCUAAUUCCUUCUCACUUUAUUGAAUCCACCAAUCCUUCACAGCCUCAGGGCCCUGAGAGGGGGUGAUUAAAAGACACUUCAGCACGCUGCUUAUUGCCAAUUAACAGACUCCAAUAUAAACAAUUAAUAAAGCCACAGUGGGAGGUGAGAGGGAGGGAUUCAUCUCCCUGCCUGGGUUAGCUCAGGCAGUUCCUGGGCCCCUGAGCCCAGCCACACACAGAUGGCCCUGCCCAGGGCGGGUGGUUGGGGCUGAUAGAAGCUUGAGAGUGGGUAGGAAGAUGCCAGGGAGGAGAGUGCUGGUGAGGGCCGCUUGGUCUCAGACUGGGGGAGCAGGGCUGCAAGCCCACCCCUGCUGAUGCCAGUGAGGACACACACAGGGCAGGGCAGGAACUUGCUCAAGGCCCCAGGGCCCACUAAAGCCAGUGCUCCUUGGACCACAUGUUCCAUGCUCCUUGGACCACAUGUUCCAUGCUCCUUGGGCCAGGCUGUGGCCCACCCUGAUGGGUCUCCUCACCCACCCAAGGUAAGGGGCUGUCUCCGGUCACUGGCCUCUUAGGAUGAGCCAGGUGACUCUGUUUCCCUUGCCAGGCUGCCCUCCCCACCUGCCAUGGUCCCUGUAACUUGACUUCUCGUACAGGAAAGGUGCCCACCUGCCUGGGGGCAGCGUUGCCUGUUAAGGACAAGUCUCAGGGGUUGCAGUGUGAGCUUCCAAAAGGCACCGCUCUACGCCACUGGUGCCACACAUGGCAAAAGCCAAUCUCGUGAAAUCCUUAAACCCUCAGCAGGAGGCAGGAUGAGAGGCUGGAAAACACUCACGCCUCCAAGGCUUAGGGAAGUCACUUCCACAACCCAAGUCACUCUCUCAGGAGCAGGCAGUGCAGGUGCCACGGGCCGCACGUGAUCUGGGCCAGGAGCCCUCCAGCUUGUGCUGCAAAGGGCCGGAUGGCACGUGCCUGAGCUCUGCCAACUGCACCACCUGCAUCACAGCCACCUAAUCCGCCCAUGUGGUGUGAACGCAGCCAGAGACGAUACGUAACGAAUGUGCGGCUGUGUCCCAAGGAAACUUUAUUUAUGGAUGCUGAAAUUUGAAAUUCAUAGAAUUUCACGUCACUAAAUAUUAUUCUUAUUUUGAUUCAUUUUUCACCCAUUUAAAGAUGUAAACCCAUUCUUAGCUCUCAGACCAUACAAAAAUAGGUGGUGGCCCCGAUUUGACCCAUGGGCCAGAGUUUGCCAAUCUCUGAUCUAGGCCUUAGCACUCUGGGAUGUCUUGGGCAUUCUAAAGGGAACUUCCCUGGCUAUGACUCCUCAAGGGAGGGGGGACUGGGAGCUGAAAGUCCCUCCAUCCAGCUCAAAAAAGGGAGGUGCCAGACCCUGUUCCACCAGAGAACCAAGUGGCCACAAAGCAUGGCCCAUAAGGGACAGAGAGCCAGGCUGAGGGGCAGGUGUGGACAAGCGGAGAGACAGACGAGGGGGGACCACUGGCUGCCCCAUGACCCACUUGUGUUGAAGGCAGGACAAGGAUGACCACCCAAAAUGGUGCUGAGCCUCAGCACCUGGACCUGGGACAGUUCCCUGCUCUUAUAUGGGACCAUGGAUAUGUCUGAUAUUCUGGAACUUCAAAGGAAAUAAAAGAGAAGGGACUCAGAGGGACCUCAGAAAUUGUCUUUCUCUCCUCACCCCUAUUCACCUCAUUCAUUCAAUCAACAAACAUUUUUUGAGAAUCUACUAAAGGCACCUUAUGUUUCAGUUUAAGACAAGCCUCCUGGUCUUGAGCUGUCUUUGGAAAUGUUCCUGGAGGAGAAGUGCUGUGGGUGUUUGGGGUUGCCAAGGACAUUCUCGAGUCACCUGGGAAGUGAGAGUAACUAGAGAACAUCCCAUGUCCACAGAGCAGAUAAGAAAUCUCUCAAGGGAAUUCCUGAGUUUUGACAGAGAAAGUCAUUUAGCAAAGCCAAUACUGUGUCAGAGGCAGCAGAAAGGUUUCCUGGAAGCCUUGGUGUAAAAGACCAUAAUGAUGGAUGUGAAGGAGUGCAGCGGCCUUGACAAGUCAAGCGGUUAGCUUGCAGUCUGCUACCUGUUGGGUGCUCCACAUUCCUCCUCCUGCCUGAGCUUCCACAGGGCGCCUCUUAGGCUGGGGACAGGUAGUGGAACCAGAGCUCAUUGUCACAGUAGGGACCAGCUGCCCAGAGCCAGCUGCUUGUCCAGGGUUGGGGCAGGGCACAUGCCUCUCCUUUUCUCACCCUGCACCUUGAACCCAUCAGAAACCCUUCUGGCUCUAGCUGUAAAAUGUGUCUCACUGUGGUUUUGAUUUACGUUUUCCCCACGAUUAGUGAUGCUGAGCAUUAUUUCAUAUACCUGUUGGUCAUUUGGAUGUUUCCUUUUAAGAACUAUCUAUUCAGGUCUUUUGCCCAUCAAAACCACAGUGAGGUAUCUAUCGCCUUACUCCUGUCAGAAUGGCUAUGAUCAAAAAGACAAGAGAUAACAAGUGUUGGCAAGGAUGUGGAGAAAAGGAAACCCUAGCACGCUGUUGGUGGAAAUGUAAAUCAGCGCAGCCAUUAUGGAAAGCAGUAUGGAGGUUCCUCAAAAUAUUAAAAAUAGAACUACCAUAUGAUGCAGCAAUCUCACUACUGGGAACACAUCCAGAGGAAAUAAAAUCAGUCUGCUGAAAAGAUAUCUGCACUUGAGUACUUUUUGCAGUACUAUUCACAAUAGCCAAGACAUGGAAUCAACCUAAUGCCCUUUGACAGAUGAAUGGAUACCAAAAAUUGGUACAUAUACCCUGUGGAGUACUAUUCAGCCAUAAAAAAUAAGGCAAUCUUGUCGUUGGAACAACAUGGAUGAACCUGGACAACACUAUGUUAAGUGGCAUAAACAGGCACAGAAAGACACGUGAUUCUCACUCAUGAGUAGAAGCUAAAAAGUCAUUCUCAUAGAAUUAGAGAGUGGAGACUGGUUAUCAGAGGCUGGGGUGACUUCGGAGAGAGAGGAUGGGAGAGGUUGGUCAAAGGAUCUAUAAUUACAGUUAGAUAAGAGGGGAGAAGACCUGACUCAGUGGCUCAUGCCUGUAAUCCUAGCACUUGGAGAGGCUGAGGCGGGUAGAUCAUGAGGUCAAGAGAUCGAGACCAUCCUGGCCAAUAUGUCGAAACCCCGUCUCUACUGAAAAUAUAAAAAUUAGCUGGGUGUGGUGGUGCUCACCUGUAGUCCCAGCUACUCGGGAGGCUGAGGCAGGAGAAUCGCUUGAACCUGGGAGGCAGUGGUUGCAGUGAGCCAAGAUCACACCACUGAACUCCAGCAUGGCAACAGAGCGAGACUCCAUCUAAAAAAAUGGGGGGAUGGUGUGGAGCGGUCCAGAAUAGACAAACGUACAAAGACAGAAAGUAUUCAGUGAUCAGUGAUUGCCUGGGGCCGGGGGUGUGAGGGAGGGGAAAGGGUUCAGGGCCAGAGUGAGAGUAGAAAUUGGUAAUGACUGCUGACGGUGAUGGGGUUUCUUGAAAGAUGAAAAUGCGCUAAAGUUGAAUGUGGUGAUGCUUGCACUCUGCAAACAUACUAAAAACCAUUGGAUUAUACACUUAUAAGUGGUGAAUUGUAGGCUAUGUGAAUUAUAUCUCAAUAAAGCCAUUUUUUAAAAAUGCCCAAACCUGACCACUUUGCCAUGCUGCUGCCAUCCUGGCUGGGGCCUGAAGGACACCAAUCACCCCUCACUGGUCCCCUACCUCUAACUCUGCCCCACAGACUGUCCUCUAGAUAGGGACCCUCCAAAGCCAUCAAUCACACCACAUCCUGCUCUGGUCUCCACUGUCCCAAGCCUGUCAUUCCUAGCAUGAAUCCACAAUUUUAGCGUGGCCAGACACUCUGUAAACUCCCAGCCACCAUGCUCUCCCCUUUCACACAUGCCUGCCACGCUGGCCUCCUCACCUCCCUCCACUGGUUCCUCCUCCCUCUCUUCCUGCUCAGAGACUGGCCCCUUCCCUGCCCUCCUCUUUCUCUGUCUUCCCCACAUCUACAUCCCCGGGAGUAGUGGUAGUGGCUGGGGUCUGUGGAUCCCAUACAGAUCCCUGGGUAGAAUUCGGGGAGCCUGGGAAUGUGGACGGGGAAGAAUCACAUCUCUAUUUUCACUCCUCUUUAUUUGAAUGUCGCACCUGUUUCCAUUGUGUGCGUUAGCAGCAAACCACAGAGGUGGUCCCAGAGUCUGGGACUUCGUCACCCAUAGGAAGUGCAGAUGGUUUCAGUGACAUUAUAAUUGCAGCAGAACACCUGAAGUCUCACUCGUGCUCAAGCUUACUUUGAGAGGAUGUGGUUUGAGACAGCCCCACUGCUCAAUCUCAAUCUCAGUGUGUUAAUAAAGAGGCACAUAUAUUGCUCCAGUGCAAUUUUUUCCUAAUAUUUUGAUAGCUUCAUUUUAACAUAAUUGUUUUCCUUUGAAUCUUAGCUAUUUUAUUUUGUGGACUUAAAAAUAUUACUCUGAGAAGGGGUCCAUAGGCUUCCACAGACUCCGGAGGGGAAGAGCCCAUGGCACAGCAGCAGGAAGGGCUCCCUGUUCUACAAUGUAUACUCUGUGCAGAGAGGGCCAGACACAAAUGGGGAGCUCAAUCACAGGCAGUGGGAGGAAGGGCAGGGGAAGGAGCGGGAGGGAGCCGCUCAGAACUCACUCGGCUCAGCAGUGAGGGCAGAGCCUGUGUCCAGCUGGCCUGGGAUUGAAGCUGGCUCCAUCACAUGCUCAAUGUGGAGCUUUGGGUACCUCCUGUAACCUCCCAGAGCCUCAGUUUCCUCAUCUGCAAGAGGGAACACAAUCGCACCUGCUUCAUAUGGUUAUUAUGAAGGUAAGACGGUAUGCUUGGUUCAUGGCCUGGGACACAGUGAGAGAGCAAUAAACACUGCCGAUUUAGUCAAAGUGCUGGGCUUUUGUCCAUGGCUCUGGCCCCUCAGCCAGGAAGGCAAAGGCGACCCCACAUAGCUCUCCCUCUAUACAUGUCUGGGAAGGCUGAGGCAACAGGGCCCCCACUCACUCUCAGCAGGCUGGCCAGGGCUGGACCACAGGAAGGGGAUGCAAAUGGGGAGGGAAGCACUGUCCGUCCAGGCUGGGCUAGGGGACACACCUGCAUGGACAUUCUUUUCUAGGGGGCAGAGGACAUGGGAGGAGAUGUUUCCAAGCCCUUACCUUAUGAGUCCAGAAGCAUUUGUGGGGAUGGCAAUGCCAGGAAGUCAUCUGGGGAUAAAUCGUUAGGGAGAGACCUGAGGGCCUGGGGCAAACCCGGCUCCACUGGCCAAGUUCUGGCCUGCUGCCCUGCAGGCUGAGUUUCCCUGUUUCUUCCCGGAGACCACAUCCCAGGGGCCAGCUUCCUUGCCCUUCCUGCUUGGGGAGUCCUAGGUUAGCCUCUCCAUUCCCCUAGGUGCCUCUUGCCCCAGACCCUACUUUCCAACCUUUUGCCCAACACAGCCCACUCAGAAAACAGAGGACAGCCUCACCAGUGCCCCAGGGCAGAAGACAGCCUCUUGGCAGCCUCCUUGUCCCUGCACAGGUGGCAUGCUCCUGCCUCUGGGCCCUGGCCGGGAAUGCCCUACAUCCAAACGCCCCAGGGCUUGUCACCACCAUGUCCUCUCAUGUGGGCACAACUUCCAGCCUUCUCCAUGUCCUGCCAGGGGACUGAGGUGGUGGAAUGACUUUGAAGUCUGUUUCCUCAUCUGUAAAUAGGACAGUAGCUUGGCUUCCUGGGUUUGGCUGUGAGGGCAGGGGUGCUGUCCGCACAGGUACACUGAGACCGGGGAGCUGGGAUUCCUGCCUGCUGGAAAGAAAUGCCUGUUGUUCUGGGGUGGGGUCUCCAGCCGGCCGGGGCCUACCCUCCUGCCUUGCAGUUUCCCAGUGCCCUGCAGCUCAUCGGCCUCUUCCACUGCCCUUUGAGGGAGGUGAGGUGGAUGUUAUCCCACCCAUUUUAGAGAUGGAGAAUCCACGCUCCGAGAGGUGAGGUGACACGGCACCCAGGUCUUCUCACUGUGUGCCAGGCUGUGGUAACUUCCUGCUGGACUGAGCCAGAUGACAGAGUCUGCUUAAACUGACUUGUGGUGGUCCUGAUGUUCUAUAGGUGCCAUAUUAUUAUGCCCAGUAUAAUCAGGCUGUGUGAAUUCUGGGUAGGGCUCUUCUGGGACACCAGCCUUCAUUUAUUGAGCUUCUACCAAGUGCCAAACACGUGACUCUGUGAUUGAUUAAUCCCCACAAGUCAAGGAGCAGGCACGGUUGUCUCAUGUAGAGGUGGAGAAGCUGAGGUGUAAGGACCAGCACCAGAAGUGCAGGAUGUGGGUCUGUGCUGCACAGCACCACCCCGGAGAAGGGGAGCAGGGAUGAAGAGGAGGCAUAGACUCCAUCUUGGGUGGGGGUGGGAAGAGUAAAGAGAGUGCUAUCUUGAAGAAACUACAAGUGUGGAGAGUCUGCAGACGUUGGAGGGAGAUGAAGGCGGUGCUGAUUCAGAAGACAGAGCUUUAGCCAGGAAAGCAAGCUGGCAGCCAAUUGGGAACCGCCAGUAAGCCAGAGCACUGGGUAAAAAAAUGUUGGUAGAGGAAGAAGGAAGCUGGCAGCCCUGAGUUCAGGUGGCUUCAGUAUGCAGACCUGCAGCCCCAGAGCCCAGCCAGAGUGAGGAGGGGGCUCCUAGGGACACAGGGUUCAUGCUGGACCAGUGGCCUUCCCCAGCCCCCUGACUUAUAGGGGCCCCCACUGGAGUCCAGAGAAAGAACUCAGCAAAAAUUGGAUGCAGUGGGUCCAAGGAAGUCACCACCCAGGCCUAAGACCCUUGAGGCUGUUGAUCAGGGGCUGGGUAGCUGAGGGAGCACCAGGCACGUGGGACAUCUUGUUGCCUUUGGUGGCUGUGUGUUUGUAUGUGCUUAUGCAUGCGUGUGCACGUGUGCACUGUGUAUGCAUGUGCAUGUGAUGUGUGUGAAUGUUCAUUCGUGUGUGUGUGUGUGUGUGUGUGUGUGUGUGUGUGUGCCUGCGCAAAAGAGCUUUGCAGGGAGAGAUCAAGUCCUGGGAGUAGGAGGGUGGAUUCCCUCCCCUCCCAUCACCCCCCACUGAGGCUGGCUGGAUGAGGAGGAGUUCAGGGAACGGAAGGCCUGGGGAUUCUUCUUCUCCCAAAGGUGCCACCACCAGCAGGGGAGGAAGGGAGGGAGGAAGCAGCACCUUAUUUAAAUGCAAAUGACUGAAAUACAACUUUCUUUAUUAAAAUGCAAAUUGCACUUCAGUCUCUGACACCUACUGAGUGCCAAAGCCACAGAACACAACCAGGACUCAAAGCUGAAGGACCCCAAGCCCGUAAUAGUGAGAGGCCCCAUCUGCUUGGGUGUAGGAAGACAUGGGGGAUGGAGGGUGGGCCCCAGGCAGGCUUGGGAUGCUGAGCCAGGUGCUUAUCCUCCCUCCAGGGCUGCUGGGAGACAUCAGCAGCGGCCACCGAGGCAGGCGAUUUGGCCCGUAGGUCUGGACUGUCACCCAGUGGGGGACCAGGCUAGAGCUUCACAGGUGUCUCUCUGCCUGGCUGGGUCAGCACGCUGUGCACUUUCUUAGUGAGCCUGGGGUCUGAUUGCCAGCAUCAUUAAACCAGCUGUCUCUUGGUGAGUCAGAACCUGGCAGAGCACUGGGGUCGACCUACAGUGGCCCCCAGCCCGGAGAUCAGGCCCCGAGGCAGGCUUGUCUUCCUCAGCCACUCGUCCUGCUGGGGCCUCAGGAGCAGGGCUGCAGGGCUGCAAGGCUACCAGGCACAGCAGUGCAGGUCAUGACAAGAAGCAGGGGCGACAGGCAGACCCAUGCCCUGCUCCCCAGGCUCCAUGACUGGGCAUGAGGCCAAGUCCUCCGGGAAAAAGGGCGCCUUUCCUCACACAGAGGCACCACUGACUUAUUCGUGCUUCUAAUUCAUCAGCCUGCAGAGGGCGCCUUUUCCUAAUUUGCACACACAUUGCUGGGGACCCCCCAGACCCCCGGUUCUUCCUUCUGCCCCACUCCUCUCUCUCAGACCUGCCUCCCCUCCUUGCUUAUUGGUCUCCUGGGGUUUCCACGCUGUUUCCUCCGCUCCUUCCUUCCUCCCUGUCUUCCAGCCCUCAUCCCACCCUCUCUGCCCCCUUCCUCUGUGGAUCCCUCUGGCUUGUCCCCUAGAGUCAGCCAGCUCUGGGUCCUUACCUACUGGGUCGGAGGCAGGUACAGGCAGCCCAGAAAGGGUGGGCCAGGCCCCUGCUAGCUCAGGGUGGCACUGGCAUGUGCAGGGAGCCUGGGGCGUGGGGGAAGGUCCUGGCUCCUUCCAUCUGCCAAGCUCCUAAUAUAGGCAGCAGCAGCAGAGAGAGAGCGGGGAGGCAGGAGGCAACUUGGAGCUGGAGGUGACAGGCCUGCUUCCUCCAUAUAAAUAGUUCCGUCUGUCGCCCUGGGGGUGGUGGCUUCCUGGGGCACUUCUGAUGUCAUCCACUUCCCAGGAGAGCGUUGCUGGUACCUGUGGGGGCCUGGGAUGCAGGCUGACGUUUUGGGGUGAGGGGGUACCCUGACAUGCCUAAGGGCUCAAUACCCCCAGGCAGUUCUAGCCUCUCCCAUUUGUCUUCUUGCCGUGGGACACGCAGAGGCCCACCCCCCCAGGCUAUGCAGACCUGGGCUUGAGCCCCCCACGAGGCACCUAGGAAAAGACCCUUCCUGGACGUCAUCCAUAGGCAGCACAGGGGCUGUCUGAGCUAUGCGGAGCCAUCCCAAGGGGAGUUGGGAGCCUCAUUCCAUUCCCCACUCUGUGAGAUGGGCCGUGAUAGGAGCAAGAGAGGGUUCUGGAGAGACACAAUGGCUCCUGGCUCUGGCCACCUGGACACUCCUCAGCCUGGCCGAUGCCCAGACCUAGCUCAUCCCCUGCAGGAGGAGGGCACAGAGCUCUCCCUCACACCCCACCUCAGGUUCCUGGCAUCCGUCUGGUAUUCCUCAGGAUGGGUGUGCACUUGUUCCCCCUCAGCAACCUUGUCAGGAAGGUGGAGAACACAGAGCUGCUCCCAGCUGGCACUGAGCGCAGGGAAGCUCCCUGAGGACCAGGUGGCCCAGCAGACAGGACAUCCUCAAGGGCUCUGCCUCCCUCCUCAGCCUGGAGCCCCUGCAGCCGCCUCCAUUUCCAUCCCUCUUCCCUCCCUGCAUGGAGGGGACUUGGCCAGCUGGUGAUGCCCCUGUGGGGAUCUGUGAGGGAAGCUGCUGGGGGUUUGACCAGCUCCUGAUGAAUACCAGGCAGGGCGAGGUUAGACCAGGUUGCCCGGCUGCACAGCAGACUCGGGAGUGCCUUGCAACGGGAGAAAGGCACGGGGCAGCGACCUGAGACCAGAGCCUCCAUCCCCAAGCUGCUGGGCUGAGUUAAGCUAGGAGGGCCCACGUGGUGCCCCUCACCCCGGAGGUGGUUCUGGUGUCUGCAGAGGAAGGAACUAGAGGGCUGCAGGGCAGGCGGGAGACAGAGGCUGCUCCCUGUAGACCCUUUAGAGCCAGGUGGGUUUUCAAUAGCGUGGCCCUUGCAGAACAAUGGCUAAGAGCACAGCCCUGGUCCACAGCCUCUGUGCUUGCAAGCUCUGCGACGGUGGGAGAGAACCAACCUCCCUCCCCUCAGACGGAACUCAUAACAACCACAGGACAUCAGAUAAUGGCCCCGGGCACCUGGCAAGGUCCGGCCUGAUGACUCAGGCCCCACCUCCACUUCCAGUUUCCCUGCCGGAAGAGCCCCUCGUCCGUGAGCCAAGAACGGGAAGGUGCUUUGUGGUGGAGCAGACCCCAUCAGUGCUGCCCGUGUCUCCUCCACCGUUCUUCCACUCUGUGCCCUGCUGCUCGCCUUCCAGGCGCUCCGACUCACAGAGUGCCAUGUCGGGAGUCUGCACUGCCCCCCCACGCGGCAGCCUCAGCAGCUGGGAGCUGGGAAGCCCUGGGUGCGGUAAGCGUGGGGCAGGUUCUGGCCGCCUCCCAGCGUUCCCAGCCGCAUCGUGCUCCACUUGCCCUGGCAGCUGCCUUCCCUCUUGUCUCCUUCCCCACAUCCACCAAUUAAACUGGAAUCCAGUUGGAUUUGAAUCCUUGUCUCAAGGCCUGCCUCUGGGGAGGCCCAACUUAAGAGUGGAACACAGUUGUGGGCUAGUUCCUGGCAGGACCUAAUGACUAAGAGGCUGGAGGGGAGGGGGCAGUGGCAAGGUCUGACUUCAGCCACUCUGAUGGCUCCAGGGCCGGGGCUUUCGGCAGACACUUUGUUGGCAGGCUCUGCAGAUUCCACUGCCAUUGCUGCUGUGACAGGAGCCAUCUCCUCUCUUGUUCCUGGUCUACGUGUCUUAUCGGCCCUUCUAAAAGGGCUGGCAGCUGGUGGGUGGUAGCAAAGUCGUGCCCCCUCCUGAGGGAAGUGGGAUCAGAAAACUGUGGAAGAUGAUUAACGUGCCUUGGGUGUUUACUGUGUUAUGUUUUGUUUCCUCUCAUUACAACCCUCUAGACAGGGCUGCCAUGUACAGUCAGUCAGGUUGUUCACUGCACAAGGGCACCUGGCCCAGAGGACAGCCUGUGUUCUUUCCACAUAUUGGGAGCCAUCCACUGUCCUGCUUGUGAGCCGUCUCAUUAUCUCCAUUUUAAUGUAGAAACCGAGGCAGAUUACUUAAACAGAGAGUUUAAGUAAUUUGCUCAAGAUUUCUCAGCACGUAGGAGGUUGUGCUGAGCUCUUCAUCUAAGAAUUCUGACUGCAGAGCCUGCAUUCCUAACUACGCAGCCUCAGACUGCCUUGACAGGGCGGGGCCAUCGUGAGAGCUAGAAACCCUGGGAAGGCUCUGACUCCUGGGCACCAGUCAGGCCUGGGACACAGGGACUCCAGAGAACCAGGGGGAGAGGAUCACCUCCCGUGGCUGACCUGAGGUCUGGGGGCCCAAGCCUGAGCUGCCUGCCUGGGUGUCCAUGGAACCCGGGGUGGGCACACAGAAUAACAUCAGUGGCUUAGAGGGCUUUACCCGGUGCCAGACGCUGGGGUUUCCAUUUGUUUACUCACUGGACCUUCCUAAGAACCUGAGGGUGUAUAGCAGAGGCCGCUCUCGGCCAUAGAUGUCCUCUCCCACCCUCUCCCUGGGCACACCACUCGGCCACAUCUCCUGGCCUCCCUUGCAGCUAGAUGUACCAGUGUCACCCCUUGUCACAGCAGGAGCAGGGAGGCUGUCUCUGUGAUCCUGAGCAAGUCACGGGCCUCACUCACGGAGCCUCCACUUCCCCACCUGUAAGAUGGAGUCAACACCCCCACCCUGCCUGCCUCCCUGGCCAGGAUGAAGCCAGCGGUAUGAAGGUUUUUAAAUCGCACCUGGAAUGCCUAAGCCAAAGCUUAACACAUACUUGUCAUCUGCUUAAUACAGCCCCUAACUCCAGUCUGGGUCUGUCUGCAGAGAUUCCUUGCCUUUCACCGCCCAGGCAGUCCUUGUGCGAGCAGCCUGCCUUCCUUCUCAGACACCGAAUAGCGGAGCCCAAAUGCCAGGAACCCCCGAUGAUGACUCAGCCUCCAUAACAAGUCCAAACAUCUGGCUGCCAAAGGGCACAGCUCGCUCCCGAAGCAGCUCCUUCUGCACAAAUAUGUUCUUAAUAUUCAAUUAGUAUUUAUCCACCACGAACAACAAUUACACCAUUGACUCUCAAUGAAGUGCCUGGUUAAUUAAUUAACACAGUCUUUUACAUGCUGGCAGUAUUUCCUGGUGAGCACGAUACUUAAAAUAAUAGCACAAUGACGCCAGGGCGAGCUGGGGGACUAGCGGGGCUGCCCUGGGUUUCCCAGGCUCCAGAUGUGAUUCUGGAGCUGACGUUUACCACACAAAGCAUCUUCUGGAGUUAAAAGGAAAAAACACACCAGGAUUUUUGGCAGGCCACUUAACACCUCCCAGCCAGAUGCCCACCCAGGGUCCCUGAGUCCUAUGGGCAUGGGUUCUCUAAGUGACGUUCACACCUGUACAGACCCCGACUCAGGCGGCCACACCCAGGGACCCUCUAGGCUCCACAGGGCCCAGCCUCUUGGAACAGCUGACUCCAGACACCUCUCUCCCCUCCCUUGGCCUCCCUGGCCCUCACCGACUACAGCACCUCCUCCUCAGACCUCAUUUCUCCUUCCUGCUCCUUCCUGUGGGUGUUUUCCGAGCACAGGUUUGACUUCAGCUUCAAUUUCUGAACUCGCUCUUCUCCGAGUCCCCUCCCUACCUCAUACACAACCCAUAGGUCCUGACUGCCCACCUCUUUGCUUCUGCCUCUAUCAGAGCCUGCAGAGGGUACAGAUCGCCACAGCCACACUGCCUGGGUCACCUGGCAUAGCCACUUACUGGCUGUGUGACCGUGGGCAAGUUACUCAACCCCCACCACUCCUUGCUUUGGGGGACAAUCCUGUGGGAAAUGAUCGCAGCCUCCACCUGCACCAGCCAGGGUGGGCUGAGCUGCAUCUCAGGCCCAUGGCACAUGGACUGCAUUGGCUCGAGCCCAGCUGCAGUGUCUUUCCCACUACCGUUUUGGCACAGGGCAGCCUACACCAGCAGGCAGCUCCCCACCCAGCAGUGACAGAAGGGCCCAGGCUCUUUCUGUCUUGUUGCUCCACCUUCCCCAGGGACCCUCCCAUUGUUGUCCCUGUGGUCCCCGUGGUCCCCAUGGCUAGGGCCCUGCUGGAGCCACAUCGGACGCUUUUCUGAAGGCCUGGCCAGCUGUGCUCACAUCCCUGCCACUCAGCUUCCUUUGGUGACAAGGGUGUUACACAGGUACACCUAGCUGCAAGGGAAGCCAGGAGACAUGGCCCAGUGGUGUGCCCAGGUAGAGGGUGGGAGAGGACAUCGGUGACCGAGAGCAGCCUCUGCCACACACCCUCAGGUCCUUAGGAAGAUCCAAAGAGUCAAUAACUAUAAGCCCUCUCAGCCAUUGCUGUUAUUCUGUGUGCCCACAGCAGGUUUCAUGGACGCUAGGAUCAAUGAGACACAUUCCUUCAUCUAAGGACCCCACUGAGGAAGAUGGCAGAGGAGAGAGACAUAUAACCCACUUACCAGGAUUCAGGAGGCGAACACCCGAGGUUUGGUGAAUUGGGAAAGAGUGGCAGGGAGAGCGGAGCAACGGCUGCACGAGAAUGAAGCGGAGGACAGGAAAGAAAAUGGCAGAAGACUGACACAGGUGGGACCCCAGAGAGCAGGAGGAGCUGAGGACAGAGAGGAUGAGGGAAAGGAGUCAGAGGCAAGAGCCAGAAACGAGACACAGAAAGCAGCCGGGGACACCAGAGAGGGGAAAGAAAACCAUUGAGAUCAUCUAGCCUCAAUCUUCAGGGAGCCAAUGGAGAAUGAGAUGGAAGGAUCCUGGGUCCCCACUCCCACCCACCCACCGUGUUCUAUUACAGCAGAAACAAACAUCUGUCUGAUUUGAGCUGCUCUGUUCCGGGACCUUUUUGUCAUAGCAGCAUAACUAGAAGCCCACUAACACAGGAUCGUGGUGUCCAGCUAUCAGUCUAUCACAUGUGGAAGAAGCAAACUGGCUGGGGAUGGGAUGGAGUCUCACUCUGUCGCCAGGAUGGAGUGCAGUGGCACAAUCUCGGCUCACCGCAACCUCCGCCUUUCGGGUUCAAGUGAUUCUCCUGCCUCAGCCUCUCGAGUAGCUGGGAUUACAGGUGUGUGCCACCAUGCCCAGCUAAUUUUUGUAUUUUUAGUGGAGACAGGGUUUCACCAUGUUGGCCAGGAUGGUCUCGAUUUCUUGACCUCGUGAUCCGCCCACCUCAGCCUCCCAAAGUGCUGGGAUUACAGGUGUGAACCACCAAGCCCGGCCAGAAACACUGUAAAUACGGCAACACGCUGGGCGGAAGGACAGGGCUGGAAUCACUCCAGCAGUGGGGACAGGAUGGGGACAGCAACACUCCCGGAGCAACCUCAGUGUGAGAGGAAGGCUGAGGGGUGUGGGCUGAGACCCCAAGCCCACCCAGUGCUGAUGACAGGCCCUGGUUGCCAGCUUUCAGUUGCCGGAGGCUCAGAUAACAAUUAGCCAGGCAGCGCUAGGCGCCAGCUGACAGCCCCCAUUUGUCGCCCCUUGUCUCCGCACCCACACCCAAUCUGCCUACAAUCAGGCCCCUGAAUUAUUUAUUCUGUUGUUUGUGUAAAGAUAUGUAGCCCACCAGUGACAGAGUGAAAAAUGUCCCUGCUCCACAGGAGUGACACUUCCCCACUCCUCCGGCUCACACCUCCUCGGUCCGGCUAUCCCCAGAAUUAAUCACCUGGCUCCUGCCUGGUGCCUUCAUGGCCCCUGUUGUCACUGAGCUGAGAGACAGUGGGGCACAAGGUGCUGGCCACUGGCCUUCACACAGAAGAUGGGGAGGGGGCUCCCCCUUUCUCUACCAUGGAAGCCCCUAAGACUUUCUGUGGGGAGGAUGCCAAGGCCUGCAGGGGGUCUGGCUGACUACAGACCCCUCAGUCCCUCCCAACCCCAGAGCAGCUGGAAGUGAGGCCUGUGGGGGCCGCCCACAGCGUGGAGGCCCCCAAGCUCCUCCUGGGCAGGAAGCAGGGGUCUGGGGAUACAGGGUCUCCCUCCUCAGGCCUCCAUACUCCUCCUUCUCUGGUAGGAGUGGGUAGUUGUCCUGUGUUCCCAGGUGACUGGCUGGAGCAAGAGCAGAAGGCAGGGCCAGUGCUGAGCCGUCAGAGCUCUCUGUGAGGGCCCCACCCUUUAUGGGGCCCCCUGGCCUGUCACAGCACCCACAGUGUCAGCCUUUGGGGUCAGAUGUCACCUCUGGGAGGAGCUCUCAGGCACACUGGGGGAAAUCCCAUGUGACAGACCUGCUUCUGCACAUGGCAGAGAGGGUGCCUUGAGGGAAUGCGACCUGAGAGCCGAGAAGGGAAGUCUCCAUGGGAAGGAGGAAAACUGGGGUGGGGGUGGGGUCCCCACUCAGGCAGAAAGGCCUGAUCAGGGCAUCAUCUGGGGUUUCUGGACAUCCAGGAAUACAUGAAAGGCCAAGUGUGGGAGUCCCAUGGGCCCCUCUGCCCCUUCCCAGCUGUGUAUGGGGACCAGCAUGGCACCCAAAGGGAGCCCCAGGGUCAUAGGUGGGGCUGGGGGGAGGAGGAGGUCUGGAAAGAACCAGAGGUCACAAGGGAGGGAAAGGGGGACACACAGGCAUCGGGUGUUGAUCAGAGACAGGGAGGGUGUCAGAGCCAGCAUACUCUCCACAACAGAGGAGCACAGGCUGGCUCCCGGAGGAAGAGAGGAGUUGGCAAAGAUGGUGGCACUGCCCUGUAACCAGCCCUGGAGGGACCUGUCCUGGCCAGCCCCAGACCACAGGCCUGCCCCUCAGCCGCCACAGUCCUGCCUGGUGCCCUCCCCCACCACAAAGCCUGACCUCCUGCCAGGUCUCCUCGGACAAUCCCUGGACAGGCAGCCACCUCAGCGCCACAGUAGGCAGUUCUGCGGGCCCCUCUGCCUCACCCUGCCCCUCACCCACCAGUCCUGGCCAGCCCAUGUCCCGGGUCCCCAUCACUCAGGUGCCUGCUAGGAGGUGGCUAGACAAAGCCAGGCUGGGUGCUACAGCUCCCCUGGGCCCAGGGCCACUCCCACCCCACCGGGCUACCAAAGGGCCAGUGUGCAGGGCCCCUAGGACGACCCCUUCUCCCAGAGGAGCUGAAAGGGCACAGGCAAAGACCUGGGCCCCAGAACGGAGAAAGCCAGGGAUUCCCGCUCACCCUCAGGGGCCAGGCGCCCCCUGGUGGCCUGGCUUGGAGUGGGGCACAGAUCGCUAGAAGGGCGCUGCUAGGGCACCGGCUGGGGAACCUUGAGGUUCUCUCCAGGCCACCAGGAGGGGCAGGACAGAACGGGCUCUGAUGUGGUGCUUCGGGGCUCUCCCUGAGAGGGUGGUCCCCACCUGUAGCCUCAGGGUUCCCCCGGUGUCCCCCGCCGCCUCCCCAGGAUGGGGCAUGGGGCGGGGCGGGGCGGGAACUCAGUUGACCUGCUGCAAAAGGAGCCGGCCGGGGCCCGGAGGGAACCGAAUGGGGCUGGCAGCUCACC